Molecule: long non-coding RNA, 104436 nt
Filed under: Populus trichocarpa (black cottonwood)
Lineage: Eukaryota; Viridiplantae; Streptophyta; Magnoliopsida; Malpighiales; Salicaceae
Description: long non-coding RNA (PTRI_LNC003340)
Source: RNAcentral
UUUUUUUUUUUUUUUUGUGGGGCUAUCUUAAUUACAUCAAGGGGCGGUUACAAUAUCUUGGUCUCCUCUUGGAAAGUUUUCUUUAGGGGGGUUCGGAUAUUUCUCAAACGUCCUAAUAAUUAAAUGUUGAGCUGAAUUCUUUUUCAUUACAGACCCAGCAUGAGCGCCAUGAAAACACACAGCUUCGAAAUGAGAAUGAAAAGCUUAGGGCUGACAACAUGCGGUACAGAGAAGCUCUUAGCAAUGCCUCGUGUCCUAAUUGUGGAGGGCCUACUGCCAUUGGAGAAAUGUCCUUUGAUGAACAUCAUUUGAGACUGGAAAAUGCCAGAUUAAGAGAAGAGGUCCAUUUAUUAGGUUUAUCUUGUUGUUGGAUUUUGUAACAAAUCCUGAUCAUAUCUUCAAAAUUUAAUCUGUUUCCUUUUGUUCGCAGAUUGACCGUAUUUCAGCAAUCGCUGCUAAGUAUGUUGGCAAGCCUGUGGUGAACUAUCCACUUAUAUCGGCUCCGAUGCCUCCACGUCCACUUGACCUUGGUGUUGGGAAUUUUGGUGGACAGCCAGGCAUUGGAGGGGAGAUUUAUGGAGCUGGAGACCUACUUAGGUCGAUAACUGCUCCUACUGAGGCUGAUAAGCCCAUGAUAAUUGAGCUUGCAGUUGCAGCCAUGGAGGAGCUAGUUAGAAUGGCCCAAAUGGAUGAACCCUUAUGGAUGGGUAGCCUUGAUGGAACAAAUGCAGUAUUAGAUGAAGAUGAAUACGUAAGGAUAUUUCCUCGUGGUAUUGGGCCUAAACCUACUGGUUUUAAAUGUGAGGCUUCAAGAGAGUCUGCUGUUGUUAUCAUGAACCACAUCAACCUUGUUGAGUAUCUCAUGGAUGUGGUGAGGUUCCUUUAAUUAUUUUGCAAAGUAUACAACAUUUAAGAAUAUAAAUACAUUUUGAUUCAAUAUUAAUUUUUGAUAAUGUCUUGGCUUUCAGAAUCAGUGGUCUACAUUGUUUUCCGGCAUAGUCUCAAGGGCUUUGACUUUGGAAGUGUUAUCAACAGGAGUUGCAGGGAACUAUAAUGGUGCCUUGCAAGUGGUAAUAUACGUAAAUUUUCUUCAAUUAUCUUCCAAAUGGCAACACCUUCGCUAACUUGAUUAACGGCGGAUAUAACCCGAUACUUGAUUUAAAAUAUAGUCGAUAUAUUUAUUUCACAUCCCUGACAUUUUAGGUGUGGAGUUCAGAAUCAUGAAACUAAAUAUGUGAAGGUCAUAUAUGAUAUCAUUCUCUCCAAGAAUAUAUAACUAAUUGUUUGAGUUCUAUCCAGAUGACGGCUGAAUUUCAACUUCCAACUCCACUUGUUCCUACCCGAGAAAGUUACUUUGUGAGGUACUGUAAACAACAUGCCGAUGGUACUUGGGCAGUGGUUGAUGUUUCAUUGGACAAUUUACGCCCUAGUCCGGGAGCUAGGUGUCGAAGGAGGCCAUCUGGAUGUUUGAUUCAAGAAAUGCUUAAUGGAUACUCCAAGGUGAACACUUCAUUAUUGUUGGAAGUUGUUAUACUCUACUUUAGUUAAGCUGCACCAUUUCCAUAAGCAAUGAUUUGUUUUUGCUACGUUUGUAAUCGAAUUUCUUCAUACCGUAGGUUACAUGGGUUGAACAUGUAGAGGUGGAUGAUAGAGGUGUUCAUAAUCUAUACAAGCAACUUGUUAGCUCAGGACAUGCAUUCGGGGCAAAACGAUGGGUGGCAACCCUAGAUCGGCAAUGCGAGCGCCUUGCCAGUGCCAUGGCAACAAAUAUUCCUGCUGGCGAUGUUGGUGGUAAUAUAUACUACGUAGUUUUUCAUUCUUAAUAGGUAACAUUGUACUGGAUGAUAUGCUUGGCCCUGGACUUAUAGCCCAUUAAUUUGUUUAUUCACAGUGAUUACUAAUCAAGAAGGGAGAAAGAGUAUGAUGAAGCUGGCAGAGAGAAUGGUGAUAAGCUUCUGUGCUGGAGUGAGCGCCUCUACUGCUCAUACUUGGACUACACUAUCUGGAACUGGAGCUGAUGAUGUUAGGGUCAUGACAAGGAAGAGUGUAGAUGAUCCAGGGAGGCCUCCUGGGAUUGUGCUUAGUGCUGCAACUUCCUUCUGGCUUCCAGUUCCUCCAAAAAGGGUUUUUGAUUUUCUUCGUGACGAGAGCACUCGAAAUGAGGUAUAAUAAUCAGGAGUAUUGGAUCCUCAAUUUUCUUGCUUUGAAUUUUUCUUUUAUUCCUGUGAAGUGAAAUUGAAAGAAUAAAACUAGUUUCAAUUUGUACUCCCUAAUUAAAUUAUUGGAUCUCAUUCUAAGACUUGAUUGCUUAAAAUACAGUGGGAUAUUCUAUCAAAUGGUGGAGUUGUCCAAGAAAUGGCACACAUUGCUAAUGGCCGGGAUACAGGCAAUUGUGUAUCUCUACUUCGAGUUAAUGUAAGUAUCAUACGAAAAUCUUUGUUCUUAUUAUGCAGUUGUCCUUCUAUGAUCAUAAUUAGUCUACUGUUGUUACCAAUAAUUUAAUUGAUCUAAUACAUGCACAAUUAUAGAGCGCGAAUUCGAGCCAGAGCAACAUGCUGAUUUUACAAGAGAGUUGCGCUGAUCAAACAGCCUCUUUCGUAAUCUAUGCACCGGUUGAUAUUGUUGCAAUGAACGUCGUACUUAAUGGAGGCGAUCCAGACUAUGUAGCACUUCUUCCUUCAGGGUUUGCUGUUCUUCCCGAUGGAACUGGAGCGCAUGUAGGAGGCAUGGAGGAGGCUGCAGGUGGAUCUCUUCUAACUGUUGCAUUCCAGAUUUUGGUUGAUUCAGUUCCUACAGCAAAACUAUCUCUCGGCUCAGUGGCAACUGUUAACAACUUGAUUGCCUGCACCGUGGAGAGGAUUAAGGCUUCUUUAUCAUGCGAAUCUGCAUGAAUUUGAAGGUUAAUUUAGAGGUAAAGUACUGGACUUGUGCUGCUGUGUCCUACUAUUCUCAAUAUAUAACUGACUGAUUCUCUCUGGAUUCAUGACCAAGGAAUGCAACUUUAUAUUUUCUUGCAGUUCAUUAACCAGAGGAGGAAAAAAGAGGGGAAAUUUGAGAAAAACACAAAGAUGGUGGCCAUUUUGGCUUUUAUAGAAGAAGAUUAAUGGGAGAAGUCAAGAGCGCACCUUGCAUGCCUCAUGGUUUGCGAUAAGGGAAAGACUACUAGUUAGCAACCAAAGCAUACCAUGGGGGAUCAGAAAGGACGUUAGAGGUUCGGGAAUUGACUUCGCCAAACAAAGUAAAAAGGAAAGACCUUAAAAUAUUAAUCCAAGGUUGAACUACUGCUCCUUUUCCCCUUCUUUAACUUAUUAGUUAGGGUUUUGUGCCCCGAUAGUACUUCAAGUUUUAUCUGCUCUCUAGAUCUCUCUUUUUCCCUCCUCUACUUGUUAAUUUGUUUGUGUUUUGAAGCUCACACCUCAAGAGCUUUUGGAAUAGACUUCCUUUGUUAAGCCUUGUUCUCUCUUUGAAUUUGUUAUAAUUAGUCUCCUUUUGAUUUGUCUUGGCUAUGUUUAAACUUGGGUUUACUUUCUCAAAAUGCUGCAAUCUUGAGUGAUUAUCAAUAUCAAUCCACAUCACAUACCAAAGAACAAAAUUAAACUAUUUCAAAGCAAUCAUCCUCCUCCUUUACACACACACACACACACACACACACAAACACCCACAAUAUGAUAAUCUUUAUAGACACACACACACUUAUAAGCAGUAAAGUUUUCCCCUAAUGACAGUGGCAUUUUCACUAGCCUUCCUUUUAUUUUUAGUUCGAGUUUCCCUCCACCUUUUUUUUUUAAUAAACGAGAGGGAGUAUUAUUAAAAACGGAUAGUUAGCCACAUAGAUUGUGACUACCUAAGAUAAAGUACAAAGCAUGAAACUAGAGAGAAUUGCAGGUACAGAGGCUGAAAACCAGACAAUGGUAAACUGCGUUUCUUAGCAAGGUUAGUCCACCUUCUAAUACCUCCUCAUCCUCUGGUUAAAUUAUACCCUGUAUAUGUGAAACUCCCUUAUAUGUUGUGAAAUUCUAUACAUUAACAAGUGAAAAAGAGAUGGCCAAUUCGAUCGGCUGCGCACCAUUUAACACUAGAUUAUUCCUUGCUAAUUACCAAAUAGUCCACAAGGUUGCAAAUAAAACUAACUUCCAUGCUUUGAUUGGAAUAUUCAUGAGCUAUAGCUUAGUCAAUGACUGUAGAAAUCUUCAAGAGAUUCCAGAAAAGUGGUUGAAACACCCCACCAUUGAAUUACUCUAUACCAAAAAUCAUGCCCUCCUCCCAUAUAGGUUCGAGUAAUUCUAUGUCAGAUUUGUUCCUCAAGUCUAAAAAGGUUGGCUAUAAAAAGAAGAUUCCCUCAUAGAGAUAUCGAGCCAACGAGUAAUUUUAUAGUAUCAAUGCUAAUCUCACAAGGGAUAGGCUUGUUUUCUUUUAUCUUUUUUUUCCCAGCCCCAUUUAGAUAUGCAUUUCCAAUCCUUCAUGAACAAGUAUAAAAAUAUGUGCAAUUAAUAAAAGCACGUGUCGUAUCUUGAUGGAUAUCGCGACAAGGGUCGAAAAUAUAUAUUGUGAAAAAUUAAAGUUGCCAUCUAUUAAUUAAAAAAAAUUAAAAAAUAUAAAAAUUAACACUAAUUUUAAAGAUUCAAGUAAAAGAUUAAUUAUGUUUAAGGAAAAAAUGAUAUUACCUUUAAAAUAUCAUUUCUUAUCAAAAGUUAUAUUUUCUAUAAGUUUAUAAGAUUCCUAAUUAACCAAGCCACCAAGUUUGAGAAUAAAGUGGGAUUUCUAGGUCGAGUGGAUGAUGAAUCAUUGAUAAAACAAUAAAUUUUAGGGAGAUUUUUUUAUUAGUGGCUAGUGAAUCAUUAAUCAAAGAGUGAGCAAUUACUAGAUUUGAUUAGAGGGAUCAAUAGAUGUAAUAAUCGGUAAACCUUUUUUUUUUCUUCUUCUUCUUUCAUAAAAAUUCAGAUAAAACUAAGCUUUGAUGGAAAUGAACAAGGUUUAGAAAAUUAAUGAAAAUAUCAAAGCCUUCAUUUUUAAGAAAAUAAAACGAGGUUAUUUAGUAGCAAUAGCCAUCAUAUGUUUCAUUACUUUUCAUAAAUCCUAAAAAUGAAAUAAGAGAAGAAAAAAAGAUAUUGAAUGAUCGAUUCAUACGAACCAUUAAUAACAUUGUUGCUACCUAAUUUUUGAUAAUUUUUUUAAAGAAACCAAAAAUAGCAAAAACAAAAAACUCAAAAAUAUAUUUUUGAUAUAUUUGUGUCGUUUGCGGCAUCUUUUACAAAGAAUUUCAAAUAAAAAAAAGAGAGAAAGAAAAAAUACAUUUAAUUUGGUUAAUGAUCUAAUUGUAAUUGUGGAAGGAAGAUGACCAAUUUGAAAAUUGAAAAACCUUUCAUCAAGCAACCAAUCUUUUUUAAUCAAAUGGUAUACAAUCAAUUCUUUUAAUUCAAGGGUUCAUUUUUCUUUGCUUUGUUUUCAAGUUAUCAAAGGAAUGAUUGAGAUUCAUUUUUGAAAUUCAAUGGUUGAUUUUGGUUUGCUUUGCCUUUAAGCCAAAAAAAACUUAUUUACCUAUAAAUAUGUGGUUAUAUCGCACACAAAAUAGAGGAUAAAUUUGGGGGGAAUUACCAAAAAAUAAAAUAAAAAAGUAAUUUUCACAUAUUAUCUCCCCACACACAUACCCACAUAACACAAAAAACUCUAAACCCAUUAUACCCUAAGUCAGCUGCCGCAUUAAAAAAGGAGGAGAAUCGGACGAUCCGUGUUGCCUUCAUCUCCCUCAUCUCUCUUGCACCAACCCGUAGCCACCCAAACCAUUUGCCCCUUUCAUCUUCUCUUCCCCAUCACUACUGUCACCCUUCUAGACCAAGCAAGCCAUCGUCUUCACCUCCACUGUUAAGCAUGACCUCUACCACCGACGACUCCCUCCUCUUUAUGACAACCCAUUCCCCAUCGUCAGCUUCCUUUUCUCAUCCAUUACUGAGCAACUCCCACACACAGAAAAAGAAAACCUUGGCCUUCUGACCAUCAUCACAGCCACAACCUACCCCUCCAAACUACCAGCCACACAACCCAAAAUCAAUAGCACCUUUUGUUUUGUUUUUUUGUUGAAAAAAAAAAACCCAUCACAAGACUCACAGAAUGCCAUCCUCCCCACAUUCUCUUUCUUCUCCACCAACCUUUUAUCAGCCUUAACCAACAACUAAACCAUUCCAGCUCUAGCUCACAACCAAACAACAAUCCCCCUUGUGAUCUUCAUAGUUUCUCUUUCAUUCCCAGUAGCAGCCAUCUAUAUAUAAAAAAAGAAAUUGUUUGAGAAAAAAACAAAAAAAAAAUUUAAAAAGGGAAACAAAUCGAAUUGUUUGCGUUGAUUUACUCUUUUAUAGGUAACGGUAGCUCUCACCACCAGCACAAAAAGAAAAAGGUGAAUAAGCAGUUCUAAAUCCACCUGUUUUCCACUUUGUUAGUGACGGCGCAUGGGUUCACACGCUGCCAGUGGUAAUGGUGCGUGAGACCCCUACACCGCCACUGUUUCUCCGCUUCUUAGAAGCUUCCCAACACUAUUCCCAGUAUUGUUUCAAAAUUUUAGGGGGCAUACUUUAUAAAUUAUAAAUUUCUUUAAUGUGUUGUUUGAAUUAUUUUAAAUUUUGAGUUUGUACUGUUUGUAAAUAUAUAAUUGUGGGUGUGUGUGAGUAAAACAUAGUAAAAAAAAAAGAAUGACAAUUAAUGGUUAAAUAUUUUGGUAUAGACGAUGGACUUAUAAGUGAGGUUGAUAUUUGAAUACUAGUAGUUGACUAGACAAUUGUUAGAGUUAUUCUAAAUAUUUAUUAAUUUUAAUUGGGAAUAUUUUUCACCGUAAUAUUCAAAUUACAAAAAAUAUUUUUAAUAAGAAUUUAUUUGAGUACACGAGCUCAUAAUAAAUUAUUAACACCAGAUUUAUUUACACGAAUAAAUCUCAAUCUUAAGCCAUAGACAGACUAUUGGUUAAGAACCCAUCAAAACCUUUAAACUACAUUUAAAACCAUAUAAAGCAACUUACCUUAGGUAGGAUGCACUAGGGGCGCUAAUACCUUCUUUAUCAACAAUCAGCCUCUUAUCCUUGAAUCUCUGAUAAAACUAGUACACUCGGAUUUUUUAACGACCUUGAAUCAAACAAUUAGGUGGUGACUCCUUUAAACCUCUCGACACUGCACGUUCAUGUGCAACAAACAUAAAGUUGAAUCCCAAAAGAAAAAGGAUGAAGAUUAUGUUGUGUACUAAAAGUAGAAGAUCAAAAACAUUGUGAGUGUGGUUAAAAAAUAAAAUCCUAGUUUAGGGUUAAGAGUUAGACAAUCUAGAAACAAAAGAGAUAGGUCAAGCAACAAGACUUAAACAAUACAAAAUUACAACAAUCCUUAAUAUCAUAUAUAAAUGAGAAUUUUAAGCAUAAUGAACUUUUAAAGUACCAUAUUAAAAAACAAAACAUUCUAAUAAAGAAGAUCAUAGUACAUCCAACAUAAGAAGAUCCCAUUUAUUAGACCCAUUAUAUUUUGCACUUUUUGUGAGGUUCUUGUGAACACAUUAAACACUUCUCUUUGUCACAUUAAUUUUUUUUUAUCUUUUAUUAUGUUUUUUUUUUGUUAUGGUUACCUAUCUUAAUUUAAAAACUUAUGUUAUUGGAUGAUACUUUAAGAAUAAUUUUAUGUUUAAAUAAUUUUCUACUAAACUUGAAAUUUAUACGAAUCUAUUAUUCUUUUAUACUAUUUUUUUAAUUAGAAUAUUUUGGAUGGUAAAAAACAUCGUAAUCAUUUUAUCAUUAAUUAAAAUUUUAAUACUAUAUUUAAAAAAAACAUAUAAAUCCAAAAAUUCAAAAGAUCCAAUAGUCACCAAAGGAGAUCAUCCUUUAUAGUACUUAAAUCUACCCAUUCCUCGUACUCAUAACUCUUUAUAGUAUGAAUAGUAUGAAUGAUGAAGACGAGGUGUUGAGUUAGUCUAACAUUUACAUACUAUUUGGAAAAAAAUAUUUGUAAUGAAUGUGUUUAGAUUUUGCUACGGGAGUGCUCUUUGUCUUCGUAUAUUCAUAACCAAUAUCAUCUCUCAAUUCUUAUCAUACUCUCAUACUCAUGCUCAUCAAUUAAACACUAUAUUCACUUCAAAAUCAUAUAUUAAUUACCCAAUUCCUUUAUUAGAAAAGAAGCAAAAAUAGAUUUGCUUUCUAUAGCUAGCUAGCAAGACUAGAAGAAGGAGGAGGAGAAGGAGGAGGAGAUCCAGAUAACUCCAGAAAUCACUGGGAACAAUAAUUUCGCAAGCGACCAGUUGACUUCGAUUACUUUCAUGGGAUGUAAGGGUGUUUUAUAUAUAUAUAAAAGGGGCUUUGCUACGUGCUAAAUAUAACUUUUAGAAAUCAAUAAUAGGUUCUCCAAUGGUGAGAUUGCGCUCCAAGGUCCAGGGCAGGUCAAAGAGCUUUGCUGUGAUGAAUUUGAAAAUCUUAUUCACAUUGAUGUUAUAGGUCGCACUUGAAAAGAAGAGAGUUGCAUUUAGAACCUUGGCAUAUGCUCUUGCCUGUCAUAAAUAAGAAUUCAAAUUACAAAUAUGUACUAUCAAAAAAAAAAUUACAUAUAUGUAAAAAAAAGAAAAAAAACGAAAAGGCAAAAGGGUCCAUUUCAUAUUUUCCAGUUAAGUUUUUAUGGUUAAUAAAUUUCUAUUAAAAUAUCGAUUGAUUGAUGUUAUUUUAUCUAUUUAUCAAUCAAGUCCUUGCAUCUUAAAACUAAGAAUAAGAAAUUAAUGCUUUCUUCAAUGGUGUAAACUUCAUCUUCCUUGAGAAACAUAAAUAAUUUAUCAAAUAAUUCUCUUAUGAAAUCUGAGGUGAUUAAUCGUUUUAAUUUAAAUAUAUAUAAAAAUAAACAAGCAUUUAAACAGGAGCAUGCGAUCCAGGAUUAUUUGACCUUUUUUUUUUCUUUCAAUUUCCGUUCAGGCUACUUAAUUAUUAGAUUGUUUAUGCCUCCACUACUAACAUGAAAAGUUUGAGUAAAAUCUUAUCAAAACUUUGGAAUGUUACCUGGCUUGCAAUUGUCCAUUGUAGAUCUAUCGGGAGCUGGAUAAAAUCAUCAAACUUGGUUCCUAUUAUAACAGGAACUGCGGUCUAAGAAAAUUCAAGAAAGCAAACAAAUAACCACAAGAUGAUCAUAAUCCUGCAGCAACCAAGAACAUAUCAAACCAAAGAAAGGUGCGCUAAUGCAGAUUUAUACCUGAUUCCAUCUCCUUGCUUCUUGGUACCACCUUAUAACACUGCAAUAAUGAUGGACUUUUCAUAAAUAAAGUAAACAUUCUACUAAUCAAUCCUUAAUGUCCAAAUUAAGAGGGGGGAAGGUGUAUAAUAGACAAUCAAGAAUUUAACUAAAGAAACCUGUUUAAAGUGACCCGACUAGUUAGAUCAAACAUGAUCAAAAUAGCCACAGAUCCCUUGCAAGCCACCGGAAUUUGCUGCUCCAAUCCUUCAUCGCCUACACCGUGAAUAACAUUUUUUUUGUACCAUUAAUUGUAUAUUUUGAUAGGAGAAGGAAGUUUUUUGUUUUUUUUUUAAAUGUGAUCUUAUUCACAAAGUGCUGGGGAAGUUAACUUACCGUCUAGUUCCCAGAGACUAUAAGAAAUACGUGCAUCCUUAACCAUCAAUGUUUUUUUCAUCAAUUUCAAACCGUUGUUAUGCUUCACUCCCUCAUCUUUCUCAUUUCCCACAUACUUUGCCUUCAAAAUAUUUGAGGGCAGAAUAAUUAUUAUAGCCAGCCAUCGUAUGGCUAAAAAAACCAUGUACGUAAAUAUUCUAUAGAAAAAUCUACAAAAAAUAUAUAUACUAACCAGAAAACUUGUCUUUCCAAUCUGACAAUCACCUAAGAGGCUAAUCUUUAAAGCUACCAAGUCUGAAUCAUUAUCGUGAUGGUUAUGACAUAUCGGUGGUGGUGUUGCGCUCGGCAUUGUCUCGUCGGUAGCUAGAGACCGGUGUGACAGCAUGCGGCGAUAGCGAACAGGCUUCCCUAAUGAACAAAUGAGAACGUGAUCCCAUAUACGGAGAAUGCAUCGUCUAAUGAUUGAAAUGUGGCGUUGAAUCUUUCGUCUGGGAUUGAAUCGAAACAUAAUUUGGCAAAAUUGAUUCAUAUUGGUUUUUGUUUGAGCAAGAGGGAUGGCCUUGAGAAGUACUGCAUGUGCAUAUCCCUUCGGCCAUGAAAGAAAUUGCUAGCUAUAGCUUGUAGUAUAUUACCCAUUUUUUCAAAGAUCACGGGUAUUUUUGGAACAUGCUAAUUAAAUUUUCAGUGACAACUGACAGCACCAAACCUUAUUUUAUUUUAUUUUUUGAACAAUAUUUUAAUCAAUCAUGUUUCUACUUUAACGGGACAAGACAAGGUCAUAUGGUCCAUAUCGCCAGCUGCUGUGUGUUCUUACGUUUCACAUGAAAUGAAAUGAAAUGAAAGGUGUAAUUUUAUUUAUUAUUGGGUUGUUGCUAGUCUCCGGUUAAUUUCUCCUACAAUUUCUAGUAGCCACAGCCUUUCCGUACGUCUAGCCAGCAAGUCCCUCACAUUUUUCUACGUAUACUGGUCGGCCUUAGCUCUCGUGUGGUGCAAGUGGUGCAACCCUUGCCAUCACUAGAUCGUAGCUAUGAAAUUAUUGUACGAAAGAACUAUUGCAGUAGCAUCGGUUGCAGAACGGAGUAAAGAAACAUAGGGCAUAGAAAUCCUCUUGGAGAAACAAUUGAUUGCUGAGAGCACAACAGAUGAGGAAGAAUUUGUUGAUAAAGUCCCAGUUGAAAGAGUUUGCUAGUUGGAGAUUGAAAGUCCAAGCUCAUCAAUGGCCAGGGUUAUUAGCAGCCACGGUCUGCUCUUCUUCGUACAACAAUGUGUUGAUCUAUUUCAGCAAGUAAGAUCGAUAUUGGUAUCCAAUUUUAGCACAGCAUUAUCCACAACUCGUUUUCAGGCUUCAUUGCAAGAAAUAAUAUAUUCUGUUGAAGAUAAUCCUUCGCGUGGAUCGGUAGCAGAAUUCGUAUUCUGUUUGCUGACUAGCUAGUUAUAGAUCGUUACUCUUAGACUUGUAACUAACAUUCCCACCCUAAGAAAGUAGCUCUUUGAUCAACUGGGUUCAUCAAAAUGAUUCCAAUUUGAACUCGGAGUUACAUUUACUGGAACAUCUUUGAAAAGGAAAGGAUCAAUUUAAGAAUGAAGGAUGUUAAAGCUGAUCAGAAGUUCAAUUCCUUGGGGGUGUGUGUGUGUGUGUGUGUGUGUGUGUGUGUGUGUGUGUAUUUGUAUAGAAUACAUAACAGCCUUGUGUGUUACAGAACAAUCUAUCUCUAACCAGUUCUAGCUGCCUAACAUUUUUGUAUCACAGGAAAGGAUGAGAAAAAUCAGUAUUUCCGACACUGUUGAUUUUAUUGUUUUGCGAUAGAGGGAGUGCUAAGAAACUUCAGCAGGAGGUUUUUUUUUUUUCCUCUAAGCUGGUGAAUUGGCGUGCACAUCUGAGCUCGGGCUAGCUUGUCGCUUGAUAUCAGUACUACUCUUCCGUUUAAGCAUCUCCUUAAUCUCUGCCUCUUUCCUGUCUACAAAAUCAAUCAAAUCCUUGAAGCUAGUUGAGUGUAAGGAGCGUCUAGGCCUUCCUGGCUGAAUCUCAUCAACCUCUGCCUCCUCACCACCUUCUGGAGUAAAUCUACGGAACUGGAAAAUGACCUUACAGCAGAAUGUGGUAAGAGCAAUGAAGCAUGAAAUGCCGCAAAUAAGAAACAGACCCCAGAAACUCGUCAGGGAGAGACGGCUGUCAUCGAUUUCAUUGAUUUGCUCCAUGCAAUCUCCAUGUGUCAGCCAUUUGUUGUGGAUUUUUUGGAGAUCACCAUUUUCUGAUAGUUGAAGAAUGGCAGUUGACAAGUCAACAGCUAGAGGAGAGUCCCUUUGAAACGCCUGCAACAAGAAAGUCUUAUUGUAAGAAAAUUACUGGAGUUCCCACACGGACAUUUCAUAACGUAUGCUGGACUUUACUACAAGCACUUCAAAUUCCUUUUGAAAACAUACCACCAGUCCUCUGGUCCAGGUCUCUCCCUUCAUAACGAAGGAGUUUCUGUGCUAACUUGCAAAUAACUAGUUCAAAAUACUGUUCUAAAUAAUUAUACAUAUCCUGCCAUUUCCUUUGGUGAUUUGGUCUCUGUUGUUAUACAGCAGCUAUUUAGUGUUACGCUCUAACAAGUGUCAAACUAUAAUGAUUUAAUACUUCCUAAAUAUCAUGAUUCAAGUAAAUAUUAUUAGUUAGCUAGUAUACCAAGUUUGCACCAUCCUAUAUGCUACUUUCAUGUCAAUAUUCAAUUUAGAAAUCAAGCUAAUCCAAACUGCAAGAUUUUCUGCAGUAAUGAUUUUUUCAUUCUUAGACUGAAAAAUAAUGUAGAUAGUACUUACAAAUCCCCAUCCACUUUUUGUGAACUCUUGGCCCACGGUCCUAAAUUUACAAUUGGUGGAAGACAGGAAGAGCUCAAUAUAAGGAAGCUCAUCAACAAUUGCAGCCACGCCACCAUUUUUUGGUCCAAGUUGAAGGGCAGUACUGUAUUCCUGCUGGCUUUUCAAUAUUACGAGUCUAGAUCCUGCUAUGUUGAGCUCGUCCAUCAGGUAGUUCCUUGCAAAUGACCCAUCUUGAAUUCCAAUCGGUUCAUUACUUGAGACCAAGCUGUCAAUCCCUUCGAUCCGUGAUGUUAACUGCUGCACUGUGAGGAUUGAUGUCAAACUAGCUGUGUAGCUUGAAUUGAUAAUCAACACUACAAAUAGCCAUAUGAUCAGCACAAAACGUCCCAAGGUGCUCACUGUAUUCUCUCCUACACCACAUCCAAGCAACUAAGAUUAGUAGGUGUUUCCCUAGAAAGCUUAUGUGAAGGAACAAGUAAAGAAAAAAUAGAUGAAUAGGCGUAGCUCACAUACUGUGUGAAAAAAACAUUGUUGAGAAACUGAACCUGCAAGAUCAGUGCAAAUGUCAGUUCGAAGCAUUCCAAUAUUUGUGAAGCAAAGCGCAUAAUAGCAAUGUACCUCCUCGGCAGGAGAACGCUUAAAACAAAGGCUUUGAAACAGCUGAUUACAUCUUGCCUACUACUGCCUAAAUAUAUUUGCUUUGCCUUAAUUACUAAAACGUUCCACAUUCUAUCAUGAUCUGUUUGACUGCAUUCUUUGAAAUAAUAUGCACCAAGAUCCUGAUCUCUCAGCUACAUCAAUGCUAUAUGCAUACUAAAAAAGUGAUUUUCAUUGCAUGUACUUUUAUUUCUGUAUUAGUUCCCCUGUAUCGCCAGGAUAUUUCAAGGCAUCUAUGCAACAGCAAGAGAUAUUUGCCUAAUUGAGCUGAAAUUGUCAGCCAGAAGGAAAUGCAAGUUUAAUAAAUUCAGGGGCCUACAAAUGAUUUCAAAGCAUGCUAACCAGAAUAUUGUCAUAAUUUGCUGACUAGGAGGACCCCUGAAUUCACGAUUCAUUCGGUGCUCAAGAAUCCAGACUACAGCUCCCACGAAAAGAAAGAAGGCACCUGUGACGAGCCACAUUUGGAUAGUAAAUGGCUUGAGGAACGCCCAAGGGCUAGACUUUUGUUCCUUGACUGGAGCAACUACAACCAGCCCUGAUUCCAUAAAAGGCUGCGUAAAAUCUACAAUCUUUGUCCUAUUUGUGACUAUAGUAACAUCUCCAACAGCUGCAUCAUAACGCUGAAGAGGAAGAGAUCAAACAGAAAAACUACUAGAAUGUAAUCAUCAAAGAAGGUAUAGCUCCAAAAUAAUGAAGAUACCAAGUUACAAAUUAUAGCCAGAUACUCACAUCUUGAGCAACCGCUUGGACAAUCUCAUUGUACUCUGGAUUUCGCUUGCCAUCUCCAUGUAGCAUAUAUGUGCGUGGGACAGGAUAUGGCAGCAAGUUUAUUGCAGCUUCGAAGACAUCAAUGCAGUAUCCCCUAACCCCUGGGGGGUUUUUGUCUUUAGCGACAAAUUGUUGAUAACUUAUGCGAUUAGGCACAGCAAUUCGCAGUGGCUUACCGUUUUCAGGGAAUACCCAUCCUCGAGGUACAAGCGAAGUUUCACCAGGCCAUAUUACACUGGAAAGAUGUUGAUUACUGGAAGAAUUAUUCCGAGGCUUUGUAUACAAGACCUCUGGAGAAAUUGUUGAAAGACCAGAGUAAUUUGACCAAUAACCAAUCCUUCUAGACCCUGUCCCACCAAUGUUAAGAACAUCAUAUGCUGGACGAACCAAGUUCCUAUCCAAAUCAAAUUGAAUUUGACCACUUGGACCACUGAAGUUCAUCCUGAGAAGUGUCUGGAGAAACUGUUGGCCUCCAUCAAAAACACGCAGUGAUGCCAAGUUCAUUGCGCUUCCUUUUGUGUCGCUCAACUUUGGAUCAGUAGAGUGUGAUAGAUUUCCACCUUCAUUGAGAAAAACAUCAAGAGCUCGGGCAGCUAACCAUACUGUAUCAUAAGCAUAAAGUGCAUAAGAAUUGAACCCAGAAGCACCGAUGCUCUUCUUGUGGUUUAGGUUGCUCCAUCUAGACAUAAAACUUCGUUUGAGAUCAGUUUCUGGAUUGUGAUGGCGAAGAGAAACAACCCCUUGUAAGAGAUUCAUUGUGUCAGUGUCAUCUGGUUCUAAUGAAUCUAAAACCGAAGGGAGCCAAUCUGUAGCAAUCCAAACAUAGCCUUUGGUCAUCAUAUGAAGACUUUUAGCUACAGAAAAAAUUGACAAACCGGAAUCUGGAUUUACAUGUACAACAUAAACCCGAGAUUCCAUCUGGUUAACUUCAAGCAACAAGUCGGAGAUCUGACUUCUGGGCACUCCAGGGGUCAAGGCAGCCUUGUAAGCGAUCUUGGCACGCUUUUUUGCCAGGGCAUCACCCAAUAUAGAUAUCCCAUUCCUGCCACAAUCAUCAUCCACAAAAAUGGCAAUUACCUCUCGCCAACCAUAAGACGUAACCAGAUCAGCAAUUGCAUACAUCUGGAAAUAGUCAUUCUGUGUAGUGCGGAGGAAAUAUGGGUACUGUAAUGCUGAAAGGGAAGGAUCUGUUGCUGCAAAUGAUAAAAGUGGAACAUGAAGUUCGUUGACAACAUGAGAUAUUAUAUGAGCUAUUCCAGAAGAUUGGGGGCCAAUCACAGCAACAACACGGUUUUCCAUCAGCUGCAAAGCUGCAUCAUGGGGAAGGAAACUUUCAUCAAAAUUCUCAUCAUUAUGUCCUUACUUAAUUACAUAGGUGCGGAUAGUCACGCCUAGCAGUUAGCUGGCAUGAACAUCUAAACAAAGUUCAAGCUAGAAAUAUCUCACCAUUCCUAAAUUUGGCUUUAAUUACCAAUGGACAUGAACAUCGAAUUUGUUCUGCAUUAUAAAUUACAACAUUUCAAUGGCUUUCAAAGUUCAAGAAAAAAAAAAGAUUUUUGCUGGUGUGGAUAAUAAAUGCGAUCAAUACAGCCACACAUACAGAACUAGGCAGCAUCUUUAGUGCUAGAGACACCAUUAUUCAUGUUUAGUCAAAGGAAACUGUAACUGCAAAGCUAAUAAGAGAAAUGGAGAUUGUACAGUAAACCAUAGCGGGCAAUGGAAACAGAGACUGCAAUUAAAACAGGAGUGCAGGAAUUUAAAAAAUGAAAAAGAGGCAAAGAAAUCCCAAAUUCAAAUACAAAAAGAAUAGUAUCUUGAAAAUGAUUUUGAGGAAGAAAUACCUUCGACAGUUCCAAGAAAUCCACUGCAAUUAGUGUUGUGAGAAAUAAGGUUCAAUCUAGUCCCGGGAAGAACGGUUGGAUCAGAAUUGACAUCGUCAACAGCAGCAGCAAUAGCUGGCCCAGCUGCUCUCCCUAUCACUGAAUCGAAGGUAAACAAACUUCCUAUAUUUGCAACACUCGGUCGUGGAGAAGAAGAAGAAGAAACACUAGUUCCAUUUCCAUUUGCAGCUGCCUGACCAAAAACAACUUCCAUGGGCACACAAAUACCAGUAAUCAACAGCAGCAGCAGCAGCAACACUCUUUUCAUCAUCAAAAAUACUCUAGUAGCACAACCACCACCAGCAAUAUUCAAAGACACAUCCAUGGUAACUAACCAAGCUUGCAAUCAAAUUAAAAAUAAAUAAAUGAUUCUCCACGUCAAGCAACCAUUUUGUUUCUUCAAUGUAAUAAGUACCUGCCAAUGAUGAAACACAAGCAGAGACACAUGUUAAUGAACAUCGAAAGCCGAAUUAUGAAUAGCAACAAAAUAUAAUAAAGUAGAAAAACAAGCUGUGGAGCCCACAUGCAAGGGAGGAAAAACAAAGAAGGAAGGAUGUUGCGGUGUAGUGGAAUAUUUUGGUAUGGCUUUAAGCUUUAGCUUAGAUCAGAUUAGAUGUUAGCAUAUAUUAGUGAUUACCUUGAAGCCCAGAUACGGAAACUAGUUUGAACAGUUGAGUGCAUCAUAAUUAAGCUUUGAGGAUGUAAUGAAAAAACAAGGAUCAAGAGAGUGGACAAAAGCUCUAAACAGUCUUGCAAGCUCAAGUAAGGAAUGAUUCUCUCCUUUUAUGUCUGCUUGUUUUAUUAUUCUCUGGUGUGUUUAAGCUUUUUGCAAAGGACCAUGGCUAGCAUUUACUACAAUUUAAUAAUAAUAAUAAUAAUAAUAAUAAGAGUUAAAGUAACUCUAAUAUAAUAUCUUUGGGAUUCCACUCCAAACAUAUAUCAGUUAAAAUUAAUUAUUUUUUUAUAUUUUUAAAUUAUUAAUAUGUUAAUGUCAAAAAUAAUUUUAAAAAAUAAAAAAAAUAUUAUUUUAAUAUAUUUCUGUAAAAAUACACUUUAAAAAAUAAUUAUUAUUACAUUCUUGAACACCUCUUAUCUGAUUAUGAACCAAAUUUACUAUUCUAUAUUUCUUUGUGGAGUAGAAAUCCAUCAUGUGAUCCCUCAAGUUUUAAAAAUUAGCUAAAUCACCCUCUUUGUGUCAACUUAUUUUAGGAUUUCUUUUCUCUUUUUUGUUAUUAUAAAGGAGAGAUUCAAACUUAAAGCCUCUUAAAGGAGAGAAGACAGUGAUACUAAUUGAGUUACAACUCUCCUUUUUUUAAAGAAAAUAAAUUAAUAUGAGAUGUUAACCCUCGUGUUUUGAAUUUGUAGUCAAGCAUGUAUGUGGUCAACCCUGGCGACUACAAACUGAACUGUUGUGCCUAAAAUUAAAGUGUAAUGGUCGAUUUUUCCAAAACUUGAGGUAUCAAGACAUGAAUUUACUUUUUAGAAGAAAAAAAAUACAUCGAAUGACCCUUCUUGUCGUAGUUUUGAACCCGGCCCGGCCCGACGGGUUGAUCCGGGGCUGGAACCGAUCCAGGUUGAAGAAAAAACGGGGGAAAGAAAAACCCGGUGUGACCCGACAGGUUGACCCGGCGACCCAGUCACGACCCGGUUGCAAACCCGUUGACUUUUGUUUUUUUACUAAAAUAACAUCGUUUUGAUUUAAAAAGAAAAACUGACCCGACCGAUCCGGUGAUCCAGUCAAAAUCUAGAACCCGAGUCUUAAAACGAACCGGUCACCUGGCCGGGUCUUAAAACUAUGCUUCUUGUUUUGAGAGUAAAGAAUCAUACUCGUAGAAGUUUGGAAGCAUUUCCAUUUAUUCCCAAAUAAUCAUGCCAUUCACGUGUACUUAUCGUGUCUACUUGUAAUGUAUAUGUAAUAGUGAAUGUACCCAUGCCACGCUUUUGGUGGAAUUCCAAGUUAAUUUCAAAUGCAAAAGGAGAAUAUGCAUGUACUAUAUUAUAGAUGUGUUUUUUAAUCUCAUAAAAUUUGUUAAUUAAGGAAGGAAGGUUUAAUACAAUGAAUUGAAAAAAAUAUAUUAAUAGGUAAAUAAAAAAAUUAUAAAUGUUAAUUAAACAUUGAAUGUUAUUUUUUAAAAUAAAAAGUAAAAUACAAAUACAAAUACAAACAUUUUACAUCGACAUCAUUUUUAUUUUAUUUAUUUAUUCUGAAGCUAUGAUUACUAAAUACAUAUGAAUUUUAAUUUUAUAAAUACAAAAUACAGAUAUAACUAAUCUAUCUUAAAUCUAAAAUCAAAAAUCAAAAAUAAAAUAUAAUAAUUUUUUUUUUGAGGUAUUGCAAAAUUAUAGAAACCAACCAAAACUUUUAUUUCUAUUAAAAUAGUCAAACUAAACAACUUUAAAAAUGAGAAAGAGGAAAUUAAUUAAGAAUUAAACUAGAAAAAAAAAACCAAUGAAAAAAAAAAGAGUCAAGGUUACUUGACCUAGAAGACUAAGCCCACCCAUUUAACCUAAAAGGCAAAAGCCUAUACGACCCAGUUUUCUAUUCUUUUUUUUUUUCAAAAAAAAAGGGUAAUAUGUUGUCUUUUCAAAUAUUGUUUUAAAUUAAUCAAACGACAUGUCAUCUGUCUAGAUCAACAACAUAUCAUUCACCAUUAUCUUUUCUAAUCACCUUCAAUGAUCGAAAAAUUAGAGUUUGACUUUUUGUACUCACAAAAACAAUUUUCAACCUGUUUUUAUGAAAAACACCCCUAAAAUACUUGAAACUUCCAUAAACUCAUUCCAACCCUAAAACAUCAUCUAAUCACUUUAAAAAAUGAAAAUCUAAUAUAAGAAUAAAAAAGCUUUACGGAACCUAGUCAUCCUUUUCUAGCAUGUUCAAAGGGCAACACACCACCUUCAUUAAACUCUCCUAUCCAAAACCUCCUAUCUAAAACGAACCAAUUAACACACUACACCAUUAAACAGUUUUACCGACGGAUUCAUUCCGUUGGUGUAAGACACACAACUCGUCGGUAAAAUAUUUACCGACAGAAUCUGUCUGUUGGAAUAUUGAUCGUUGGUAAUUCUCCUUUUUGUCGCUGAUUCUGUAGGAAAUAAAAUAAUAAAAAACAAACACCAACAGUCUUACAGACGGGGGAAGCGCACCAAUUUUUUUUUUCUCGCGAGAACUAUACCGACGGACGUGUUUCGUCUGUAUUUCCAACGGUAAAUCACCGACGGACUGACCGUCAGUGAUUGUGGCAUGGACGGUAAAUAUUUCAAAACUCUCUGUAUAAUAUCGACAAAUAUAUUUCGUCAGUAAUAUCAACAGCAAACACCGACGAAAUAUAUCAACGGUACACCAAAAUCAGCCUUUUGUGUCCAAAAUAUGGCUUACCAUACCCUUUCUCUUUCCUUUACCUUUUUCCAAUAACUUUAUCUCCCCUUCCUACAACCAAUGACUGAAAUGUAAACGAAAAAAAAUUAAAGUUUAAGAUUGAAAUAUAAGAACCUAAAACAACAAAGUUCAAAUAUGCAAAAAUUUUAAAAAAGUAAGGGACUAAAGUGAUUUUUUCCAUGUCUUUGGAUAGUAAAUACGAAGAAAAGGCUCUAUUUUUGUUUAUUUUAUUUUUGGUAAUUAUUCUAACUUUUUUUAACAAUAACCUAAAAUUCCAUUUUGUAAAAUUUUUCUUUCAUGUAAUAUCAAAAUAUUCUUUAACAUCUCGCACACACGAAAGCAUGCGAAUAAAAAAAAUGUCAAAAUAUAAAAUCAUGAUAACAUAACUUUUGAAGACGAGAUUAAAAAAAAACCUUUAAUGAUCAAAACAAAAUGAACUAAAAACUUGAGGGUCCUAGAUUGAAAAAUUGUCUAAUAAACAGGGAAAUGAGUGUUGAUAAGAACAAUGAUUUCCUAGACUUUUUUAGUUUAUUAAGUAAUAAUUACACAAAUAAGUAUUUUGUUUUUUGAGUUACAACAAAUAGGUUUUUCAAUACUUAAAAGUUAUUCAAAUAUCAAAGAUAAGAUUUGAUAAGAUCCAUUCAUAUAUCUGAACAAAUUAUGUCUCUUUAAAUCAAAAUUAAUUUCUUAUGCAAUUUUCCACAUAACAAAUACAAGUUAUACAACAUAUGAAACAAGAUGAACAUAACUUGCUUGGAUUAGCUUGAUAUGGAAGUAGCUUUUGUAUUCGUUCAAAUUAGAUCAGAUUGAAGAAUUUAUUCACUUGUUAAGUAAUCAUUAUCCAUUCUAUUUUGUUUUUCUAUUUAAAAAUGAAUAAAUAUGUUAUUUUUAAAAACCAUAUGAAAUCACAUAGUUAAAGUAUUGAAAUAAAUAAAUAUUUAUUCAUUAAGAUAAAAUACAAUAAUAAAAAAAUGUUAAGUGAUAACAUAUAAAAAUCUCCACUCCUCCCUUCACCUAACCUUGUAAAACAUGACUAAUUAACCAAUAGUUAUUUAAACCAUACAAAAACUAAAACCAGCUAUGUCAAAUGACAUUGGUAACCAAUAAGCCAAGUAAAAUCAAGCAUAAUUCAAUCCUUCUAUUUUAAUGAAACUAAUUAAUUAUCAUCAUGAGUUUAGAAACUAUAUAUUCAAUCUUGAAAUUUUAAAAUAUGUUUAUGCAUUAAUAAGAUGGACAAUCCAUAAUCUUGUUUUAUCUUUCUAAAGCUCAUGAUUACACCUCUAAACACUAUAAAAACUGAGGUAUUCACUGUUAUAAAAAAAAAAAUUUGUAUAGUAUCCUCCUUAUAUGUGGGGUAAUACAUAUACAUAAAAUCUCAAUAAAUAUUGUUUAUUCAAUAAGAAUAUGAGACUUUACACAAAAGAUUACAAUGCCUUGAAGAAAUAGGUAAAUAUAUUAAUUUCUAAGGCUACAUCUAACAAUUUAUAUAUAAAAAAAUAGAUGGAGAACUAGUGUUUAUCAUUUAUCUUUACCUAAACUCCUUUCAUAAGCCUAUUACCUUUUAUACCUCAUGAUGGAGAACAAGUAUCAUUUUGAGGAUGCUUUGGUAAUAAUCAUUGUCCUUUCCAAUUAUAAAGUAUAAAAUAUGCUCACGAUAAUGGAAACGUGGUGAAUAUUUUCUUAAGUAAUGUUGUAAAUGGAAAUUAACCCCUUCAAGUUAAUCCUUGUUAAAACGCCUCUAAUUGGAAUAAAAGGGAAAAUUUUUCUAAACAAAUGUUUUAUUGAUACACUAGUAAACGUUGAAACUUAUUUCAAAAGUCUCUCUGCAACAAAUUUUUAUUGUUAUUAAAAUGGACUUGGCUUAUAACUUCAUCAAUGACCAGCCUUUGUUUCAUGGGAUUAGAAUGACAAUCAAUAUAAAAUAUCUAGUUAUGAAAUUUUAUAUUGAAAAGGAGUUGUCACAGUAAAGAAAAAUCAAUUAAUCUUAAAAAAAUACUUCUCCAUUUGCCUCAAAUAAAGCUAUGUUUAUUGAACAAACAAGGUUUUUUAAAGAGAGGGCAAAGAUAUGGACUAAAGCCAUGAAAAGAUAACCAAUCGACCCCUAUGAAAUAUGUCUUCAUUUACUUUAAAGAUAAGAAAACUAUGUUUAUAAAACAAGUAAGGCCUCCAAAAAGAGAGACCAAAGAUAUGAAUUGAAGCCAUAAAGGGAAAACUAAUUAGCCUUUAGGAAAUGCACCUUCACUUUUCUUAAAGGCAAGAAAACUAUAUUCAUUGAACAUAUAAGGCCUCUAAAAAAUAGACUAAAGAUAUUGACUAAGGCUGUAAAAGAUGAAAAAGAAGUAAGUCUCUUUGAACAUGAUACUAGUGUAAUUAUUAAGAUUAGAUUUGCAUUAAACAUCGAGUAGGAGAAAGCCAUCACGAAGCUUUUUAAAAUCCAAAGGACUAAUUUCACUUUUAAUCCCUCAGAUACUCUAAGUAUAGACUAGGAUGUGGCCUCCCAUAUAUCAAACAUCAAUUUAUCUCUCAUUUUUACUAGGAAAAAAAAAGAGUUUUAAGGUGAAAGAUAAAAGGUCAUAAUUGAGGAGGUAGAUAAGUUGCUAGAAGCAACUUUCAUUUGAUAAGUAAUGUACUCUGAUUAGCUUGCCAAUAUGAUUAUGGUGAAAUAAUGGUCUUGAAAGAUUAUCAUGUUCUUUUUCAGUCAUUGAUUUGUACCCAUUGCAUCUCCUCUUUUGAUGCUAUUAUAGUAUAAGAACAGUUGGUCUGAAAAACUAGUUUUGAUGUGGACUUUUUGCUCUAUAUAACAGUAUGUUCAGUGCUACAAAAUGGUUAUUAUUUCAUCCGGGCAAGAGUACAAGUGAUAGGGUGUAAAGGAGGGGUGUUUUUUUGUCUUAUGUAAAGGAGAAAGGAGGGAGUUUUAAACCUUGCGCGCACACACACACACACACACAGAAAGAGAGAGAGAGAGCACAGUUGCCCAUUUAUUCUGUCUCACGGGAAGUUGAAGACAAUCUACAAUGCUUCCUAAAAUGACUUUGUUUCCUUUAUAUAUAUAUAUAUAUAUAUAUAUAUAUAUAUAUAUAUAUAUAUAUAUAUCAAAACGAGGUGUUUCAUUUAAAUGAAACAACAUCGUUUUGACGGUUAAGUUCUUCUUUUUCAAUUUCAAUCUUUCAAUUUAUUCAAUUAGGUCCUUAAUUGAAUUUUAGGAAUCAAUUCAAUUUUACCCCUAUAUAGUUUCAAAAACAUCCCCUGAUUUCAGUGUGUUUUUCAUCUUAGUCCUUGGUUUUGGAUUUAUAAAAAUUGAUCCUGAUCCUCAAUUGAUCAUUUAACCUUUGAUUUUCUUCCAUUUGGCCCACAAUUUCAUUGAUUUUAGCCCCUGAAGUCUCGCGCCUCUAACAAGUCGGUCCCUGAUCUUGAAGUUCUUUGAUUUUGCUCUUAAUUGACCCUAAAACUUUAUUUUUCUUGCAAUGUUGUCCUUAUUUUCACCCAAUUGACUUUGUAGAAAUUAAAUUUUGUCCUCUAAAAUUUUAAUCUUCUCAAUUAAACUCAAAUCAGGCUUUCAAUCUUAAUUUUUCAUCAAUGAAGUCUCUAGUAAAAUUAAAUUGACCAAUUAAAAGUCUAAUUAAAUCCUUGCACUUAAUUAAAUGUUUUAAUUUGACCCAAAUUAAUUCUUAAACUUAAUUAAAUCUUUAAUUGGACCCAUAAUUAAAUCAAAUUGACCUAUCAAAAGUUUAUUAAGUCCUCAUACUUAAUUUUUAUGUAAAUUCACCUAAUGGUCAUUUAAUUUGGCCUUAAUUUGUAUUGUAUCUUAGUCUUGGAUUCAAUUAGUUUAAUUGGGCUCCACAUUCUGUUCAAAAUCCUAAUUUAAUUCCUCCAUGUGCUUGAAAUCCUUCUUAGCCUACUCUUGCUAAUAUUUUUUUAUUUUCAUUUUUAUUGUUAUUUUUUGUUACUUCUUAUUUGAUUUGAUUUUAUUGUAUUUUGAAAAUAUUUAGAAACAGAGGGUAAAAAAUUGGGUUAUGAAAGAACCAUAGUUUCCUUAUUUCUAUUUUGUGUAUCAGAUCUAGAACACCUUCUAAAACUUUUUGACACAAAUUAUUGAAACAAUGCUCAAUUACUAUUUGUGACAUACCUCGGUUUAAUCUCUUCCACUUUUCAAUGUCAUAUCAGAGCUGACUUUUCUAAUUACUUGUUUAUGGGUAUGGGUAUCGUACCACAAAUCAUGCAACCUGUUAUAGAAAUUUGUUAAACAAAAAAAAGGCAAGGAAAUAAAAGAAUACAAGUUUACAAUAAUAUAACAUUAGUUGGUUUAAACAUACCUAGUUGCACAAUGGUUUUCCCACAGUCUCCUAACAAGUGUCUUGUUGCUUUUGUCCCACAAAAAAAAAUUUCUUAAUUGAUUUCAUACAUUAAUUAGUUUUCAAAAUUUUAAAAACUAGUAACUCAAAGUAGAUAUUAUUUAAUUAUCUAACCUUAAACUUUCUCCAUCAAACAUUUACCAUAUUCAUCCAUUCAGGAUGCUCAUAAAGCUCACUCUAUUAAAACAAUGGUUCUUUAAACAACCACUUCAUUGUAGAGGUGAUCGAACAUGCAACUUCAAUAUUAGUGAACUUGAAAACCAUUUCAUCAAUGUCAUUUUUAUGUAAUAUAAAACUUAAAAUAACUUAAUACAAUAAAUAACUUCAAUAUUGAGAUAAAAUAUUAAUUAUAUACAAUGGUCGCCUUUCCAUUAUGCAAUAAUUUUAUCUGAAAAAGGCCCUAUCAAAGAAGAGAUGCCUACUAUGUUGUCCUUAUUGGUUAAGUCUUGAUCGGUAACUUUUACAUUAAGUGGUGUGUCUUUAUAAUCAUCAUCUAUAUUAGCAACACAAUCACCGACACUAAUACUUGAUAAAGUAGUAGCGCUCUUAUUAGACUUACACAUAUUUCUUCUUGAAUAUAUGGUACCUAAAAAGAAACAAUAACAUAAUGACAACACAUACUCAUGGAAUUUAAAUUCGAACUCAUAUAAGCCAAAUUUUAUUUUGCCAAAUUUUCUAAUAAACAUGCUAAGAAAAUUAACACACAAAGAGAGAACAUAAAACAAAAAAUAAAAUAUUCAAAUAUGACUCUAUAACCAUAUAAAAAUAGCAUCUCACUUCAUCAAAAAAUUAACCAAUUACUACAUUUCCUUUCAUAGAUAACACAUCUAAAUUAGUAAUAGCCUUCACAUUUUUAUUUGUGCUACUCCACAACAAGUACAUUUAAGGAAUCCAAAUCAAGCAAAAAAUGAUAACAUUAUCCCUACAUAUAAAAAACCCAUAAUUUCUCAUUUUCUCGUACUUUCUUAGCUACCAAACAAAUAGGUUACUUACAUAAACAAUAAAAAAGAAAUCAUAUUACUAAACGAACAAUCCCCCCCUAGUCACAUAAACUUAGCCAUAAAUUAUCUUCUCUUCACUUCACUAUUUAACCAACCAAGAAACCAUAAUUGAUACUUAAACAAACUCUCUUCACUUCACUAAUCUCUUUUUCUUAGUUAGCUAAAUACUUAAAUUAUAAAUUAUAAAUCAUUACCCCACUUUUCCACCAACCAACCACGAACCCAAAUCAUCAAUAAAAAUAAUCCUCCACUAAACCAAGUAAAAAAAUAAACAUUUAAAACAAUACCUAAAAUUCAAAAAAACAAUCUUCCUAUAUUACCAACAUGCAAAAAUUAACAAAACCCAAAAAAACCUAAAUCACAUGAACCAAAUAACAAAUAAAUUACCUUCAAAUCGGGUAAAAACCAUAACCCAAACUUAGGAUUUAACAAUGCCAAGUCCUUAGUUUAUUAAAUGAAGAAGAAGAAAUCAAACUUGAGAUGGGUAGAAAAGAGGUAUUGUCAACGUGGGAUGUGUGAGUGGGGUAGGGGUAAGAUAGUUACUGUUGUUGUUUUGAUGAUGAUGAAUAAGAAAAAGAAAAAGAAGAAGAAGAAAAAGAAAUAGGAAGAUGAGAGGAACUCUUGAGUUUUAAUUCAUUUUAAAAACAUCAAUGAAAAUUCAUUUAGUAAUUUAAAAAUAUUAAAAAUACCAAUGUAAUUGUAAACAAAAUAUUUUUAUUUUUUAUUCCGUUUAUUUGUUCCCAUAAAAAAUUACUGAAGAAAAUCUUUCAUCGUAAUUUCCAUAAGUAAAUAAUUAUGAAACAUCUUUUGUCAUGUUUUUGUUAUUAGUGUAUGCCCACAUCUAUUUGUUUUUGUUACUAUUCUCCAAUUUUUUAGUGGUGUAUGCUCACGUCUAUGAGCAAGUUGGUUUGUUUUUGCAAGUAUAAAUACUUCAUGAAAAUGUCCGGCAAGGGAGGACACAAAAAAAGAAAUAGAUAGACUCCUACAAGGAGAAAACAUUCUCAUGUGCGGAAAGGUCCAGAAUCAAUCAAGGUUUUCAGCAAGGAAGGAAGAUGAUAAAAACUCUUGCUUAAAAUGAUUCAUGCAUGCAUGUCAUAUAAAAAAGAGAAAAGAAGAGAAAAAUCUUUUGAGAGACUACGACCGUGUCUUCAUCACAAAAUUGGAAAUUGAUUAUCAUCUUUAUAAAUUUAAGAACUCGAGGUCAGUCGGAGCACGUUGCAGGUGAAGUGUUGAAUAAUCAAACUGUGAAUUUAAAGGACAAAGGUAGAGUAUACGAAGGUGGAAGUUUCUGACUCAAAAUAAACUUUAUUUAUAUUACAAUCCAUACAAAAAUACCAAAAUCUAUUCAAAAGAUACUCCAAAAAAGAAAAAGAAAAAGAAAACAAAACUGUAGUUAAUUGAGGUGGUGGGGUUGGGACCAAGGUUGUUAAAAUCGCGAUUCAACUCGUAAAAUCGUACGUUUUUACGAGUCAAUAUAGGCUUUACGUGCUAAAUCGUUCACAAAACUCGGAAAUGGGUAAAAUCGGGUCAAAAUCGGGUAAAAUCGUUAAAAUAGGGUGAAAUCGCUUAAAAUCACGAUUUCACUGCCGAUUCAACGAGUUUGCCCGCAGGAGAUAAAACAACAAUGUUGAUGACAGGUGUCAACCGCCUAUUGGCUUUAACCGAGCAAAAGUGACAAAUUGACAAUUGCAAAUUCAUCGAGGAUGCACUAUGCAGUCUUCUCUUCACAUUUCUGAUUUCACCAUUCACGUUCAGAACAGAAAAAAUCCCUAAAUUGAAAUCCAUAAGCAUACCAUCAAGCCAUGAAGUUUGGAAAAGAAUUCAAGACCCACCUAGAAGAAACCCUUCCUGAGUGGAGGGACAAGUUUCUCUACUACAAGCCCCUCAAGAAACUCCUCAAACAAUUACCUUCCACCGUUGAUUCUCCAUAAUUUCUUCACUCUCUGAUCAUGGAAGCAGACGACUUGUCAGUCCUUCACAAAUCACUCUUCGAAGACAAACUCUCUGCCACCGAUCUCUUCUUACAAAAACUCUGUUCUGAUACUUCCAUCAAGUCAGCCCUCCAACGAUUCUACUCGAUUCUAAAACGCGGCGUUUCACUGAUCGAUGAUGAUGCUAAUAAUAGUGAACGCAAGCUAGGGUUUCAAUUAUGGACCGAUUCGCAAAUUCAAUCUGUCGUUUCACUCGGUAUCGCCAUCGUUUCGUCUUCUAGAUCUCUGUCAGGUUGUCUUUUUUACUCGAUUUCCACUUUUAUUUAUUGAUAAUUUAUUUUAAUUCAUUUUUCUGUAUGGUUGAAUUUUAAUUAGCAGUUCAGUAGUUAACUUGCUAAUAAUUUCGAUUUUAUUUUAUUUAUUGAUAAUUUUUUAAUUCGCUUUUUUUUUGUAUGGUUGAAUUUUAGGAUUUGCAAGAAUGGUUUGUUAGAAUUCUUAGUGAAGAGCUUGACAAGUUCAAUGAUUUCUAUGUUGAUAAAGAAGAAGACUUUGUUAUACGCCUUCAGGUUUCUUUCUUGAUUUUUCUUUUCUUUCUUUGUUUUACAUGUUUAUAGCUUUGUGCAUAUGGGUUUUUAAUUUCGAGGCUUUUGUUUAUUAUAGCUCUGGGAAUUUAAGGUAUUGUGGUUUGAUGGUGGCUUUUAAGGUUUUUUCUAUAUGCAUGUCUUGUAAAUCCGAACUCAUGGGUCUGGUUUAAGGGUUUUGUAAGUUUUUGAAUAAUCAGGAGAGGAGUAGAAUGGAGAAGACAUCGUGACUUCAUUGGAACAGGAGAAUAGUGGGAUGUCAAGGAAAAAAGACGCAUAAAAGUGGCUUUCCUUUCCCUGGUAGUGCUGGGUGGUGUUGUCAGAUAGUAUGUGAAGAGGAGAUUGUCGAUGGGAUUGGAUGGGCUUGAUAAAGUUAAGAAUAACUUUUCCAGUUUGUGGAACUUGCUGAAGUAGAGCAGAGUAUUUUGUAGUAUAGUUAUAAGGCCAACCAUCGUCAAUUAUAGCUGACAAUGGGAUUGUUGGAAGUCAGUUGAGGGAAUUGAGGGUGCUGAAAUGAGGAUAUUGAAAUGAAAUGCCAGGUCAUCAAUAUAUGAGAAUUCUUGGGUUAUAACUUAUGAUGAAUGGAUUCUGUCUAUUAUUUGUAAUUUGGAUGAAUGGAUUCGACGAAUGAAUUCUGUCUAUUAUUUGUAAUUUGAAUGAAUGGAUUCUGUCUAUUAUUUUCUGAUUGGAUAAUAAUAUAGAAGAUGGGCUGUUAUGUAUUAUGUUUUUUUUUUAACAAAAAUUUAAUUACAAUUAUAAAAUGUUUGGAUUGAUUACAAGGCUGAUUUGAAUUGAUUCUUGAAUUUUUAUUUGAAGCAUGAAUUUUUUUAAGGUAUUUUAAAAUUCCUUACGAUUUUACGAUUUUACGAUCCGUUUUUACGAUUCGAGUUUGUUUUGCAUUUUCCGUGCCGUGUUAAAAUCGCGAUUUUAACAACCUUGGCUGGGACCUCAGUACCUGGUCCUUUCUUUUAUAGCUGUGUGAUAUUUGUCAGUGAAGGUAAGGCCCCCAUGCAGAUGUCCCUUUUUCACUCUUUUUUCUUUUUCCCGACCCCAGAUAUAUGUGGACUGUUUCAUGUUUAUUUUAUUGGACACAUGUAAUAUUUAAUCAAUCUUUGGACAUGUUGUUGCCUCUCUUUUCAUCAUAACUUUUGGGUGUUAAUGAGGGUUGCUUGCAGCAGCAGAUUUAAAAUAAAAAUAAAUAAAUUUUCAUAAAAAAAAAACACGUUGAACCUCAUCCACGAAUAUUAGAUAUGCGUUUACAAUCUCCACGUCUCGUGAUGCUGUCAGACAAAAUCUCCCAUAUUAUAGUAGAUCCAACUCUGUUUUGUGUGGUGUGGCUUCAAAGAUUUUAGCUCAGCCCCACGUUUACAAAAGUUUAUUGUUGCAAUAAAAAAAGAACAUAAUUAGAUGGCAAAAUCUAAAUUAGACCAACCAUAUUAGCUCGAUGUGUGAAUGCAGAUUAGAGAUGCAUCCCAUUAUCUAUGAAAGCUCUUCAGAAUACUUUUAAAAAUGAUACAGAAAGGGAGAGCAUUCCCGCACCCAAUUACAGCACAGGAGCAAGCUCUUACUGGUUCCAACUUCCAAGCCUUAACCCCAAGGAUGGGUCGACGGUCAGCUUGACUUGCUAGCAAUUGAAUUUUAUGUUUUGAAAAAUUGAUUUGAUGCCUAAUAACCAACCAAUGGUAUGCCCCGCAGUGUUUGUCAGGCUAAGCAUAUAUUUCCACGAAAAAAAAUAACAAUCACUACGCUCGCAAUGAUCACCACUUAAAAAUGAUACAGAAAGGGAUAGCAUUCCGGCACCCAAGGGCAGACGGCAUGUUAAAGGAUACAUGUAAAGAUUUUAUCAAUAUUUUUUAACUAGUUUUAUAUAAAAACAAAUUUAUAAUUUAUAAUUGAGUUGUCAAAAAAUUUUAAAAAUUUACGUGGAGCCUUUUAAUAUGAUGUUUUACCUUAGAUUAAAAUUUCAGAAUUUUUGAAGAAAUUCAGAGAUUUAAUGAAAAAUCACAAUUUAACUAUUUUUACGUUAUUGGACGUAAUUUUCAAUACGACCAUCAGAUUGAGCUGAAGUUUUACGAGGGAUCUUAAAAUAUAUAGAAUAAAAUCUGGUUAAAAUUUUAGGAUGAACAGAGUUUGAUAGUGCUAAAAAAAAAGGACCGUCAAAUAAAAGCAAAACGACUCAUUAAGAGCAAAAUAAUUAUUUGCCAUUAAAAAAUAAAACAAAUCAACUCUUCCUUUUUUUCAUAUGUUGCCGACCGGUCAAAAGUAGAAUAGAAAAAAAAAACCAAAAGAAAAGACGAGAGAAAAAGAGAGAAAAGUAAGGGAAAAUUAAAUAUAAAAAAAAGUUCAAGGAAAAUAAAUAAGAAAAAUGAGAGAAUAACCUUGUAAACUUACAAAGUCCAACUUAUAAAACACCAAUCUAAGGAAGAAUCAAGUGAAGGAAGGAGGAAUUGAGAGAGGAAAAAAAUUUAAUUACUUUUUUUUCCAGUUGACAUGAGAUUGUUAUUUUAUCCCGGUUGAGGGGUUGUUACAAUAUUGAUUCAGAUUCGAUUAUAGAUGAAUUAUAUUCUACAAAACAUCGAAGGAUGUAACUUCAAUAUAUAGUUGAUUUAUUUUUACUUUCACUUCAAUUUUAUGUACUUUCAAAUUUAAUUUUUAAUAUUUUAGGUAGUGUAUUUGAAUUAAAACUUUACAGUUAACUUCAAAAAUUCAUGUACAUGAGUUAAUAAUUGAUUUAAAAAAAAAUUAUAUAUUUAAUUAAUAACUCAAGGCAAGAAAAAUGACUCCACCUUGCCCGCACCCAUUUACAGCACAGGAGCAAGCUCUUACUGGUUCCAAAUUCCAAGCCUUAACCCCAGGGAUGGGUCGACGGUCAGCUUGACUUGCUAGCAAUUGAAUACUAUGUUUUGAAAAAUUGAUCAGGUCGUCUGUAUCCUAAUAACCACCCAGUGGGAUGCCCCGCAGUGUUUAUCGAAAGUCAAUUUUAUUCUAGGAUUGACUUGCUAGCAAUUGCUAAGCAUACCUUUCCACGAAAACAAAAUCAAUGUGCAGUCAAUUUAUUAGUAUUGGGAUGACAGGUGGGCAGUUUUUUUUAUGAACGAAGGCUGGUAGCUAGGUGGUUAGUGCAGAAUCCCCACCACCACCAUCUCCAUCUCAUAGGAACCAACAUUAUUUUUAAAAAUAAAUCAUGAAUAAGUUUAGAAAUAUAUCUAAGUAAUUAAUGGCAUGUAUAGAAUAAAUUUAUGAGAAAACACAUAGUAAAAUAACAUUUUUUUUCAUUUGAAAAGAUAUUGUAAAGGUGAUAUUUAUCUUUUCUUAAGCAUAAUUAACUAACUUAGUAGCUGAAUCUUUGAGACCGGUGUCAAUUUUAGAAUUUUUAGUUUUUUUUUUAAUUAUAUCAUAUAUAUUCAUAGUGAUGUGAUAACUAUGUUAAUGUACGAAACCGGGUUAGAUUUAAAAACAUUGUAGAAUAGAUCCCAUGAAAACAUAUAACAUUACUUUAUAUAAUAUUACAUGUGAUGGAAACAGGUACUAAAGCAGGCAUAAAAAAAAGUAAAAAUAACCAUCAUAAUAUUUCAUUACUAAUUAUUUGUCCAUUGCAUAGAGAAAUAACAUAAUAUUAAUGGGUAGAGAUAACAUAUAUAGUAGUGGAUAAUAUAUAUAUAUAUAUAUAUAUAUAUAUAUAUAAUUUGCAAUAUCAUAGAGGUGAUAUGCAAUAUCUAAACCCUUUCAUGCAUAUAUAAUUAAGGCAAGGCUAGCAACAUAAGACAGCUAAAUAUCCAUUAGAAUUUUAAUGGAGUCUUGAUGACCAGAGGUUUGAACCCAUGUUGGAUACUUGCUUGCCAAACUUUGUCAAUGUCAGCCAUGGUAGAACCGCAUUCAUGCUCGUCCCAUCCUUCCAAGGCAUGCACUAUUCCAGCCACACGCCAUGCGCUCAUCACUCUUCUUGGCAGCCAAUUCUGUCAUCAAGUAUUUUGCAAUACAAAUUAAUUAUCUUUCCUAAAUUAAGAAAAUAAUGCAAAUAGUACUUUAAUUUUCUGCAAUAUUUGACUAAUUAAUUACCUCGCAAGAGUCCACAUUUUCAAGAGAUGCAGGGGCUGCCAUUACUGGUAUGCUGUGAUAGAAGCAAUCCUUGCGCAAUUUCUUUGGGGGAAAUUGCGAGAAGGGAAUAAAUAAUGUUCCUUCUGCUGCUUGUUUUUGGUCCUCUUCUUUCAAUCCAUCCCCAACUAACCACGUCUACACAACAAAGUUUAUUAUGAUAUUAGAAAUGUCAAUAUAUAUAUAUGCUACUUAAAUAAUUUAAGUUGUAAUUUUAUUUUAUUUUUGACAAAAAAAAAUUGAUUUCUAAUUCCUUGGUAGCUAAUGAAAGCAUACCUUUAUUGAAUAACUCUUUGAAAGAAUUAGAUUGUUCUGAUCAGAUGUGAUGCCGAAAGAUUUUUUAACCUCACAUGGUACAACUACCUAAAAAAUCAGUGAAAAUAAUCGUAAUAAUUAGGAAUUAUAAAUUAAAACAUGACCAUAAAUUAAAUUUGCCUAUACAAUCAAUUUAAAUAAAUUACUGUCAAAUUGAAGCAAGUGACAACCUGUGCCUAUUUGCCUAGUAGCCUAGUAGACAACAACAAUACCUGGAUUCCCCUCUGGCAGAGAUUUAAAGCAACAGCAUAGGCAACCUUAGAGAGAUUGCCUCUAUGAAGCACUUGUGUUGUUCCUUUAGGUAUGCUAUUCAGCACUGCAGCAACGGCUAGACUGCUUCCAUCCACCACCUUCGUUUUGAGCCUGGGAUGCCUUUGCACAUAAAGUUCACCAUACCUAUUAAGCUCCUCUCCCUGCAUAAUUUAUGUUUGAACAUGAUGAAGAUAUAAUUAAUAAUUUAUGGUAUCCAUGAAAUAUGGGAAAUUGAAAAGAAAAAAAAAAACCCUAUAAACUCAACUACGUGGCAUCUAGUAAUGGCCGUUCUAAAGUAACCACCACUGUUUUUUUUUCCCUAGAAAUGCAUUAUAUUGAAGUGCUUGCCUGAUUCAAGAGACCGAGACUUAACACUUUAACACCUUUUUCCUCAGCUUCAAGUACAGCUUCUUCAAUCAAGGUAUUUAUGGAUACUUUUUGCCAUCGCAAGUUGUACUGCCAAAAAUUAGAUAAGCAAAUUAAGGAGAACAGAUUAAACUGAACGCCCUUGAUUAAUCAAUGACAAAGAAAUAUCCUUCUUAAUUACUUGAAUAUUGUAUUUUGGUAAGGUCCACGUCUGUAAUCUGAGUUUGUGGAAGCGAUUCCUCUCGACAACAAAAGUGCGUCCAUAAGUCCAAGUUAACAUCAUGGUCCACAAGGUCACCGGCCACAUUAACCAUAGAUACCACUUCGAUUCUUGAGGGUUGGAAGCCAAGCAGGCAAGUCCAAGCCGUAAAUGAUAGAUGGAAUCUGGUGUGGUAAGAUGAGUUAGAUGCACUACAUCAGGGGCUUCCUCGGGUCUCUUGAGCGAAUCUUCAUAGAGGGUAACAGAAGACGUGUCCAUUGUGCCAUAGAUGUAAUCAUAGAUGGGCAUGAAUAGUGAGUAAUUGGUUCUGAAUUGAGUGUGGUGAAGAGAGUGGUACCUGCAGCCAUAUCAAGUGUUUAUUAGUUCAUCAUGGAGGGAGUAACUAGUUCUAAACUGGCUUUGGUGAAGAGAGUUGGAACUUGCAGCUGCAUCAAAUGUUAAAUCAUGCAUUCGCGCUUAUCAGAUAUUGUUUUGAACACUGAUUAAUAGACAACGCAAUAAUGCACUGUCAGUGAAAAUAUAGUGGAAAAGGUGAAAUGUACGCGUCAAAGCUAUUAAAAUACAGUAUAAAAUCACAAAACGAUACUAUGGAAUUAUAAUUAACAGAGUAUUUUCCAUAGACGACUGUAUAUUCUUUUCAUCUUCUUUUUAUGCAAAAUUUGGUGAAUCAUUUUCCUGCUUUUUGUUCAUAAGUAUGGAAGAAAUCCCAUUAAUAAAACGAAGAGGAUACUGGUGAGAAUUAAUGAUUGAAAAUGCAAAAAAUCAACUGAGAUACAUCUAGACUUACGAUGGGGUGUACAUGAGGUACUUGAGAGGGGGGAAAAUGAUGAAGAGCCAUCUGGGAAUGAGUUCAAAGUUGCAGUGACCCAUGUUGUUCAUCAAGUCGAUGUAAGUGAUAUAACCAGCAAAGGAUGUUAAAGAGGCUGUCCCCGUCACAAUAGUCGUUAUCAAAGGUAUUGCGAAUAGCAUGGAGUAGGAUAUGUGCUCGGCGAAUGGAUGAAUCACAGCUGCGAUGCAGAUUUCCAGAAAGAAAAUGUCAAAUAAUUACACUUACUGUAUAUCAUCAUCAUGUAUUGCUAAUAGUAAUGGAGAAUGGUAUGCGUUCCCCUCAAUCACACACAAGAUUUUUCUUCCGUUAUUAUAAAAAUACGCGAACUUAAAACCUUCUAUGAAAGGUCAAUUAAACUAAGUUUAUCAACGAUCACACAAGAUUAUUAAUAAUUCAAAUGCACACCAUAUAUAAAUGUGUGUCAUUCUUCUUAAGGAGUACUUAAGAGAUUAACUAUUCACUUUGAAAUUCUUAAAUAACUUUUAAACCACCAACACCAUAUAUACAUGGGGGCCGGGGGUGUUUGGAGGGAGACUUACAAGUAAUGGGCUCUGUGACAAUGGAGGAAUGGUGGUGGGAAUGAUAGCGAGAGUAGAGAUAGUGGUGAUGAAGAAGUCGAUGAAGCCAAUAAUACAGAAAUUCCACCGGACCCAUAUGAAUCAGAGCUGUUAGAAUUACACCAUCUAACCUCCACAUGGGGAGAUGGCUAGCUCCUGGAAUUAUUUUGCUACCAACGUAGAAUAAAAUUCCAUUGAACAAUAUUUGGUCAUCCCUGCGGAUAUCCAACCAGAAAAUCCAAGUAUCAAAAAACUCACAAGCACUAGAGUGGAAAUUAAUGCAUGAAAUUAUUGAAAAAGUAUAUAUAUAUAUUUGAUUAUACAAAUACCAGUUGCUUUCUCUAUCAACUUGAUCAAAUUCAAUGCCUUUGUCAAUAAUCCUGUUAUUUCCUUUGGCUGUUCUGUAACGGGACAGGCUGAUCCAUAACUGGUUGUGAAGAACUCUCCACAACAGAAUUGGGAAAAUGAGAAAGCUUGGGAGAUCUUUUUCAUCUUUAACCAUAAAGGCGUAGAUGUUGUGAAUGACACAAGGAGCCAAUAUUACAUGCUGCAAUAUUUAAACACACAAACAAAACACAGAUAUAUAUUAUUGUUUUAGGGUUAUGAUAUAUUAACGUUGUUUGCACGAAAACGAGUUACUCUACGUGUGAUAUCAGAUAACGAGAAGAAAAGGAGCGAGAGAGAGAGAUGGGAGGGAUUUCCAUAUGACCUUAAAGCUUCCAAGAGGUUUCCAUGGCCAGUCUGUGAGAAUUCCAGGCCGAGAAGCCAUCACUUCACUGCUACUACUUGUCUUUGUUUCCUCGCUUGUAGCUAGGGAAGUCGUGUAUUUAUAGACGAUGAGUAAUAUAUUUUCUUUAGCGUUAACGUUAUAAUUAUUGAUGAGUAAUGUUUUUUUAAUAACAGUACUGCCGCUCGAUCAAGUUAGAGCUGAGUAAAUUAUAAAUUAAUCCUUUUAAUUUUGGAAAAUAAAUUAAUUAGUCAUCUUCUUAAAAAAAAAACAAAUUAUUCAGUUUUUUUGAUCUAUUAUAUGUUAUUUUCUAAAUUAUGUUUUAAUAAAUAAAUAGAUAUUAUGGAAAGAUUGAUGAGAAAAGUAGAUAUUUUUGUAAAUAAAUUAAUAUGAAAGUAAGCAUGAUUAACAAUGAUAAGUGAUUAAAUAAUUAAAAUAGAUUGGUCAACCAUAUUUGUAAAACGAUACAUGUUUCAAUAUACUAAACUCUCUUGCAGGGUAUUCUUUGUCUUUUUACCAUGGCUUUCUUUUUAUUAAUAUCAAGGUUACUCAUGAUGAUUAUUAUAUAUAAUCAUAUAUUAAAUAUUAUUAAAAAAAAAUUUAGUUUGUGCGUCGAGCUAAUAAGCAGGCGUCAUGUCAUUUGGACAGUAUAUGUGAGGUCAUGCAGUUAUCAAACACCACCUACUGCAGUAGUAUUUGAAUCAUCUCAGCGUCAUCUCCUUGAAGAGGUGACACGUGUUUCAAACGACCCUUCAGUUUGGCAUCAAUGGUCUUUUCAUCCUUUUCUUUUUUUCUCUAUCUUGAUUUUCGCACUACCCCUUAAAAAUCUUAAAACAUCCCAUUCAAUUUGUAUUUUAUUAAGAUUUUGUUCUUUUUAUUUUUAUUACUAAUUAUUUUAUUUUGAAUAACUUAUAGAAUUAGAAUUCUUUUUCAAUUUCAUCCCCCUUCAAUUUUUUAACCUUUCAAAUUUGGUCAUCAUUCUUUUAAUUGUUGUUUAUUUUAUUUGAGAUAAUUUUUAAAAUUGAUUUUUUUUCCAUUUUAUCCUCAUUGAGUUUUUUCCUAUCAAAUUUGAUCCUUUUUCUUUUGAUUGGUAUUUUUUAUUUUGAAAGAAAUUUUAAAUUUAUUUUUUUUCAAUUUCAUCCUUGAACAUUAAAUUAAUUGGGAAUUGAGCUUUUCAGUUGAGCUCAGGUCUAGGAUUUCAUGGGCUGCAAGUUUUAAAGAUUAGCCAAGGUUUAGAAGGCUUGCUCGGAUUUGCUUGAUUUUUUUUAUUCAUUUAGGCUUUUUUUUACUUUCAUCCAUUUAUUCAAUUUGAGAUUAAGCUCCAUUAUUUUUAUUUAUUUUAUUGUUUUAGAAUUUUACACUAAUUUUUAAAAUGUACCAGGUUAUUUCAGGUCUUUUUUUUAUUUUUCGUUCUUUGUUGAAUUUCUUUUGCCAAUUUUUUAAAUUGAUAAUUUUUUUAUAAUUUCAUCUUUCAAUAUCUAGAAUAAUUUUUUUAUAAAAUUAGAAUUCUUUUUCAAUAUUGUCAUUUUUGAAUUUCUUAAUCUUUCAAAUUUGGUCCUCAUUCUUUUAAUUGUUAUUAUUUUUAUUUAAGAUAAUCUUUUAAAUUAAUUUUUCUUACAAUUUCAUCCUUAUUAGGCUUUUUCUAUCAAAUUUGAUCGUCAUUCUUUUGGUUGCUAUUUUUCUACUUUGAAAAUUUUUUCAAAUUCAUAUUUGUUUUUCGAUGUCAUCCUUAAACAUUAAAUUAGUUAAAAAUGGGGCUUCUUGAUUGAGCCGUAGUAUGAGAUUUCAAUGUUGAAUGAUAUUGUGAAUUUCACUUUUGCUUCUUCCAAACAUCAUUUUGUGUUAAAAUUGACUAAAAAAUAUGAAGUUCGGGAGUUGAUAAUAACUGGAGAACUUGAGAAUGUUAUAAAGGCAAAUGAAGCUUCUAUUUUACAUCAACCUGAAACAACUAGUUAGGAUUCUCAUUUUAGUUCAAUAAGGAGUUUAAUUGAGUUAUUUGAAACAACAACAACAACAUUGCUAUUAAAGAUUGAAGAAAAUGGACCAAACUUUCAAUUUCAUACUAAGGCUUUCAAAUAUUCUUUUGCCAUGACAACUUUUGACUUUGUCAUUGUCUUACUUUUUACUAACAAAGUUAUGAGAGUUUAUUGAUUUUCUUUAACAAACACUUCAAAGAAAAGAUUAAGAUAUUGUAUAUGCUUUAAAUUUUAUUUCAUAUUCAAAUUUUCAACUUCAAUGUUUGAGGGAUAGCGAUUGGGAUGAUCUAUUUAAAAGUUUGGUAUUUUUUUGUGGACAACAUGAUAUUGAGAUUCUUGAUAUAAAUUCUCCUUAUAAGAUUGAUACAAGUCGUUCUUAUUAAUAAAGAGAUUCUAAUAUAGUUAAGUAUCAUUAUCAAUAUGAUAUAUUUAACACUGUGUAAUAUAUUUUUAACUGAUGGAUUUAAAUCAUAUAUUUUCAUAAAACACAGUGGAGUUGCUUUAUCUUGGAUCAGCAUUGAAUCAUUUUUAUGCCUUCACAUCAUUUAAAAUUGACGAUACAUGUAAGUUUGCUGAGAAAUUAUAUCCUGAAGAUUUUGCUCUUAUGAAUUUACAUGGUUCAAGAAUACAGUUGGAAUAUUAUAAGUUGUCAAUGGAUCAUCCAAACUUUGAGAAUAUUGAUUAUCUUGCUACAUUGUAUCAUCGUUUAGUUGACACAUGCUUGACAAAUGAUUUGGACUUGGUUAGUAGAAUGAUUCGAAUGGUACUAGCUCUUCUUGUUUUUUCAUCAAUGACUAAACAAACCUUUUCAUCUAUGAAGUUCAUUAAAAAUCAGCUUUGAAGUAAAUUGGCCUCUUUAGGCCGACACCAGCACCGUCUCGUUGCCAUUAAGCCUGAGCUGUUCACAGUUGUAGAGAAAUUCCAUUUGCGUGAGUAGUAUUAAUCAAGAUAAUAAAUUUCAAACACCAUCAUCUUCUGGCGACCCUCGUCUGGUACAGCGGCUUAAGGAAAAUAGGAAGCCAAUGAGCUCAAGCAAAUGGACAUGUCCUUCAAACACGAGAGCACCUGCUAUUGCCCGGUCAUUUUACAUGGUCCCACCUAUGCUGGCGAUUAUUCAAUUCUUACUUGUGAGUUUCGUGAACAUUGUAGAAUUGCUUACUCUCCUGUUGGCUUGAAAUGAUUAAUUUUCUGGAUGAGUAUCUCAUAUGCAUUAAAUAAGUGGAUUUCGUUAAUUAUUCUCAUAAAUCUAAUAGUUUGUUUUUUGGUAAGUAAAUUCUGUAAAAUACUUAUAUAAAAAUAGCAUUAUUUAUUAUAGAAAUGUGAUGUAAAUGUCAUUGGUUCAAUUAUGUUAAUGGGUUCGUGAAAAACUCUAACAAGUUUUUUUUUUUUUUAAUUACGAAGAACUAGAAAGUGAGAAGAUUGGACUUAAGUUGCAUGUAUAUAAAAUUAUUAUAAAAAGUGACAUGAACAUUUUUAUACAGGAUAUUUAUUUUUAUUUUUAUUUUUAUUUUUUUAAAGUGAAUUUUAAAAAAUAAUUAAUAGGAUAUCACUGGUUAUUUAUUAAGCAUAAAAAAAUUUAUUUUUGAAAUCUUAAAUUUAUAUUAAUAUGGAAAAAAAUGAAGUUUAAAAAAUUAUGCUAUGUUUAUUUAAUCUUAAAUUAAAAAAAUAAAAUUAAAAAAAUUAGUGUUCACGUCAACGUGAACAGUGUGAGUGAAUAUUAAUUAAUUUACUGUCUAUUUUUUUUUGUUUAAAUAAAAUUUAAAGAAUUAUGCCGUGUUUAUUUAAUCUUAAAUUAAAAAAAGAAGAUAAAGAGAUCACAUUAAGAGUUUUUAAGUAAUUAGAUUAUGAAAACUUUUUUUGUUUUUUUGAACACAUCAAGAGCACUGAAAAACUAGUAAUAUUGUAACAUUAAAGCAUACGUUUCAGUAUUUAGUAUUGUAAAACUGGAAGUAAUUAUUAACAAUUAAUAAUUAACGGCACUACAUAUGCGAGCAGGCUGUCGUUUCUCAUUUUAAUUAUUUCAUCAGAAAUAACAUGUGCCAAUAAAUGUGAGGGUGCUUUUUCUGCUAGCUGCGGCAAGGUUUGUUGCCGACAGUGAUUUUGUUUUCGUUUUUUUUUUUUUUUGUUUUUUCCCUCAUCUUACACUGUUAUUCAAAAAUUUUAGAAUUGUCGGUGCCCGCAUUUUAACUUUGGAUUUUAUUUUUGUUUUUAUUUCUUUUAUAAAAUCUUAAUUUAUUAUUUAAUUUUAAUUUGUGAUAUAUUAUUUUUUUCAAUUUAGUCUUUAUUUUUUUAAUUAUUUUUUUUUCAAGUCCUUUUGUUAAAUUAAUUUUUCUUUUUGGUUUCAUACUUCAAUCAAAAAUUUAUUUUUAUUUUUACUUUAAUUAUGAUCCUAAUUAUUUUAAUUAUUUUUUUAUCCUUUUGUUAAAUUUAUUUUUCUUUUCAAUUUUAUCCUUCAAUCAAAAAUAAAAUUUAUUCUUUAUUUCAAUUUUGAUCAUCAUUCUUUUAAUUAUAACCUUUUGUUUUAGAUCCUUUUAUAUAAUUGAAAUUUCCUUUCUAAUUACAUCUUUCAAAAUUUGAUUUAUUAGGAAUUGAGUUUUUUGGUUUUUAGAUUGGGUGCUCGGGUUUUCUCUAUUUAUUUUAUUUUCGAUAUUGGUUUCUUCAAAAAGACUUGCUUUUGUGAUUUUAUUUUGUUUUCUUUUCUAUCAUAUUAUCUCAAUAUUAUAACUUGGAUUGUAUGUGUGGUGGGAUAACCUGGAUUGACUCAGCUCUGAUUACCCGAGUUACAUGUUUGUCAUGCUAACUCGGGUUGACACAAAUCAUAUUUUUAGAUUUUUUUUUAUCCAACUUCAUCCUUCCAUAUUUAAUGAACUGAGAAUUGAGCUACAUUAUUUGUUCCUGUUUAAAAAAAUAUUUUCUUCAUAGGUUAUCAUGAUCACUUUUUGAAAAAAAAAAAUGAUCAAUCUGCUAUCAUUGUUUUUUUUUUUAUUUAAUUAAAAUAAAACUAAAUUAUUUGAAUUAUUUAGGUUUAUGAUUGAAUAGCGGGUUUUUCUUCUUUGUUUAAAAUGCAUUAGUGGCAUCUAAACAUCAAUUUUUACAUAAAAAAAAUUAAUUUGGACAUGAACAUCGAAUUUCUUCUGCAUUAUAAAUCACAACAUUUCCAUGGCUUUCAAAGUUCAGGAAAAAAAAAAGAUUUUUGCUGGUGUGGAUAAUAAAUGCGAUCAAUACAGCCACACAUACAGAACUAGGCAGCAUCUUUAGUGCUAGAGACACCAUUAUUCAUGUUUAGUCAAAGGAAACUGUAACUGCAAAGCUUAUAAGAGAAAUGGAGAUUGUACAGUAAACCAUAGCGGGCAAUGGAAACAGAGACUGCAAUUAAAACAGGAGUGCAGGAAUUUAAAAAAUGAAAAAGAGGCAAAGAAAUCCCAAAUUCAAAUACAAAAAGAAUAGUAUCUUGAAAAUGAUUUUGAGGAAGAAAUACCUUCGACAGUUCCAAGAAAUCCACUGCAAUUAGUGUUGUGAGAAAUAAGGUUCAAUCUAGUCCCGGGAAGAACGGUUGGAUCAGAAUUGACAUCGUCAACAGCAGCAGCAAUAGCUGGCCCAGCUGCUCUCCCUAUCACUGAAUCGAAGGUAAACAAACUUCCUAUAUUUGCAACACUCGGUCGUGGAGAAGAAGAAGAAGAAACACUAGUUCCAUUUCCAUUUGCAGCUGCCUGACCAAAAACAACUUCCAUGGGCACACAAAUACCAGUAAUCAACAGCAGCAGCAGCAGCAACACUCUUUUCAUCAUCAAAAAUACUCUAGUAGCACAACCACCACCAGCAAUAUUCAAAGACACAUCCAUGGUAACUAACCAAGCUUGCAAUCAAAUUAAAAAUAAAUAAAUGAUUCUCCACGUCAAGCAACCAUUUUGUUUCUUCAAUGUAAUAAGUACCUGCCAAUGAUGAAACACAAGCAGAGACACAUGUUAAUGAACAUCGAAAGCCGAAUUAUGAAUAGCAACAAAAUAUAAUAAAGUAGAAAAACAAGCUGUGGAGCCCACAUGCAAGGGAGGAAAAACAAAGAAGGAAGGAUGUUGCGGUGUAGUGGAAUAUUUUGGUAUGGCUUUAAGCUUUGGCUUAGAUCAGAUUAGAUGUUAGCAUAUAUAAGUGAUUACCUUGAAGCCCAGAUACGGAAACUAGUUUGAACAGUUGAGUGCAUCAUAAUUAAGCUUUGAGGAUGUAAUGAAAAAACAAGGAUCAAGAGAGUGGACAAAAGCUCUAAACAGUCUUGCAAGCUCAAGUAAGGAAUGAUUCUCUCCUUUUAUGUCUGCUUGUUUUAUUAUUCUCUGGUGUGUUUAAGCUUUUUGCAAAGGACCAUGGCUAGCAUUUACUACAAUUUAAUAAUAAUAAUAAUAAUAAUAAUAAGAGUUAAAGUAACUCUAAUAUAAUAUCUUUGGGAUUCCACUCCAAACAUAUAUCAGUUAAAAUUAAUUAUUUUUUUAUAUUUUUAAAUCAUUAAUAUGUUAAUUUCAAAAAUAAUUUUAAAAAAUAAAAAAAAUAUUAUUUUAAUAUAAAAUAUUAUUUUAAUAUAUUUCUAUAUAAAAAAUACUUUAAAAAUAAUUAUUAUCACAUUCUCGAACACCUCUUAAUCUAAUUAUGAACCAAAUUUACUAUUCUAUAUUUCUUUGUGGAGUAGAAAUCCAUCAUGUGAUCCCUCAAGUUUUAAAAAUUAGCUAAAUCACCCUCUUUGUGUCAACUUAUUUUAGGAUUUCUUUUCUCUUUUUUGUUAUUAUAAAGGAGAGAUUCAAACUUAAAGCCUCUUAAAGGAGAGAAGACAGUGAUACUAAUUGAGUUACAACUCUCCUUUUUUAAAAGAAAAUAAAUUAAUAUGAGAUGUUAACCCUCGUGUUUUGAAUUUGUAGUCAAGCAUGUAUGUGGUCAACCCUGGCGACUACAAAGUACAAACUGAACUGUUGUGCCUAAAAUUAAAGUGUAAUGGUCGAUUUAAUCAAUUUCCAAAACUUGAGGUAUCAAGACAUGAAUUUACUUUUUAGAAGAAAAAAAAAUACAUCGAAUGACCCUUCUUGUCGUAGUUUUGAACCCGGCCCGGCCCGGCGGGUUAAUCCGGGGCUGGAACCGAUCCGGGUUGAAGAAAAAACGGGGGAAAGAAAAACCCGGUGUGACCUGGUAGGUUGACCCGGCGACCCAGUCAAGACCCGGUUGCAAACCCGUUGACUUUUGUUUUUUUUACUAAAACAACAUCGUUUUGAUUUAAAAAAAAAAACUGACCCGGCCGACCCGGUAAUCCAGUCAAAACCCGGAACCCGGAUCUUAGACCGGACCGGCCACUUGGCCAGGUCUUAAAACUAUACUUCUUAUUUUGAGAGUAAAUAAUCAUACUCGUAGAAGUUUGGAAGCAUUUCCAUUUAUUCCCAAAUAAUCAUGCCAUUCACGUAUCGUGUCUACUUGUAAUGUAUAUGUAAUAGUCAAUGUACCCAUGCCACGCUUUUGGUGGAAUUCCAAGUCAAUUUCAAAUGCAAAAGGAGAAUAUGCAUGUACUAUAUUAUAGAUGUGUUUUUUAAUCUCAUAAAAUUUGUUAAUUAAGGAAGGAAGGUUUAAUACAAUGAAUUGAAAAAAAUAUAUUAAUAGGUAAAUAAAAAAAUUAUGAAUGUUAAUUAAACAUUGAAUGUUAUUUUUUAAAAAUAAGAAGUAAAAUACAGAUACAAAUACAAACAUUUUACAUCGACAUCAUUUUUAUUUUAUUUAUUUAUUCUGAAGCUAUGAUUACUAAAUACAUAUGAAUUUUAAUUUUAUAAAUACAAAAUACAGAUAUAACUAAUCUAUCUUAAAUCUAAAAUAAAAAAUAAAAAAUAAAUUAUAAUAAUUUUUUUUUGAGGUAUUGCAAAAUUAUAGAAACCAACCAAAACUUUUAUUUCUAUUAAAAAUAGUCAAACUAAACAACUUUAAAAAUGAGAAAGAGGAAAUUAAUUAAGAAUUAAACUAGAAAAAAAAAAACCAAUGAAAAAAAAAGAGAGUCAAGGUUACUUGACCUAGAAGACUAAGCCCACCCAUUUAACCUAAAAGGCAAAAGCCUAUACGGCCCAGUUCUCUAUUCUUUUUUUUUUUUUUAAAAAGGGUAAUAUGUUGUCUUUUCAAAUAUUUUUUUAAAUUAAUCAAACGACAAGUCAUCUGUCUAGAUUGACAACAUAUCAUUCACCAUUAUCUUUUCUAAUCACCUUUAAUGAUCGAAAAAUUAGAGUUUGACUUUUUGUACUCACAAAAACAAUUUUCAACCUGUUUUUAUGAAAAACACCCCUAAAAUACUUGAAACUUCCAUAAACUCAUUCCAACCCUAGAACAUCAUCUAAUCACUAUAAAAAAUGAAAAUCUAAUAUAAGAAUAAAAAAGCUUUACGGACCCUAGUCAUCCUUUUCUAGCAUGUUCAAAGGGCAACACACCACCUUCAUUAAACUCUCCUAUCUAAAACGAACCAAUUAACACACUACACCAUUAAACAGUUUUACCGACAGAUUCAUUCCGUUGGUGUAAGACACACAACUCGUCGGUAAAAUAUUUACCGACGGAAUCCUUUUGUUGGAAUAUUGAUCGUCGGUAAUUCUCCUUUUUGUCGAUGAUUCUGUCGGAAAUAAAAUAAUAAAAAACAAACACCAACAGUCUUACAGACGGGGGAAGCGCGCCAAUUUUUUUUUCUCGCGAGAACUAUACCGACGGACGUGUUUGGUCUGUAUUUCCAACGGUAAAUCACCGACGGACUGGCCGUCAGUGAUUGUGGCAUGGACGGUAAAUAUUUCAAAACUCUCUGUACAAUAUCGACAAAUAUAUUUCGUCGGUAAUAUCAACAACAAACACCGACGAAAUAUAUCAACGGUACACCAAAAUCAGCCUUUUGUGUCCAAAAUAUGGCUUACCAUACCCUUUCUCUUUCCUUUACCUUUUUCCAAUAACUUUAUCUCCCCUUCCUACAACCAAUGACUGAAAUGUAAACGAAAAAAAAAUUAAAGUUUAAGAUUGAAAUAUAAGAACCUAAAACAACAAAGUUCAAAUAUGCAAAAAUUUUAAAAAAGUAAGGGACUAAAGUGAUUUUUUCCAUGUCUUUGGAUAGUAAAGAUGAAGAAAAGGCUCUGUUUUUGUUUAUUUUAUUUUUGGUAAUUAUUCUAACUUUUUUUAACAAUAACCUAAAAUUCCAUUUUGUAAAAUUUUUCUUUCAUGUAAUAUCAAAAUAUUCUUUAACAUCUCGCACACACGAAAGCAUGCGAAUAAAAAAAUGUCAAAAUAUAAAAUCAUGAUAACAUAACUUUUGAAGACGAGAUUAAAAAAAAACCUUUAAUGAUCAAAACAAAAUGAACUAAAAACUUGAGGGUCCUAGAUUGAAAAAUUGUCUAAUAAACAGGGAAAUGAGUGUUGAUAAGAACAAUGAUUUCCUAGACUUUUUUAGUUUAUUAAGUAAUAAUUACACAAAUAAGUAUUUUGUUUUUUGAGUUACAACAAAUAGGUUUGUUAAUACUUAAAAGUUAUUCAAAUAUCAAAGAUAAGAUUUGAUAAGAUCCAUUCAUAUAUCUGAACAAAUUAUGUCUCUUUAAAUCAAAAUUAAUUCCUUAUGCAAUUUUCCACAUAACAAAUACAAGUUAUACAACAUAUGAAACAAGAUGAACAUAACUUGAUUGGAUUAGCUUGAUAUGGAAGUAGCUUUUGUAUUCGUUCAAAUUAGAUCAGAUUGAAGAAUUUAUUCACUUGUUAAGUAAUCAUUAUCCAUUCUAUUUUUUUUUUCUAUUUAAAAAUGAAUAAAUAUGUUAUUUUUAAAAACCAUAUGAAAUCACAUAGUUAAAGUAUUGAAAUAAAUAAAUAUUUAUUCAUUAAGAUAAAAUACAAUAAUAAAAAAAUAUUAAGUGAUAACAUAUAAAAAUCUCCACUCCUCCCUUCACCUAACCUUGUAAAACAUGACUAAUUAACCAAUAGUUAUUUAAACCAUACAAAAACUAAAACCAGCUAUGUCAAAUGACAUUGGUAACCAAUAAGCCAAGUAAAAUCAAGUAUAAUUCAAUCCUUCUAUUUUAAUGAAACUAAUUAAUUAUCAUCAUGAGUUUAGAAACUAUAUAUUCAAUCUUGAAAUUUUAAAAUAUGUUUAUGCAUUAAUAAGAUGGACAAUCCAUAAUCUUGUUUUAUCUUUCUAAAGCUCAUGAUUACACCUCUAAACACUAUAAGAACUGAGGUAUUCAUUGUUAUCAAAGAAAAAUAAUUUGUAUAGUAUCCUCCUUAUAUGUGGGGUAAUACAUAUACAUAAAAUCUCAAUAAAUAUUGUUUAUUCAAUAAGAAUAUAAGACUUGACACAAAAGAUUACAAUGCCUUGAAGAAAUAGGUAAAUAUAUUAAUUUCUAAGGCUACAUCUAACAAUUUAUAUAUAAAAAAAUAGAUGGAGAACUAGUGUUCAUCAUUUAUCUUUACCUAAACUCCUUUCAUAAGCCUAUUACCUUUUAUACCUCAUGAUGGAGAACAAGUAUCAUUUCCAUAUGAGGAUGCUUUGGUAAUAAUCAUUGUCCUUUCCAAUUAUAAAGUAUAAAAUAUGCUCACGAUAAUGGAAACGUGGUGAAUAUUUUCUUAAGUAAUGUUGUAAAUGGAAAUUAACCCCUUCAAGUUAAUCCUUGUUAAAACGCCUCUAAUUGGAAUAAAAGGGAAAAAUUUUCUAAACAAAUGUUUUAUUGAUAAACUAGUAAACAUUGAAACUUAUUUCAAAAGUCUCUCUGCAACAAAUUUUUAUCGUGAUCAAAAUGGACUUGGCUUAUAACUUCAUCAAUGACUAGCCUCUUUUUCAUGGGAUUAGAAUGACAAUCAAUAUCAAAUAUCUAGUUAUGAAAUUUUAUAUUGAAAAAGGAGUUGUCACAGUAAAGAAAAAUCAAUUAAUCUUAAAAAAAUACUUCUCCAUUUGCCUCAAAUAAAGCUAUGUUUAUUGAACAAACAAGGUUUUUUAAAGAGAGGGCAAAGAUAUGGACUAAAGCCAUGAAAAGAUAACCAAUCGACCUCUAUGAAAUAUGUCUUCAUUUACUUUAAAGAUAAGAAAAUUAUGUUUAUAAAACAAAUAAGGCCUCCAAAAAAAGAGACCAAAGAUAUGAAUUGAAGCCAUAAAGGGAAAACUAAUUAGCCUUUAGGAAAUGCACCUUCACUUUUCUUAAAGGCAAGAAAACUAUAUUCAUUGAACAUAUAAGGCCUCUAAAAAAUAGACUAAUUAAAGAUAUUGACUAAGGCUGUAAAAGAUGAAAAAGAAGUAAGUCUCUUUGAACAUGAUACUAGUGUAAUUAUUAAGAUUAGAUUUGCAUUAGACAUCGAGUAGGAGAAAGCCAUCACGAAGCUUUUUAAAAUCCAAAGGGCUAAUUUCACUUUUAAUCCCUCAGAUAUUCUAAGUAUAGACUAGGAUGUGGCCUCCCAUAUAUCAAACAUCAAUUUAUCUCUCAUUUUUACUAGGAAAAAAAAAGAGUUUUAAGGUGAAAGAUAAAAGGUCAUAAUUGAGGAGGUAGAUAAGUUGCUAGAAGCAACUUUCAUUUGAUAAGUAAUGUACUCUGAUUAGCUUGCCAAUAUGAUUAUGGUGAAAUAAUAGUCUUGAAAGAUUAUCAUGUUCUUUUUCAGUCAUUGAUCUGUACCCAUUGCAUCUCCUCCUUUGAUGCUAUUAUAGUAUAAGAACAGUUGGCCUGAAAAACUAGUUUUGAUGUGGAUUUUUCGCUCUAUAUAACAGUAUGUUCAGUGCUGCAAAACGGUUAUUAUUUCAUCCGGGCAAGAGUACAAGUGAUAGGGUGUAAAGGAGGGGUGUUUUUUUUGUCUUAUGUAAAGGAGAAAGGAGGGAGUUUUAAACCUUGCACACACACACACAGAGAGAGAGAGAGAGCACAGUUGCCCAUUCAUUCUGUCUCACGGGAAGUUGGAGACAAUCUACAAUGCUUCCUAAAAUGACUUUGUUUCCUUUAUAUAUAUAUAUAUAUAUCAAAACGAGGUGUUUCAUUUAAAUGAAACAACAUCGUUUUGACGGUUAAGGUUUGAAUUAGGUUAAUUCUUCUUUUUCAAUUUCAAUCUUUCAAUUUAUUCAAUUAGGUCCUUAAUUGAAUUUUAGGAAUCAAUUCAAUUUUACCCCUAUAUAGUUUCAAAAACAUCCCCUGAUUUCAGUGUGUUUUUCAUCUUAGUCCUUGGUUUUGGAUUUAUAAAAAUUGAUCCUCAAUUGAUCAUUUAACCUUUGAUUUUCUUCAAUUUGGCCCAUGAUUUCAUCGAUUUUAGCCCCUGAAGUCUCGCGCCUCUAACAAGUCGGUCCCUGAUCUUGAAGUUCUUUGAUUUUGCUCUUAAUUGACCCUAAAACUUUAUUUUUCUUGCAAUGUUGUCCUUAUUUUCACCCAAUUGACUUUGUAAAAAUUAAAUUUUGUCCUCUAAAAUUUUAAUCUUCUCAAUUAAACCCAAAUUAGGCUUUCAAUCUUAAUUUUUCAUCAAUGAAGUCUCUAGUAAAAUUAAAUUGACCAAUUAAAAGUCUAAUUAAAUCUUUGCACUUAAUUAAAUGUUUUAAUUUGACCCAAAUUAAUUCUUAAACUUAAUUAAAUCUUUAAUUGGACCCAUAAUUAAAUCAAAUUGACCUAUCAAAAGUUUAUUAAGUCCUCAUACUUAAUUUUUAUGUAAAUUCACCUAAUGGUCAUUUAAUUUGGCCUUAAUUUGUAUUGUCUCUCAGUCUUGGAUUCAAUUGGUUUAAUUGGGCUCCAAAUUCUAUUCAAAAUCCUAAUUUAAUUCCUCCAUGUGCUUGAAAUCCUUCUUAGCCUACUCUUGCUAAUAUUUUUUUAUUUUCAUUUUUAUUGUUAUUUUUUGUUACUUCUUAUUUUAUUUUAUUUUAUUGUAUUUUGAAAAUAUUUAGAAACAGAGGGUCAAAAAUUGGGUUAUGACAGAACCAUAGUUUUCUUAUUUCUAUUUUGUGUAUCAGAUCUAGAACACCUUCUAAAACGUUUUGACACAAAUUAUUGAAACAAUGCUCAAUUACUCUUUGUGACAUACCUCGGUUUAAUCUCUUCCACUUUUCAAUGUCAUAUCAGAGCUGACUUUUCUAAUUACUUGUUUAUGGGUAUGGGUAUCGUACCAUAAAUCAUGCAACCUGUUAUAGAAAUUUGUUAAACAAAAAAAAGGCAAGGAAAUAAAAGAAUACAAGUUUACAAUAAUAUAACAUUAGUUGGUUUAAACAUACCUAGUUGCACAAUGGUUUUCCCACAGUCUCCUAACAAGUGUCUUGUUGCUUUUGUCCCACAAAAAAAAAUUUCUUAAUUGAUUUCAUACCUUAAUUAGUUUCCAAAAUUUUAAAAACUAGUAACUCAAAGUAGAUAUUAUUUAAUUAUCUAACCUUAAACUUUCUCCAUCAAACAUUUACCAUGUUCAUCCAUUCAGGAUGCUCAUAAAGCUCACUCUAUUAAAACAAUGGUUCUUUAAACAACCACUUCAUUGUAGAGGUAAUCGAACAUGCAACUUCAAUAUUAGUGAACUUGAAAACCAUUUCAUCAAUGUCAUUUUCAUGUAAUAUAAAACUUAAAAUAACUUAAUACAAUAAAUAACUUCAAUAUUGAGAUAAAAUAUUAAUUAUAUACAAUGGUCGCCUUUCCAUUAUGCAAUAAUUUUAUCUGAAAAAGGCCCUAUCAAAGAAGAGAUGCCUACUAUGUUGUCCUUAUUGGUUAAGCCUUGAUCAGUAACUUUUACAUUAAGUGGUGUGUCCUUAUAAUCAUCAUCUAUAUUAGCAACACAAUCACCGACACUAAUACUUGAUAAAGUAGUAGCGCUCUUAUUAGACUUAAACAUAUUUCUUCUUGAAUAUAUGGUACCAAAAAAGAAACAAUAACAUAAUGACAACACAUACUCAUGAAAUUUAAAUUCAAACUCAUAUAAGCCAAAUUUUAUUUUGCCAAAUUUUCUAAUAAACAUGCUAAGAAAAUUAACACACAGAGAGAGAACAUAAAACAAAAAAUAAAAUAUUCAAAUAUGACUCUAUAACCAUAUAAAAAUAGCAUCUCACUUCAUCAAAAAAUUAACCAAUUACUACAUUUCCUUUCAUAGAUAACACAUCUAAAUUAGUAAUAGCCUUCACAUUUUUAUUUGUGCUACUCCACAACAAGUACAUUUAAGGAAUCCAAAUCAAGCAAAAAAUGAUAACAUUAUCCCUACAUAUAAAAAAACCAUAAUUUCUCAUUUUCCCGUACUUUCUUAGCUACCAAACAAAUAGGUUACUUACAUAAACAAUAAAAAAGAAAUCAUAUUACUAAACGAACAAUCCCCCCCUAGUCACAUAAACUUAGCCAUAAAUUAUCUUCUCUUCACUUCACUAUUUAACCAACCAAGAAACCAUAAUUGAUACUUAAACAAACUCUCUUCACUUCACUAAUCUCUUUUUCUUAGUUAGCUAAAUACUUAAAUUAUAAAUUAUAAAUCAUUACCCCACUUUUCCACCAACCAACCACGAACCCAAAUCAUCAAUAAAAAUAAUCCUCCACUAAACCAAGUAAAAAAAUAAACAUUUAAAACAAUACCUAAAAUUCAAAAAACAAUCUUCCUAUAUUACCAACAUGCAAAAAUUAACAAAACCCAAAAAAACCUAAAUCACAUAAACCAAAUAGCAAAUAAAUUACCUUCAAAUCGGGUAAAAACCAUAGCCCAAACUUAGGAUUUAACUAUGCCAAGUCCUUAGUUUAUUAAAUAAAAAAGAAGAAAUUAAACUUGAGAUGGGUAGAAAAGAGGUAUUAUCAAUGUGGGAUGUGUGAGUGGGGUAGGGGUUACUGUUGUUGUUUUGAUGAUGAUGAAUAACAAGAAGAAGAGGAAGAAGAAGAAAAAGAAAUAGGAAGAUGAGAGGAACUCUUGAGUUUUAAUUCAUUUUAAAAACAUAAAUGAAAAUUCAUUUAGUAAUUUAAAAAUAUUAAAAUACCAAUGUAAUUGUCGAUAAAAUAUUUUUAUUUUUUAUUCUGUUUAUUUUUUCCCAUAAAAAAUUACUGAAGAAAAUCUUUCAUCGUAAUUUCCAUCAGUAAAUAAUUAUGAAACAUUUUUUGUCAUGUUUUUGUUAUUAGUGUAUGCCCACAUCUAUUUGUUUUUGUUACUAUUCUCCAAUUUUUUAGUGGUGUAUGCUCAUGUCUAUGAGCAAGUUGGUUUGUUUUUGCAAGUAUAAAUACUUCAUGAAAAUGUCCGGCAAGGGAGGACACAAAAAAAGAAAUAGAUAGACUCCUACAAGGAGAAAACAUUCUCAUGUGCGGAAAGGUCCAGAAUCCAUCAAGGUUUUCAGCAAGGAAGGAAGAUGAUAAAAACUCUUGCUUAAAAUGAUUCAUGCAUGCAUGUCAUAUAAAAAAGAGAAAAGAAGAGAAAAAUCUUUUGAGAGACUACGACCGUGUCUUCAUCACAAAAUUGGAAAUUGAUUAUCAUCUUUAUAAAUUUAAGAACUCGAGGUCAGUCGGAGCACGUUGCAGGUGAAGUGUUGAACAAUCAAACUGUGAAUUUAAAGGACGAAGGUAGAGUAUACGAAGGUGGAAGUUUCUGACUCAAAAUAAACUUUAUUUAUAUUACAAUCCAUACAAAAAUACCAAAAUCUAUUCAAAAGAUACUCCAAAAAAGAAAAAGAAAAAGAAAACAAAACUGUAGUUAAUUGAGGUGGUGGGGCUGGGACCAAGGUUGUUAAAAUCGCGAUUCAACUCGUAAAAUCGUACGUUUUUACGAGUCAAUAUAGGCUUUACGUGCUAAAUCGUUCACAAAACUCGGAAAUGGGUAAAAUCGGGUCAAAAUCGGGUAAAAUCGUUAAAAUAGGGUGAAAUCGCUUAAAAUCGCGAUUUCACUGCCGAUUCAACGAGUUUGCCCGCAGGAGAUAAAACAGCAAUGUUGAUGACUGGUGUCAACCGCCUAUUGGCUUUAACUGAGCAAAAGUGACAAAUUGACAAUUGCAAAUUCAUCGAGGAUGCACUAUGCAGUCUUCUCUUCACAUUUCUGAUUUCACCAUUCACGUUCAGAACAGAAAAAAUCCCUAAAUUGAAAUCCAUAAGCAUACCAUCAAGCCAUGAAGUUUGGAAAAGAAUUCAAGACCCACCUAGAAGAAACCCUUCCUGAGUGGAGGGACAAGUUUCUCUGCUACAAGCCCCUCAAGAAACUCCUCAAACAAUUACCUUCCACCGUUGAUUCUCCAUAAUUUCUUCACUCUCUGAUCAUGGAAGCAGACGACUUGUCAGUCCUUCACAAAUCACUCUUCGAAGACAAACUCUCUGCCACCGAUCUCUUCUUACAAAAACUCUGUUCUGAUACUUCCAUCAAGUCAGCCCUCCAACGAUUCUACUCGAUUCUAAAACGCGGCGUUUCACUGAUCGAUGAUGAUGCUAAUAAUAGUGAACGCAAGUUAGGGUUUCAAUUAUGGACCGAUUCGCAAAUUCAAUCUGUCGUUUCACUCGGUAUCGCCAUCGUUUCGUCUUCUAGAUCUCUGUCAGGUUGUCUUUUUUACUCGAUUUCCACUUUUAUUUAUUGAUAAUUCUUUUAAUUCAUUUUUCUGUAUGGUUGAAUUUUAAUUAGCAGUUCAGUAGUUAACUUGCUAAUAAUUUCGAUUUUAUUUUAUUUAUUGAUAAUUUUUUAAUUCGCUUUUUUUUUGUAUGGUUGAAUUUUAAUUAGCAGUUUAGUAGUUAACUUGUUCAGUUUUUUUUUUAAUUUUUUCUAAAUAUUAAUUUUCAACUCCAUCCACGCCCUCCUCCGCUCACUGGUGAUGUUCAUGGUAAUACGAAUAGGACUUUGGUGGAUUUGCAAGAAUGGUUUGUUAGAAUUCUUAGUGAAGAGCUUGACAAGUUCAAUGAUUUCUAUGUUGAUAAAGAAGAAGACUUUGUUAUACGCCUUCAGGUUUCUUUCUUGAUUUUUCUUUUCUUUCUUUGUUUUACAUGUUUAUAGCUUUGUGCAUAUGGGUUUUUAAUUUCGAGGCUUUUGUUUAUUAUAGCUCUGGGAAUUUAAGGUAUUGUGGUUUGAUGGUGGCUUUUAAGGUUUUUUCUAUAUGCAUGUCUUGUAAAUCCGAACUCAUAGGUCUGGUUUAAGGGUUUUGUAAGUUUUUGAAUAAUCAGGAGAGGAGUAGAAUGGAGAAGACAUCGUGACUUCAUUGGAACAGGAGAAUAGUGGGAUGUCAAGGAAAAAAGACGCAUAAAAGUGGCUUUCCUUUCCCUGGUAGUGCUGGGUGGUGUUGUCAGAUAGUAUGUGAAGAGGAGAUUGUCGAUGGGAUUGGAGGGGCUUGAUAAAGUUAAGAAUAACUUUUCCAGUUUGUGGAACUUGCUGAAGUAGAGCAGAGUAUUUUGUAGUAUAGUUAUAAGGCCAACCAUCGUCAAUUAUAGCUGACAAUAGGAUUGUUGGAAGUCAGUUGAGGGAAUUGAGGGUGCUGAAAUGAGGAUAUUGAAAUGAAAUGCCAGGUCAUCAAUAUAUGAGAAUUCUUGGGUUAUAACUUAUGAUGAAUGGAUUCUGUCUAUUAUUUGUAAUUUGGAUGAAUGGAUUCGACGAAUGAAUUCUGUCUAUUAUUUGUAAUUUGGAUGAAUGGAUUCUGUCUAUUAUUUUCUGAUUGGAUAAUAAUAUAGAAGAUGGGCUGUUAUGUAUUAUGUUUUUUUUUGACAAAAAUUUAAUUACAAUUAUAAAAUGUUUGGAUUGAUUACAAGGCUGAUUUGAAUUGAUUCUUGAAUUUUUAUUUGAAGCAUGAAUUUUUUUAAUGUAUUUUAAAAUUCCUUACGAUUUUACGAUUUUACGAUCCGUUUUUACGAUCCGAGUUUGUUUUGCAUUUUCCGUGCCGUGUUAAAAUCGCGAUUUUAACAACCUUGGCUGGGACCUCAGUACCUGGUCCUUUCUUUUAUAGCUGUGUGAUAUUUGUCAGUGAAGGUAAGGCCCCCAUGCAGAUGUCCCUUUUUCACUCUUUUUUCUUUUUCCCGACCCCAGAUAUAUGUGGACUGUUUCAUGUUUAUUUUAUUGGACACAUGUAAUAUUUAAUCAAUCUUUGGACAUGUUGUUGCCUCUCUUUUCAUCAUAACUUUUGGGUGUUAAUGAGGGUUGCUUGCAGCAGCAGAUUUAAAAUAAAAAUAAAUAAAUUUUCAUAAAAAAAAAACACGUUGAACCUCAUCCACGAAUAUUAGAUAUGCGUUUACAAUCUCCACGUCUCGUGAUGCUGUCAGACAAAAUCUCCCAUAUUAUAGUAGAUCCAACUCUGUUUUGUGUGGUGUGGCUUCAAAGAUUUUAGCUCAGCCCCACGUUUACAAAAGUUUAUUGUUGCAAUAAAAAAAGAACAUAAUUAGAUGGCAAAAUCUAAAUUAGACCAACCAUAUUAGCUCGAUGUGUGAAUGCAGAUUAGAGAUGCAUCCCAUUAUCUAUGAAAGCUCUUCAGAAUACUUUUAAAAAUGAUACAGAAAGGGAGAGCAUUCCCGCACCCAAUUACAGCACAGGAGCAAGCUCUUACUGGUUCCAACUUCCAAGCCUUAACCCCAAGGAUGGGUCGACGGUCAGCUUGACUUGCUAGCAAUUGAAUUUUAUGUUUUGAAAAAUUGAUUUGAUGCCUAAUAACCAACCAAUGGUAUGCCCCGCAGUGUUUGUCAGGCUAAGCAUAUAUUUCCACGAAAAAAAAUGACAAUCACUACGCUCGCAAUGAUCACCACUUAAAAAUGAUACAGAAAGGGAUAGCAUUCCCGCACCCAAGGGCAGAGGGCAUGUUAAAGGAUACAUGUAAAGAUUUUAUCAAUAUUUUUUAACUAGUUUUAUAUAAAAAUAAAUUUAUAAUUAAUAAUUGAGUUGUUAAAAAAUUUUAAAAAUUUACGUGGAGCCUUUUAAUAUGAUGCUUUACCUUUGGUUAAAAUUUCAGAAUUUUUGAAGAAAUUCAGAGAUUUAAUGAAAAAUCACAAUUUAACUAGUUUUACCUUAUUGGACGUAAUUUUCAAUACGACCAUCAGAUUGAGCUGAAGUUUUACGAGGGAUCUUAAAAUAUAUAGAAUAAAAUCUGGUUAAAAUUUUAGGAUGAACAGAGUUUUAUUUGCCAUUAAAAAAUAAAACAAAUCAACUCUUUCUUUUUUUCAUAUGUUGCCGACCGGUCAAAAGUAGAAUAAAAAAAAAACCAAAAGAAAAAGUGUGAGAGAAAGAGAGAAAAGUAAGGGAAAACUAAAUAUAAAAAAAAAUUCAAGGAAAAAAAAUAAGAAAAGUGAGAGAAUAACCUUGUAAACUUACAAAGUCCAACUUAUAAAACACUAAUCUAAGGAAGAAUCAAGUGAAGGAAGGAGGAAUUGAGAGAGGAAAAAAAUUUAAUUACUUUCUUUUCCAGUUGACAUGAGAUUGUUAUUUUAUCUCGGUUGAGGGGUUGUUAUAAUAUUGAUUCAGAUUCGAUUAUAGAUGAAUUAUAUUUUACAAAACAUCGAAGGAUGUAACUUCAAUAGUUGAUUUAUUUUUACUUUCACUUCAAUUUUAUGUACUUUCAAAUUUAUUUUUUAAUAUUUUAGGUAGUGUAUUUGAAUUAAAACUUUACUGUUAACUUUAAAAAUUCAUGUACAUGAGUUAAUAAUUAAUUUUAAAAAUAUAUAUAUAUUUAAUUAAUAGCUCAGGGCAAGAAAAAUUCCUGACUCGCCUUGCCCGCACCCAUUUACAGCACAGGAGCAAGCUCUUACUGGUUCCAAAUUCCAAGCCUUAACCCCAGGGAUGGGUCGACGGUCAGCUUGACUUGCUAGCAAUUGAAUACUAUGUUUUGAAAAAUUGAUCAGGUCGUCUGUAUCCUAAUAACCACCCAGUGGGAUGCCCCGCAGUGUUUAUCGGGCUAAGCAUAUCUUUCCACGAAAAAAAAAUCAAUGUGCAGUCAAUUUAUUAGUAUUGGGAUGAUAGGUGGGCAGUUUUUUUUAUGAACGAAGGCUGGUAGUUAGGUGGCUAGUGCAGAAUUCUGGUAUAUUAAUUUGUCCUGGCUCAGAGAUACUUUUCAUUGUUGAAGCCUGAAGAAGAUGUCCAAUCCUAAACAUGUUUUCCUACAAUAUCUUGGUCCUGUUGGCUACAUCACAGAAACAAGAGCACUGCAAGAGUAAAAUACUCAUCAAUGACAUCAACUUGCAAGCGACAGCCGCGACUGCCACAUCCAACUAUCCAUAAUACCAAAUUUUAUUCUAGGAUUUGUUGGAAUUAUAUAUUUUGGAGAUUUAUAGUUCACCUUUCCAGGUGUUUUUUUAGUAAUGGUCUAUUUACUUAAUUCAUUAGGAUUUAUGCUAAAUAUCCUUGAUUAUAAUAAAUAUAUAUGAAGAAUUAUGGACUACAUGUAUGUUUUGGUUAUUUAAAUGAUGCAAGCUUGAAACCUUUUCUUAUAGGAUUAGGUUUGUUUAUCUAGGAUUUGUUGAUUAGGAAAGAAUUAGCUUGACUAAGAUUGGGUGCUUUAUGUUAAACUUGGAUUAAUUUUUUUGUUUUAAAAGAAAAAAAUCAACAAAAUCAUUUAUUUUUAAGGAUUAACGUGCGUCAAAUUUAUCGACGAGUCUUCUAUUCAUAGGAACCAACAUUAUUUUUAAAAAUAAAUCAUGAAUAAGUUUAGAAAUAUAUCUAAGUAAUUAAUGGCAUGUAUAGAAUAAAUUUAUGAGAAAACACAUAGUAAAAUAACAUUUUUUUUCAUUUGAAAAGAUAUUGUAAAGGUGAUAUUUAUCUUUUCUUAAGCAUAAUUAACUAACUUAGUAGCUGAAUCUUUGAGACCGGUGUCAAUUUUAGAAUUUUUAGUUUUUUUUUUAAUUAUAUCAUAUAUAUUCAUAGUGAUGUGAUAACUAUGUUAAUGUACGAAACCGGGUUAGAUUUAAAAACAUUGUAGAAUAGAUCCCAUGAAAACAUAUAACAUUACUUUAUAUAAUAUUACAUGUGAUGGAAACAGGUACUAAAGCAGGCAUAAAAAAAAGUAAAAAUAACCAUCAUAAUAUUUCAUUACUAAUUAUUUGUCCAUUGCAUAGAGAAAUAACAUAAUAUUAAUGGGUAGAGAUAACAUAUAUAGUAGUGGAUAAUAUAUAUAUAUAUAUAUAUAUAUAUAUAUAUAUAUAUAUAUAUAUAUAUAUAUAAUUUGCAAUAUCAUAGAGGUGAUAUGCAAUAUCUAAACCCUUUCAUGCAUAUAUAAUUAAGGCAAGGCUAGCAACAUAAGACAGCUAAAUAUCCAUUAGAAUUUUAAUGGAGUCUUGAUGACCAGAGGUUUGAACCCAUGUUGGAUACUUGCUUGCCAAACUUUGUCAAUGUCAGCCAUGGUAGAACCGCAUUCAUGCUCGUCCCAUCCUUCCAAGGCAUGCACUAUUCCAGCCACACGCCAUGCGCUCAUCACUCUUCUUGGCAGCCAAUUCUGUCAUCAAGUAUUUUGCAAUACAAAUUAAUUAUCUUUCCUAAAUUAAGAAAAUAAUGCAAAUAGUACUUUAAUUUUCUGCAAUAUUUGACUAAUUAAUUACCUCGCAAGAGUCCACAUUUUCAAGAGAUGCAGGGGCUGCCAUUACUGGUAUGCUGUGAUAGAAGCAAUCCUUGCGCAAUUUCUUUGGGGGAAAUUGCGAGAAGGGAAUAAAUAAUGUUCCUUCUGCUGCUUGUUUUUGGUCCUCUUCUUUCAAUCCAUCCCCAACUAACCACGUCUACACAACAAAGUUUAUUAUGAUAUUAGAAAUGUCAAUAUAUAUAUAUGCUACUUAAAUAAUUUAAGUUGUAAUUUUAUUUUAUUUUUGACAAAAAAAAAUUGAUUUCUAAUUCCUUGGUAGCUAAUGAAAGCAUACCUUUAUUGAAUAACUCUUUGAAAGAAUUAGAUUGUUCUGAUCAGAUGUGAUGCCGAAAGAUUUUUUAAGUUUCUGGUAAUCAUCCUCACAUGGUACAACUACCUAAAAAAUCAGUGAAAAUAAUCGUAAUAAUUAGGAAUUAUAAAUUAAAACAUGACCAUAAAUUAAAUUUGCCUAUACAAUCAAUUUAAAUAAAUUACUGUCAAAUUGAAGCAAGUGACAACCUGUGCCUAUUUGCCUAGUAGACAACAACAAUACCUGGAUUCCCCUCUGGCAGAGAUUUAAAGCAACAGCAUAGGCAACCUUAGAGAGAUUGCCUCUAUGAAGCACUUGUGUUGUUCCUUUAGGUAUGCUAUUCAGCACUGCAGCAACGGCUAGACUGCUUCCAUCCACCACCUUCGUUUUGAGCCUGGGAUGCCUUUGCACAUAAAGUUCACCAUACCUAUUAAGCUCCUCUCCCUGCAUAAUUUAUGUUUGAACAUGAUGAAGAUAUAAUUAAUAAUUUAUGGUAUCCAUGAAAUAUGGGAAAUUGAAAAGAAAAAAAAAAACCCUAUAAACUCAACUACGUGGCAUCUAGUAAUGGCCGUUCUAAAGUAACCACCACUGUUUUUUUUUCCCUAGAAAUGCAUUAUAUUGAAGUGCUUGCCUGAUUCAAGAGACCGAGACUUAACACUUUAACACCUUUUUCCUCAGCUUCAAGUACAGCUUCUUCAAUCAAGGUAUUUAUGGAUACUUUUUGCCAUCGCAAGUUGUACUGCCAAAAAUUAGAUAAGCAAAUUAAGGAGAACAGAUUAAACUGAACGCCCUUGAUUAAUCAAUGACAAAGAAAUAUCCUUCUUAAUUACUUGAAUAUUGUAUUUUGGUAAGGUCCACGUCUGUAAUCUGAGUUUGUGGAAGCGAUUCCUCUCGACAACAAAAGUGCGUCCAUAAGUCCAAGUUAACAUCAUGGUCCACAAGGUCACCGGCCACAUUAACCAUAGAUACCACUUCGAUUCUUGAGGGUUGGAAGCCAAGCAGGCAAGUCCAAGCCGUAAAUGAUAGAUGGAAUCUGGUGUGGUAAGAUGAGUUAGAUGCACUACAUCAGGGGCUUCCUCGGGUCUCUUGAGCGAAUCUUCAUAGAGGGUAACAGAAGACGUGUCCAUUGUGCCAUAGAUGUAAUCAUAGAUGGGCAUGAAUAGUGAGUAAUUGGUUCUGAAUUGAGUGUGGUGAAGAGAGUGGUACCUGCAGCCAUAUCAAGUGUUUAUUAGUUCAUCAUGGAGGGAGUAACUAGUUCUAAACUGGCUUUGGUGAAGAGAGUUGGAACUUGCAGCUGCAUCAAAUGUUAAAUCAUGCAUUCGCGCUUAUCAGAUAUUGUUUUGAACACUGAUUAAUAGACAACGCAAUAAUGCACUGUCAGUGAAAAUAUAGUGGAAAAGGUGAAAUGUACGCGUCAAAGCUAUUAAAAUACAGUAUAAAAUCACAAAACGAUACUAUGGAAUUAUAAUUAACAGAGUAUUUUCCAUAGACGACUGUAUAUUCUUUUCAUCUUCUUUUUAUGCAAAAUUUGGUGAAUCAUUUUCCUGCUUUUUGUUCAUAAGUAUGGAAGAAAUCCCAUUAAUAAAACGAAGAGGAUACUGGUGAGAAUUAAUGAUUGAAAAUGCAAAAAAUCAACUGAGAUACAUCUAGACUUACGAUGGGGUGUACAUGAGGUACUUGAGAGGGGGGAAAAUGAUGAAGAGCCAUCUGGGAAUGAGUUCAAAGUUGCAGUGACCCAUGUUGUUCAUCAAGUCGAUGUAAGUGAUAUAACCAGCAAAGGAUGUUAAAGAGGCUGUCCCCGUCACAAUAGUCGUUAUCAAAGGUAUUGCGAAUAGCAUGGAGUAGGAUAUGUGCUCGGCGAAUGGAUGAAUCACAGCUGCGAUGCAGAUUUCCAGAAAGAAAAUGUCAAAUAAUUACACUUACUGUAUAUCAUCAUCAUGUAUUGCUAAUAGUAAUGGAGAAUGGUAUGCGUUCCCCUCAAUCACACAAGAUUUUUCUUCCGUUAUUAUAAAAAUACUCGAACUUAAAACCUUCUAUGAAAGGUCAAUUAAACUAAGUUUAUCAACGAUCACACAAGAUUAUUAAUAAUUCAAAUGCACACCAUAUAUAAAUGUGUGUCAUUCUUCUUAAGGAGUACUUAAGAGAUUAACUAUUCACUUUGAAAUUCUUAAAUAACUUUUAAACCACCAACACCAUAUAUACAUGGGGGCCGGGGGUGUUUGGAGGGAGACUUACAAGUAAUGGGCUCUGUGACAAUGGAGGAAUGGUGGUGGGAAUGAUAGCGAGAGUAGAGAUAGUGGUGAUGAAGAAGUCGAUGAAGCCAAUAAUACAGAAAUUCCACCGGACCCAUAUGAAUCAGAGCUGUUAGAAUUACACCAUCUAACCUCCACAUGGGGAGAUGGCUAGCUCCUGGAAUUAUUUUGCUACCAACGUAGAAUAAAAUUCCAUUGAACAAUAUUUGGUCAUCCCUGCGGAUAUCCAACCAGAAAAUCCAAGUAUCAAAAAACUCACAAGCACUAGCUAGAGUGGAAAUUAAUGCAUGAAAUUAUUGAAAAAGUAUAUAUAUAUAUAUAUAUAUAUAUAUAUAUAUAUAUAUAUAUAUAUAUAUAUAUAUAUAUUUGAUUAUACAAAUACCAGUUGCUUUCUCUAUCAACUUGAUCAAAUUCAAUGCCUUUGUCAAUAAUCCUGUUAUUUCCUUUGGCUGUUCUGUAACGGGACAGGCUGAUCCAUAACUGGUUGUGAAGCACUCUCCACAACAGAAUUGGGAAAAUGAGAAAGCUUGGGAGAUCUUUUUCAUCUUUAACCAUGAAGGCGUAGAUGUUGUGAAUGACACAAGGAGCCAAUAUUACAUGCUGCAAUAUUUAAACACACAAACAAAACACAGAUAUAUAUUAUUGUUUUAGGGUUAUGAUAUAUUAACGUUGUUUGCACGAAAACGAGUUACUCUACGUGUGAUAUCAGAUAACGAGAAGAAAAGGAGCGAGAGAGAGAGAUGGGAGGGAUUUCCAUAUGACCUUAAAGCUUCCAAGAGGUUUCCAUGGCCAGUCUGUGAGAAUUCCAGGCCGAGAAGCCAUCACUUCACUGCUACUACUUGUCUUUGUUUCCUCGCUUGUAGGGAAGUCGUGUAUAUAUAGACGAUGAGUAAUAUAUUUUCUUUAGCGUUAACGUUAUAAUUAUUGAUGAGUAAUGUUUUUUUAAUAACAGUACUGCCGCUCGAUCAAGUUAGAGCUGAGUAAAUUAUAAAUUAAUCCUUUUAAUUUUGGAAAAUAAAUUAAUUAGUCAUCUUCUUAAAAAAAAAAACAAAUUAUUCAGUUUUUUUUUAUCUAUUAUAUGUUAUUUUCUAAAUUAUGUUUUAAUAAAUAAAUAGAUAUUAUGGAAAGAUUGAUGAGAAAAGUAGAUAUUUUUGUAAAUAAAUUAAUAUGAAAGUAAGCAUGAUUAACAAUGAUAAGUGAUUAAAUAAUUAAAAUAGAUUGGUCAACCAUAUUUGUAAAACGAUACAUGUUUCAAUAUACUAAACUCUCUUGCAGGGUAUUUUUUGUCUUUUUACCAUGCUUUCUUUUUAUUAAUAUCAAGGUUACUCAUGAUGAUUAUUAUAUAUAAUCAUAUAUUAAAUAUUAUUAAAAAAAAUUUAGUUUGUGCGUCGAGCUAAUAAGCAGGCGUCAUGUCAUUUGGACAGUAUAUGUGAGGUCAUGCAGUUAUCAAACACCACCUACUGCAGUAGUAUUUGAAUCAUCUCAGCGUCCUCUCCUUAAAGAGGUGACACGUGUUUCAAACGACCCUUCAGUUUGGCAUCAAUAGUCUUUUCAUCCUUUUCUUUUUCUCUCUAUCUUGAUUUUCGCACUACCCCUUAAAAAUCUUAAAACAUCCCAUUCAAUUUGUAUUAUAUUAAGAUUUUGUUCUUUUUAUUUUUAUUACUAUUUGUUUUAUUUUGAAUAACUUAUAGAAUUAGAAUUCUUUUUCAAUUUCAUCCCCCUUCAAUUUUUUAACCUUUCAAAUUUGAUCAUCAUUCUUUUAAUUGUUGUUUAUUUUAUUUGAGAUAAUUUUUAAAAUUGAUUUUUUUUUCAUUUUAUCCUCCUUGAGUUUUUUCCUAUCAAAUUUGAUCCUCUUUCUUUUGAUUGAUAUUUUUUACUUUGAAAGAAAUUUUAAAUUGAUUUUUUUUUCAAUUUCAUCCUUGAACAUUAAAUUAAUUGGGAAUUGAGCUUUUCAGUUGAGCUCAGGUCUAGGAUUUCAUGGGCUGCAAGUUUUAGAGAUUAGCCAAGGUUUAGAAGGCUUGCUCAGAUUUACUUGAUUUUUUUUAUUCAUUUAGGCUUUUUUUUUAGUUUCAUCCAUUUAUUCAAUUUGAGAUUAAGCUCCAUUAUUUUUAUUUAUUUUAUUUUUUUAGAAUUUUACACUAAUUUUUAAAAUGUACCAGGUUAUUUUAGGUCUUUUUUUAUUUUUUGUUCUUUGUUGAAUUUCUUUUGCUAAUUUUUUAAAUUGAUAAUUUUUUUAUAAUUUCAUCUUUCAAUAUCUAGAAUAAUUUUUUUAUAAAAUUAGAAUUCUUUUUCAAUAUUGUCCUUUUUGAAUUUCUUAAUCUUUCAAAUUUGGUCCUCAUUCUUUUGAUUGUUAUUAUUUUUAUUUAAGAUAAUCUUUUAAAUUAAUUUUUCUUACAAUUUCAUCCUUAUUAGGCUUUUUCUAUCAAAUUUGAUCGCCAUUCUUUUGGUUGCUAUUUUUCUACUUUGACAAAUUUUUCAAAUUCAUAUUUGUUUUUCGAUGUCAUCCUUAAACAUUAAAUUAGUUAAAAAUGGAGCUUCUUGAUUGAGCCAUAGUAUGAGAUUUCAAUGUUGAAUGAUAUUGUGAAUUUCACUUUUGCUUCUUCCAAACAUCAUUUUGAGUUAAAAUUGACUAAAAAAUAUGAAGUUCGAGAGUUGAUAAUAACCGGAGAACUUGAGAAUGUUAUAAAGGCAAAUGAAGCUUCUAUUUUACAUCAACCUGAAACAACUAGUUAGGGUUCUCAUUUUAGUUCAAUAAGGAGUUUAAUUGAGUUAUUUGAAACAAUAAGAACAUUGCUAUUAAAGAUUGAUGAAAAUGGACCAAACUUUCAAUUUCAUACUAAGGCUUUCAAAUAUUAUUUUGCCAUGACAACUUUUGACUUUGUCAUUGUCUUACUUUUUACUAACAAAGUUAUGAGAGUUUAUUGAUUUUCUUUAACAAACGCUUCAAAGAAAAGAUUAGGAUAUUGUAUAUGCUUUAAAUUUUAUUUCACAUUCAAAUUUUCAACUUCAAUGUUUGAGGGAUAGCGAUUGGGAUGAUCUAUUUAAAAGUUUGGUAUUUUUUUAUGAACAACAUGAUAUUGAGAUUUUUGAUAUAAAUUCUCCUUAUUUGUUUGAUACAAGUCAUUCUUAUUAAUAAAGAGAUUCUAAUAUAGUUAAGUAUCAUUAUCAAUAUGAUAUAUUUAACACUGUGUAAUAUAUUUUUAACUGAUGGAGUUAAAUCAUAUAUUUUCAUAAAACACAGUGGAGUUGCUUUAUCUUGGAUCAAUAUUGGAUCAUUUUCAUGCCUUCACAUCAUUUAAAAUUGACGAUACAUGUAAGCUUGCUGAGAAAUUCUAUGCUGAAGAUUUUGCUCUUUUAAAUUUACAUGGUUCAAGAAUACAGUUGGAAUAUUAUAAGUUGUCAAUGGAUCAUCCAAACUUUGAGAAUAUUGAUUAUCUUACUACAUUGUAUCAUCAUUUAGUUGACACAGGCUUGAUAAAUGAUUUCGACUUGGUUAAUAGAAUGAUUCGAAUGGUACUAGCUCUUCUUGUUUCUUCAUCAAUGACUAAACAAACCUUUUCAUCUAUGAAGUUCAUUAAAAAUCAGCUUUGAAGUAAAUUGGCCUCUUUAGGCCGACACCAGCGCCGUCUCGUUGCCAUUAAGCCUGAGCUGUUCACAGUUGUAGAGAAAUUAAUUCCAUUUGCGUGAGUAGUAUUAAUCAAGAUAAUAAAUUUCAAACACCAUCAUCUUCUGGCGACCCUCGUCUGGUACAGCGGCUUAAGGAAAAUAGGAAGCCAAUGAGCUCAAGCAAAUGGACAUGUCCUUCAAACACGAGAGCACCUGCUAUUGCCCGGUCAUUUUACAUGGUCCCACCUAUGCUGGCGAUUAUUCAAUUCUUUUUUUUUAGUUUAACGUAGGUGUCCGGAUUAGCUUGCAUGUAUUUCGACUAAUCCCACGGGUCCUGAAGUUAACGACCAUGUAAGCCUCCAGUGGCCAUCAUAUGAACAACCACAGGGCUCGAACCUGAAACUACAGAGAAAGCAAACCUCUUGGUCCCAAACUUUUACCACUGGACCACCACCUAAAUGGUUGCGAUUAUUCAAUUCUUAUUGUGAGUUUCGUGAACCUUAUAGAAUUGUUUACUCUCCUGUUGGCUUGAAAUGAUUUUUCUGAUGAGUAUCUCAUAUGCAUUAAAUAAGUGGAUUUCGUUAAUCAUUCAUAUAAAACUAAUAGUUGGUUUUUUGGUAAGUAAAUUCUGUAAAAUACUUAUAUAAAAAUAGCAUUAUUUAUUAUAGAAAUGUGAUGUAAAUGUCAUUGGUUCUAUUAUGUUAAUGGGUUCCUGAAAAACUCUAACAAGUUUUUUUUUUCUUUUUAAUUACAAUGAACUAGAAAUCUUAAGUUGCAUGUAUAUAAAAUUAGUUUAAAAAGUGAUAAGAAUAUUUUUAUAUAAAUUUUUUUAUUUGUAUUAUUUUAAUUUUUUUUAAGUGAAGUUUAAAAAGUAAUUAAUAGAUAUAGUUGGUUAUUCAUUGAGUACUAUAAUUGUUUUUUGAACGCUUGAAUUUAUAUUGAUAUAGAAAAGAAUGAAGUUUCAAAAAUUGUGUAGUAUUUAUUUAAUCUUAAAUUUUAAAAAAAUGGAUAGAGAGAUGACAUUAAAAGUUUUUAGGUAAUUAGAUUAUGAAAACUUUUUUGUUUUUUUGAACGCAUCAAGAGCACUGAAAAACUAAUAAUAUUGUAACAUUAAAGUAUAUGUCUCGGUAUUGUAAAAACCGGAAGUAAUUAUAGCAAUUAAUAAAGGUACUACAUUAAAAAAAAAAAUAAGAGGAUGUUUUUCAGGGACAUGCGAGCAGGCUGUCUUUUCUCACUUUAAUAUUUCAUCAGAAAUAACAUCUCAAUAUAUGCCAAUAAAUGUGAGGGUGCGUGCGUUUUCUGGUUAUUCAACCUGGAUCAGCCUGAUAGGUGAUCCGAGACUUGAUUAAUCUAGUAGUUGAACCAAUUUAGAUAAGUUAAAAGAUUAGGGUAAGUAAAAACCCGGCAAAACCCGGAUGACCCCUCAGGUUAACUUGUAAGCCGGGCAACCCGGCAAAACCCAGUUUUUUUUUUUUCAAAUGUGUUUUUUUUUCUAGCCAAAGACCCCUCUUUUUUAUAUAUAUAUUUGGUUAAUUAUUAACCCUUUUCAAAGUUCACUAUAUAAAUACUAGAAGAAUGUUUUAUUUUUUCAAUAUGAGAUUUGAAACCUUUUAAUAUAUAUAUAUUCUAUGUUUACAAGAAAAAAAUUAUUUUUUCAAUAUGGGAUUUGAAGCUUUUUAGUAUAUAUAUUCUAUGUUCACAAGAAAAAAAGUUAUGUUUUUUCAAUGUGGGAUAAAAAACCUUUUUGGUUUAAAUACUUCAACUUAAAAGGAUAACAUACUAACAUAGUUUCUUUUGAAUGUGAGAUAAAAAAAUCUUUUGAAAUAAUUUUUUAAUCUUUAUUAUUGAUAAUAUGUAUAGUUGUCACUGGGUAAAUUUUUCGCUCCACAAAUAAACCCGUGUGGCAGCCUAGUCCCCACUAGACUCAGCCUUUCCUCACAAAUCUCACUCGUGUUUGCCUAGUAACUAAGUAUUUCCCUCACUCAAGAGGUUUUCCCCACUUUCACUAGUUAAAAGACAAGCAGAAUACACAAGUAAAAUAAGUUAAUUAAAGUACACAACAAACUUUACAUGAACUAUUUCUCAACCUUUAUUAAUCUCGUAAACAAAGGAAACACUAUACACAAAUCCCAUGUGUGCUAUGCACAAAGAUUGCAUGCUACACCAAGCUUACAUGCUCUAUUUCAUGCUCCUACAUGCUCUCCCAACCAAGAGUUGCAACAACUAUUUAUAGACAAGCAUUUACAAGGGAUAAUUUUAGCUGACUUUGGACCCGAUUUUCUCCUCUCUCAGACCCUCAAAAUCACCUUUAUUUAUAGAUGAUGGAAGAGGAAAAUCUUGUCUACACUUGGGGAAAAUUUCAGCCCAUAAUUCACUUGGAAAAAAUCCUAACUGUUGGUUCAAAAUAAGAAUUCUGAGUUGUCAAAUCUGCAGAAAAAACAAACUGAAUUGCCCUCUUUAGACCGGCACCAGCUCCGUCUCGUUGCCAUUAAGCCUGAGCUGUUCACAUGAGGUUGUCGAGAAAUUCCAUUUGUGUGAGUAGUAUUAAUCAAGAUAAUAAAUUUCAAACACCAUCAUCUUCUGGCGACCCUCGUCUGGUACAGCGGCUUAAGGAAAAUAGGAAGCCAAUGAGCUCAAGCAAAUGGACAUGUCCUUCAAACACGAGAGCACCUGCUAUUGCCCGGUCAUUUUACAUGGUCCCACCUAUGCUGGCGAUUAUUCAAUUCUUACUUGUAAGUUUCGUGAACCUUGUAGAAUUGCUUACUCUCCUGUUGGCUUGAAAUGAUUAAUUUUCUGGAUGAGUAUCUCAUAUGCAUUAAAUAAGUGGAUUUCGUUAAUCAUUCUCAUAAAUCUAAUAGUUGGUUUUUUGGUAAGUAAAUUCUGUAAAAUACUUUUAUAAAAAUAGCAUUAUUUAUUAUAGAAAUGUGAUGUAAAUGUCAUUGGUUCAAUUAUGUUAAUGGGUUCGUGAAAAACUCUAACAAGUUUUUUUUUUUUUUUAAUUACGAAGAACUAGAAAGUGAGAAGAUUGGACUUAAGUUGCAUGUAUAUAAAAUUAUUAUAAAAAGUGACAUGAAUAUUUUUAUACAGGAUUUUUAUUUUUAUUUUUAUUUUUUUAUAAUGAAUUUUAAAAAAUAAUUAAUAGGAUAUCACUGGUUAUUUAUUAAACAUAAAAAAAUUUAUUUUUGAAAUCUUAAAUUUAUAUUAAUGUGGAAAAAAAUAAAGUUUAAAAAAUUAUGCUAUGUUUAUUUAAUCUUAAAUUAAAAAAAUAAAAUUAAAAAAAUUAGUGUUCACGUUAACAUGAACAGUGUGAGUGAAUAUUAAUUAAUUCAUUGUCUAUUUUUUAAAAAAAAAUAAAAUUUAAAAAAUUAUGCCAUGUUUAUUUAAUUUUAAAUUAAAAAAAGAAGAUAAAGAGUUCACAUUAAGAGUUUUUAAGUAAUUAGAUUAUGAAAACUUUUUUUGUUUUUUUGAACACAUCAAGAGCACUGAAAAACUAGUAAUAUUGUAACAUUAAAGCAUACGUUUCAGUAUUUAGUAUUGUAAAACUGGAAGUAAUUAUUAACAAUUAAUAAUUAACGGCACUACAUAUGCGAGCAGGCUGUCGUUUCUCAUUUUAAUUAUUUCAUCAGAAAUAACAUGUGCCAAUAAAUGUGAGGGUGCUUUUUCUGCUAGCUGCGGCAAGGUUUGUUGCCGACAGUGAUUUUGUUUUCUUUUUUUGUUUUUUUCCUCAUCUUACACUGUUAUUCAAAAUUUUUAGAAUUGUCGUUGCCCGCAUUUUAACUUUGGAUUUUAUUUUUGUUUUUAUCUCUUUUAUAAAAUCUUAAUUUAUUUUAAAUUUUAUUAUUUAAUUUUAAUUUGUGAUAUAUUAUUUUUUUCAAUUUAAUCUUUAUUUUUUUAAUUAUUUUUUUUUCAAGUCCUUUUGUUAAAUUGAUUUUUCUUUUUGGUUUCAUACUUCAAUCAAAAAUUUAUUUUAAUUUUUAUUUUAAUUUUGAUCCUAAUUAUUUUGAUUGUUUUUUUAUCCUUUUGUUAAAUUAAUUUUUCUUUUUAAUUUUAUCCUUCAAUCAAAAAUAAAAUUUAUUCUUUAUUUCAAUUUUGAUCAUCAUUCUUUUAAUUGUAACCUUUUGUUUUGGAUCCUUAUAUAUAAUUGAAAUUUCUUUUCUAAUUACAUCUUUUAAAAUUUGAUUUAUUGAGAAUUGAGUUUUGUGGUUUUUAGAUUGGGUGCUCGGAUUUUCUCUACUUAUUUUAUUUUCGACAUUGGUUUCUUCAAAAAGACUUUAAAAAUAAAUCAGUUAAAAUUAAUUAUAUUUUUAUAUAUUUUUAAAUCAUUAAUAUGUUAAUGUCAAAAAUAAUUUUAAAAAAUAAAAAGUAUAUUAUUUUAAUAUAUUUCUGUGCAAAAAAUACUUUGAAAAUAACCACCAUCACGCUUUCAAACACUUAUAUAAUGAACCAAGCUUACUAUUUUAUAUUUCUUUGUGGAGUAGAAAUCCAUCAAGUGAUCCCUCAAGUUUUAAAAAUUAGCUAAAUCACCCUCUUUAUUUCAAUUUAUUUUAGGAUUUCUUUUCUCUUUUUUGUUAUUAUAAAGGAGAGAUUCAAACUUAAAGCCUCUUAAAGGAGAGAAGACAGUGAUACUAAUUGAGUUACAACUCUCCUUUUUUAUAAGAAAAUAAAUUAAUAUGAGAUGUUAACCCUCGUGUUUUGAAUUUGUAGUCAAGCAUGUAUGGUCAACCCUGGCGACUACAAACUGAACUGUUGUGCCUAAAAUUAAAGUGUAAUGGUCGAUUUAAUCAAUUUCCAAAACUUGAGGUAUCAAGACAUGAAUUUACUUUUUAGAAGAAAAAAGAAUACAUCGAAUGACCCUUCUUGUCGUAGUUUUGAAACUCGGCCCGGCCCGGCGGGUUGACCUGGGGCUGGAACCGAUCCGGGUUAAAGAAAAAAUGGGGGAAGGAAAAACUCGGUGUGACCCGGCGGAUUGACCCGGCGACCCAGUCAAGACCCGGUUGCAAACCCGUUGACUUUUGCUUUUUUUACUAAAACGACAUCGUUUUGAUUUAAAAAAAACUGACCCAGCCAACCCGGUGAUCUGGUCAAAAUUCAGAACCCGAGCCUUAGACCGGACCGGCCACCUGACCGGGUCUUAAAACUACGCUUCUUGUUUUGAGAGUGAAUAAUCAUACUCGUAGAAGUUUGGAAGCAUUUCCAUUUAUUCCCAAAUAAUCAUGCCAUUCACAUAUACUUAUCGUGUCUACUUGUAAUGUAUAUGUAAUAGUGAAUGUACCCAUGCCACGCUUUUGGUGGAAUUCCAAGUUAAUUUCAAAUGCAAAAGGAGAAUAUGCAUGUACUAUAUUAUAGAUGUGUUUUUUAAUCUCAUAAAAUUUGUUAAUUAAGGAAGGAAGGUUUAAUACAAUGAAUUGAAAAAAAUAUAUUAAUAGGUAAAUAAAAAAAUUAUGAAUGUUAAUUAAACAUUUAAUGUUAUUUUUUAAAAAUAAGAAGUAAAAUACAAAUACAAAUACAAACAUUUUACAUCGAUAUUAUUUUUAUUUUAUUUAUUUAUUCUGAAGCUAUGAUUACUAAAUACAUAUGAAUUUUAAUUUUAUAAAUACAAAAUACAGAUAUAACUAAUCUAUCUUAAAUCUAAAAUCAAAAAUCAAAAAUAAAUUAUAAUAAUUUUUUUUUGAGGUAUUGCAAAAUUAUAGAAACCAACCAAAACUUUUAUUUCUAUUAAAAAUAGUCAAACUAAACAACUUUAAAAAUGAGAAAGAGGAAAUUAAUUAAGAAUUAAACUAGAAAAAAAAACCAAUGAAAAAAAAAAAAGUCAAGGUUACUGGACCUAGAAGACUAAGUCCACUCACUUAACCUAAAAAGAAAAGGCCUAUACGGCCCGGUUCUCUAUUUUUUUUUUUAAAGAUAGGUAACAUGUUUUCUUUUCAAAUAUUUUUUUAAUUAAUCAAACGACAUGUCAUCUAUCUAGAUCGACAACAUAUCAUUCAUCAUUAUCUUAUCUAAUCACCUUCAAUGAUUGAAAAAUUAGAGUUUGACUUUUUGUAUUCACAAAAACAAUUUUCAACUUGUUUUAUAAAAAACACCCCUAAAAUAUUUAAAACUUCCAUAAACUCAUUCCAACCUCAGAACAUCAUCUAAUCACUAUAAAAAAUGAAAAUCUAAUAUAAGAAUAAAAAUGCUUUACGGACCUAGUCAUCCUUUUCUAGCAUGUUUAAAGGGCAACAUACCACCUUCAUUCUAUUUAAAAUAAACCAAUUAACACCAAAAUCAGUCUUUUGUGUUCAUAAUAUGGCUUACCAUACCAUUUCUCUUUCCUUUACCUUUUUCCAACAACUUUAUCUCCCCUUCCUCUGCAUCCAAUGUCUGAAAUGUAAAAGAAAACAAAUUAAAGUUUAAGAUUGAAAUAUAAGAACCUAAAACAACAAAAUUCAAAUAUGCAAAAAUUUAAAAAAAAAAUAAGACAUUAAAGUGAAUUUUCUCGUGUCUUUGGAUAGUAAACACGAAGAAAAGGCUUUAUUUUUUAUUUAUUUUAUUUUUGGUAAUUAUUCUAACUUUUUUGAACAAUAACCUAAAAUUCCAUUUUAUAAAAUUGUUCUUUCAUGUAAUAUCAAAAUAUUCUUUAACAUCUCGCACACACGAAAGUAUGUGAAUAAAAAAAAUGUCAAAAUAUAAAAUCAUGAUAACAUAACUUUUGAGGACGAGAUUAAAAAAAAACUCUUAAUGAUCAAAACAAAAUGAACUAAAAACUUGAGGGUCCUAGAAUGAAAAAUUGUCUAAUAAACUGGGAAAUGAGUGUUGAUAAGAACAAUGAUUUCCUAGAAUUUUUUAGUUUAUUAAGUAAUAAUUACACAAAUAAAUAUUUUUUUUUUGGGUUACAACAAAUAGGUGUUUUAAUACUUAAAAGUUAUUCAAAUAUCAAAUGUAAGAUUUGAUAAGAUCCAUUCCUAUAUUUGAACAAAUUAUAUCUCUUUAAAUCAAAAUUAAUUCCUUAUGUAAUUUCCCACAUAACAAAUACAAGUUAUACAACAUAUGAAACAAGAUGAAUAUAACUUGCUUGGAUUAGCUUGAUAUGGAAGUAGGGAUGAUAAUGGAUGGAAUUAUAGUAAUUUACUUCCUAUGUUGUGUAUCUUUUCUAUUCGUUCAAAUUAGAUCAGAUUGAAGAAUUUAUUCACUUAUUAAGUAAUCAUUAUCCAUUCUAAUUUGUUUUUCUAUUUAAAAAUGAAUAAUUAUGUUAUUUUUAAAAACCAUAUGAAAUCACAUAGUUAAAGCAUUGAAAUAAAUAAAUAUUUAUUCAUAAAUCACAUUAAGAUAAAAUACAAUAAUAAAAAAAUGUUAAGUGAUAACAUAUGAAAAUCUCCAUUCCUCCCUUCAAGGUAAAAUCAAGUAUAAUUCAAUCCUUUUAUUUUAAUGAAACUAAUUAAUUAUCAUCAUGAGUUUAGAAACUAUAUAUUCAAUCUUAAAAUUUUAAAAUAUGUUUAUGCAUUAAUAAGAUGGACAAUCCAUAAUCCUUUUUUUAUCUUUCUAAAGCUCAUGAUUACACCUCUAAACACUAUAAGAACUGAGGUAUUCACUGUUAUCAAACAAAAAUAAUUUGUCACAGUAAAGAAAAAUCAAUUAAUCUUAAAAAAAUACUUCCCCAUUUGCCUCAAAUAAAGAUAUGUUUAUUGAACAAACAAGGUUUUUUAAAGAGAGGGCAAAGAUAUAGACUAAAGCCAUGAAAAGAAAACCAAUCGACCUCUAUGAAAUAUGUUUUCAUUUACUUUAAAGAUAAGAAAACUAUGUUUAUAAAACAAAUAAGGCCUCCAAAAGAGAGACCAAAUAUAUGGAUUGAAGCCGUAAAGGGAAAACUAAUUAGCCUUUAGGAAAUGCGCCUCCACUUUUCUUAAAGGUAAGAAAACUAUAUUCAUGGAACAUAUAAGGCCUCUAAAAAAUAGACUAAAGAUAUUGACUAAGGUUGUAAAAGAUGAAAAAGAAAUAAGUCUCUUUGAACAUGAUACUAGUGUAAUCAUUAAGAUUAGAUUUGCAUUAGACAUCGGGUAGGAGAAAGCCAUCACGAAGCUUUUUAAAAUUCAAAGGGCUAAUUUUACUUUUAAUCCCUCUGAUAUUCUAAGUAUAGGCUAGGAUGUGGUCUCCCAUAGAUCAAACGUCAAUUUAUCUCUCAUUGUUACUAGACAAAAAAAGAGUUUUAAAGGGAAAGAUAAAAGGUCAUAAUCGAGGAGGUAGAUAAGUUGCUAGAAGCAUGUUUCAUUUGAUAAGUAAUGUACUCUAAUUAGCUUGCCAAUAUGGUUAUGGUGAAAUAAUAGUCUUGAAAGAUUAUCAUGUCCUUUUUCAGUCGUUGAUCUGCACCCAUUGCAUCUCCUCGUUUGAUGCUAUUAUAGUAUAAGAACAGUUGGCUUGGAAAACUAGUUUUGAUGUGGAUUUUUUGCUCUAUAUAGCAGUAUGUUCAGUGCUGCAAAAUGGUUAUUAUUUCAUUCAGGCAAGAGUACAAAGGACAAGGUGUAAAGGGGGGGUUUGUCUUGUGUAAAGGAGAAAAGAGCGAGUUUUAAACCUUGCACACACACACAGAAAGAGAGAGAGAGAGAGAGAGAGAGAGAGAGAGCAGUUGCCCAUUCAUUCUGUCUCACGGGAAGUUGAAGACAAUCUAUAGUGCUUCCUAAAAUAUAUAUAUAUAUAUAUAUAUAUAUAUAUCAAAACGAGUCGUUUCAUUUAAAUGAAACAGUAUCGUUUUGACGCUUAAUGUUUGAAUUAGGUUAAUUCUUCUUUUUCAAUUUCAAUCUUCCAAUUUAUUCAAUUAGGUCUUUAAUUGAAUUUUAGGAAUCAAUUCAAUUUUACCCCUGUACAGUUUCAAAAACAUCCCCUGAUUUCAGUAUGUUUUUCAUCUUGGUCCUUGGUUUUGGAUUUAUAAAAAUUGAUCCUCAAUUGAUCAUUUAACAUUUGAUUUUCUUCAAUUUGGCCCAUGAUUUUAUCGAUUUCAGCCCCUGAAGUCUCGCGCCUCUAACAAGUCGAUCCCUGAUCUUGAAAUUCUUUGAUUUUGCUCUUAAUUGACUCCAAAACUUUAUUUUUCUUGAAAUGUUGUCCUUAUUUUCACCCAAAUGACUUUGUAGAAAUUAAAUUUUGUCCUUUAAAAUUCUAAUCUUCUCAAUUAAGUCCAAAUUAGGCUUUCAAUCUUAAUUUUUCAUCAAUGAAGUCUCUAGUAAAAUUAAAUUGACCCAUUAAAAAUCUAAUUAAAUCCUUGCACUUAAUUAAAUCUUUUAAUUUGACCCAAAUUAAUUCUUAAACUUAAUUAAACCUUUAAUUGGAGCCAUGAUUAAAUCAAAUUGACCUAUCAAAAGUCUAUUAAGUCCUCAUACUUAAUUUUUAUGUAAAUUCACCUAAUAGUCAUUUAAUUUGGCCUUAAUUUGUAUUGUCUCUCAGUCUUGGAUUCAAUUGGUUUAAUUGGGCUCCAAAUUAUGUUCAAAAUCCCAAUUUAAUUCCUCCAAGUGCUUGAAAUCCUUCUUAGCCUACUCUUACUAAUAUUUUUUAUUUUCAUUUUCAUUGUUAUUUUUUAUUACUUCUUAUUUUAUUUUAUUUUUUUGUAUUUUGAAAAUAUUUAGAAACAGGGAGUCAAAAAUUGGGUUAUAAAAAAACCAUAGUUUCCUUAUUUCUAUUUUGUGUAUCAGAUCUAGAACACCUUCUAAAACGUUUUGACACAAAUUAUUGAAAGAAUGCCCAAUUACUCUUUGUGAAAUACCUCGGUUUAAUCUUUUCCACUUUUCAAUGUCAUGUUAGAGCUAACUUUUCUAAUUACUUGUUUAUGGGUAUCGUACCACAAAUCAUGCAACCUGUUAUAGAAAUUUGUUAAACAAAAAAGAGGCAAGGAAAUAAAAGAAUACAAGUUUAUAAUAAUAUAACAUCAAUUAGUUUAAACAUACCUAGUUGCACAAUGGUUUUCCCACAGUCUUUUAACAAGUGCCUUGUUGCUAUUGUCCCACCAAAAAAAUUUCUUAAUUGAUUUCAUACAUUAAUUAGUUUUCAAAUUUUAAAAAACUAGUAACUCAAAAUAGAUAUUAUUUAAUUAUCUAACCUUAAACUUUCUCCAUCAAACAUUUACCAUGUUCAUCCAUUCAGGAUGCUUAUAAAGCUCACUCUAUUAAACAAUGGUUCUUUAAACAACCACUUCAUUGUAGAGGUUAUCGAACAUGCAACUUCAAUAUUGGUGAACUUGAAAACCAUUUCAUCAAUGUUAUUUUCAUGUAAUAUAAAACUUAAAAUAACUUAAUAGAAUAAAUAACUUCAAUAUUGAGAUAAAUAUUAAUUAUAUACAAUGGUCGCCUUUCCAUUAUGCAAUAAUUUUGUCUGAAAAAGGCCCUAACAAAGUAGGGAUGCCUACUAUGUUAUCCUUAUUGGUUGAGCCUUGAUCGGUAACUUCUACAUUAAGUGGUGUGUCCUUAUAAUCAUCAUCUAUAUUAGCAACACAAUCACCGACACUAAUACUUGAUAAAGUAGUAGCGCUCUUAUUAGACUUAGACAUAUUUCUUCUUGAAUAUAUGGUACCUAAAAAGAAACAAUAACAUAAUGACAACACAUACUCAUGGAAUUUAAAUUCAAACUCAUACAAGCCAAAUUUUAUUUUGUCAAAUUUUCUAAUAAACAUGCUAAGAAAAUUAACACACAAAGAGAGAACAUAAAACAAAAACUAAAAUAUUCAAAUAUGACUCUAUAACCAUAUCAAAAUAGCAUCUCACUUCAUCAAAAAACCAAUUAUUACAUUUCCUUUCAUAGAUAACACAUCUAAAUUAGUAAAAGCCUUCACCUUUUUAUUUGUGCUACUCCACAACAAGUACAUUUAAGGAAUCCAAAUCAAGCAAAAAAUGAUAACAUUAUCCCUACAUAUAAAAAAACCAUAAUUUCUCAUUUUUCCCGUACUUUCUUAGCUACCAAACAAAUAGGUUACUUACAGAAACAACAAAAAAUAAAUUAUAUUACUAAAAACAAUCUCUACCCCCUCAAUCACCUAAACUUAACCAUAAAUUAUCUUCUCUUCACUUCACUAUUGUCAUAACCCAUUUUUGGGUUAUUUCCUAAUUCAUAUUUUUUUCUCUCUUCAAAAAAUACAAAAAAAUAAAAAAUAGUAUCAAAAAAUAUAACAGUGAAAAGAGGAUGCUAGAACACUAAAAAAAUGGUUAAAAAUUGGUUGAGGAGGUUCAAAACUACAAAGGUUAAAAUUUUACGGUAUUUUGUUGAUUGAUGAGAGCCCUGUUGACAAAGAAAAUUCAAUUUGAGGAUGAAAAGUCCAAAAUCAAACAUUUAUGGACUCAAUUAAAUUUUAUUGAAGGUUUAAUUGAAUUUAUGGAGAAUUUGAUUGCAAGAAAAAUUGAUUUUUGGAGUGAAUUUGGGCUUUAAUUGGAAGAAAUUAAAGUUUUGUGGUCAAAUUAUAAUUUUUUAGAGUUAAUUUGGUCAAAUCAGGGGCUUAAUUGCAUAAAUAUUGAAGUUUGAUGGUCAAUUAGAGACUUAAUUGAAGAAAUCAGAAACCAAGGACCAAAAUGAAAAACACGCGUAAAUAGAGGGGCUGUAAUUAAACCGAAUCAGGGGCCAAAUUGAAGAAAUUAGAGUUUAUUGAUCAAUUGAGGGUUAAAUUGCAUAAAUUAAAGACCCAAGACCAAAGUGAAAAUGGCGGCCAACUUCAGGGCCACUGUUUUCUUUUUGGCAGGGAUGCAAUUGCAUUAAUUUUUAAAUCAAAAUUGUAAUUGAGGACUUGAUUGAACAAAUCACAAAUUGAGAACCAAUGUGAACUCUGACACGUUUUUUUUUGCCGCCUUUUCCUUUUAAAUGAAACGGUGUGUUUCUUCUAAAACGGCGUCAUUACAUACACUAUUCAUUAAAAAAGAAGCAAAAAGCUCAAAACGGUGUCGUUUUGAACGACAGUGUAGCCUUUCUUGUUCCCCUGGACGCGCGAGGCAGGGGAAGAAGAAGUCUUUUCUCCCCUGCUUUGCUCGUUCCCUCUUUCUCCGAAACCACCAAAAAGACGCCGACCCAAAACACCCCACUUGCCUAAGUUCUGACCUGUGGCCUACCACGAGGUAAAGAAAAACAGAGGGGAUGCACCACUUGGGCGGUUGUGAGGUCGCUGCACAGUGGUCGCCCCUGCCUCUCUCUCCCCUCUGUUUUACCUAUAAAUACAGAGGGGGAGAGCACAAAAGGAGAGCACGAAAAGGACAGGGGGAAAGACCGAAAGAAAGAAAAAACAAGAAGACCCAAAGAGGAAGAAAGGUUGGAAGAACAAGAGAAGAAAAAAAAGAAAAAAAAGAGAGAAAAACAGGGGAAGACAAGGGGGAAGAAACUGUCCACCGCCUGCAACCACCACCGGCCACCACAGCAUGCCAUCGCGAACCACCAGCAGUGCCACCGCUUCAGGUAACUGGCUCUUCCCCACCGUUUGUUUCUUUGCCGGCGUCGCUUGCAUUUUUGUAUACAGAAUGUUAAUAUUUCACGUUCUGCUGCAAAAUGCAACGUGGGCUGGUCAUUAUGCUGAUGCACAGUAACCAGCCCAUUUGGGCAUGGGCCGAGACAUCAGCCCAGCCCAUAGUAGAUGGGUUGGAUCCGGCCCAGCCCAGAAGGGGGUGGGCCAAGCCCAACCCAGUUUUUUUGGGAAUUUUACUAUUUCCUAUCUUAUUUUUACGUCUUUUUUUAUUAGUAUCGAAAUAUUUUUUUACGUCGUUAAAAAUACAAAUCCGGUAUUAAAAUACCUAGUUUUCGUCAACUUAAAAAAAAAUUGAAAUAAAUGUUUUUAUGCAUACGUCCAAGUGUCUCAAAGCUAAAAAAUCAUAUUGUGUUUUUCAUACACCAAAAAAACAAUGUUAUAGCAUGCAUUUUGGCUUUAAUAACCAGUUUAUUAAAGUCAAGAGAACAUUGACCAAAAUAUAAAAAAAAAAGAAUUUAUUUUGUGUUGUUUUAGUAUUAAGGAUUACGAAUUUAUAUGUAAAACAUAUUCCCGAUAUUAAAAAGGUAUUUUCUUUUGACGACAUAGAACAGUUAGGUUUUUACCCGAUAAGAUAAGGAUCUCCUUACAGAGGAGGACUUUUCUUAAAUCGUAGACAGACCGACAAUUAGAAACCAUAACAAGACUUUAGAUUUUAUCAGACAACAAAACAAUGCAGCUUACCUUAGAUAGCGCGUAGUUGGAGUGCUAAUACCUUCUCUUUACGCAACCAGUCUCCGUACCUGAUCUCCGAGACCAGUUAGGGUUCUUAGUGACCAGAACACUAGGUGGCAACUCUCAUUCUAUUUUUACUGAUAAGAGACAAGAAUUCCUUGUAUCUUCAUAUUUGCCAGAUAGACCUAUAGACCAUUACAUUUUUCUUUGAGUGGGUGGACGAUCGUCGCAACGCUGAACACGUGCGACAACUAUUUAACCAACCAAGAAACCAUUUUUGAUACUUAAACAAACUCUUUUACGAAGAUCUCAAAAAUUCACUAAUCUCUUUUUCUUAGUUAGCUAAAUACUUAAACUAUAAAUUAUAAAUCAUUACCCCACUUUUCCACCAACCAACCAAGAACCCAAAUCAUCAAUAAAAAUAAUCCUCCACUAAACCAAGUAAAAAAAUAAACAUUUAAAACAAUACCUAAAAUUCAAAAAACAAUCUUCCUAUAUUACCAACAUGCAAAAAUUAACAAAACCCAUAAAAACCUAAAUCACAUAAACCAAAUAGCAAAUAAAUUACCUUCAAAUCGGGUAAAAACCAUAACCUAAACUUAGGAUUUAACAAUGCCAAGUCCUAAGUUUAUUAAAUGAAGAAGAAGAAAUCAAACCUCAGAUGGGUAGAAAAGAGGUAUUGUCGACGUCGGAUGUGUGAGUGGGGUAGGGGUAAGAUAGUUACUGUUGUUGUUUUGAUGAUAAUGAAUAAGAAAAAGAAAAAGAAGAAGAAAAAGAAAAAGAAAUUGGAAGAUGAGAGGAACUCUGAGUUUUAAUUCAUUUUAAAAACAUCAAUGAAAAAUCAUUUAGCAAUUUAAAAAUAUUAAAAUACCAAUGUAAUUGUCGACAAAAUAUUUUUAUUUUUUAUUCCGUUUUUGUUCCCAUAAAAAAUUAUUGAAGAAAAUCUUUCAUCGUAAUUUCCAUCAGUAAAUAAUUAUGAAACAUUUUUUGUCAUGUUUUUGUUAUUAGUGCAUGCCCACAUCUAUUUGUUUUUGUUACUAUUCUCCAAUUUUUUAGUGGUGUAUGCUCACGUCUAUGAGCAAGUUGGUUUGUUUUUGCAAGUAUAAAUACUUCAUGAAAAUGUCCGGCAAGGGAGGACACAAAAAAAGAAAUAGAUAGACUCCUACAAGGAGAAAACAUUCUCAUGUGCGGAAAGGUCCAGAAUCCAUCAAGGUUUUCAGCAAGGAAGGAAGAUGAUAAAAACUCUUGCUUAAAAUGAUUCAUGCAUGCAUGUCAUAUAAAAAAGAGAAAAGAAGAGAAAACUCUUUUGAGAGACUACGACCGUGUCUUCAUCACAAAAUUGAAAAUUGAUUAUCAUCUUUAUAAAUUUAAGAACUCGAGGUCAGUCUGUGAAUUUAAUGGAAAUUAAUGCAUGAAAUUAUUGAAAAAGUAUAUAUAUAUAUAUAUAUAUAUAUAUAUAUAUAUAUAUAUAUAUAUAUAUAUAUAUUAAGGCAAGAGACGAUAUACAUGUAAAUACUCUUAUAUACUAUUGUAUAUAGGAAAUAUUGUAGACAUACUCUUGUGUGGUAACCUCCGCCAUUACUAUUGUAUAUUGCCCUACAUAUAUAUAGAAAGGGUUGGCUAACCAUUAAGUUAAGCCUUCUAAUUAUUCUCAACUUGGUAUCAGAGCCUUUUGCCGUCAGAACUCCUUUCUCCCUCCCUCCCUUUGCAGCCGGCCCUCUCUCUCUUUUUCCUCCAUGGAUUCUACAGCUGCCGCCAACUUCCCUCUCUCCACCGGUGGUGCAGCACAGCCGGCCAGCCAUCCCCAAGCUGCUGCCGGUGGUAUCUUUUCUCCCUAACAGCAGCCUCCACUUGCAGAGCAUGUCUCUGAUUCUUCUUCACAAGUCUCUGUCGUUCCUUUGCCUCUCAUGGGAACACACACUCCAGCUAUCGUUCCUUUAUCAAACACCCACCAAGUUGUUUCGUUGAAACUUAUAAACACAAAUUAUCUCUAUUGGCGAAUGCAGAUGAAGCCAUAUCUCCUUGGUCAAGGUGUUUUUCACUUCGUUGACUGCUCCGUGCCGUGUCCUCCAUCUCAUAUUUUUGACAGUUUUGCUGGUUCUUCAUCUACCACCAGCCCUUCUUUUCUUCGUUGGAAGCAACAAGAUCAACUUAUUUUGAGUGCUUCACUCUCCUCUCUCUCUGUGGAUGUGUUGCAUCUCGUGGUAGAUUGUUCUACCUCGCAUUGUGUUUGGCGCACUUUUGAGAAAGUGUUUGCCUCUCCGUCUUAUUCUCGCAUCAUGCAACUCCAUGGCUCCUUUCAAGACCUUCGUCAAAGUGACUCAAAUGCACACCAUAUAUAAAUGUGUGUCAUUCUUCUUAAGAAGUACUUUAAGAUAUUAAUUAUUCACUUUGAAAUUCUUAAAUAACUUGUAAACCUCCAACACCAUGGGCCCGGGGGGUGUUUGGAGGGAGACUUACAAGUAUGGGCUCUAUGACAAUGGAGGAAUGGUGGUGGGAAUGAUAGCGAAAGUAGAGAUAGUGGUGAUGAAGAAGUCGAUAGAGCCAAUAAUACAGAAAUUCCACCGGACCCGUAUGAAUCAGAGCUGUUAUAAUUACACCAUUUAACCUCCACAUGGGGAGAUAGCUAGCUCCUGGAAUUUUUUUGCUACCAACAUAGAUCCUGGAAUUUUUUUGCUACCAACAUAGAAUAAAAUUCCAUUGAACAAUAUUUGGUCAUCCCUGCGCAGAUAUCCAGCUAGAGAGUGGAAAUUAAUGCAUGAAAUUAUUGAAAAAGUAUGUAUAUAUAUAUAUAUAUAUAUAUAUAUAUAUAUAUAUAUAUAUAUAUAUAUAUAUUAAGGCAAGAGACCCUAUACAUGUAAAUACUCUUAUAUACGGAUAGUUAUUAUGUGUAAUACAUUCCAAAUUAUAUUGUACACAACCCUAAAGGUAUACUUCAACAAUCUGCUGCCGCUGCAUCAGCACUUCGGUCUUCUUUCUCCCCUGUGGCGCAAUCAGUUAUCUAUGGCGUAUCCACUACUGCUGCCAUCAUACCUAUUCUUAAAACACACCAGGUAGUCUCUUUAAAACUCUCCAACACCAAUUUUAUGUAUUGGAGGAUGCAGAUGAAACCGUUUUUUUAGGCCAAAGCGUGUAUUCCUUCGUUGAUGGCACAUCAUUAUGUCCUCCUUCACAUAUGGCAUCUACUGCGACAUCAGCACUCUCUGUCAACCUUGCAUAUUUGUCAUGGAAGCAGCAAGAUCACUUAAUCAUGAGUGCCCUCCUAUCUUCUGUCUCGGUGGAAGUUCUGCACUUAGUUGUGGAUUCUAACACCUCUCAUGACAUUUGGACAACGCUGGAAACAACUCUUGCCUCUCCUUCAAAUUCUCGGAUUAUGCAACUUCACGACCCAUUCCAAGAUUUACAACAGACUGAUGAUUCUGCCAGCAUCUACUUGCAGAAGGCAAAGAUCUUAUUUGAUGAACUUGCUACAUGUCAUGUGCACCAUUAAAACCCAAUGUUUCAAGCAUUUGACUUGUAAUCAAACGGCUAUCAAUAUUCCAUCCUUUAGCAUACUUGAGGGUAUACCACUAGUUGCCCGCAAGAUCUGUGUGAAGACUCCGAGACAUAGUGAAGAGGAUAUUGUUUUGUCACUGUGUAAUAUAAUCUGCCUCAUUUCUUGGCCAUUGUUAUUAGCAUGCUAGUUUUAUUUCGAAGAAAGCAAGCUCUGCUUCCUAGUAAAAGUUUUUCUUUAUAGUUUGAAUAAACCUCCAUUGCUAGGUUAAAGUGAACCAAACCAGCAGAAACGAACUAAGUGAUUACAUUGAAAAGCCCGUAGAUUGCAAUGUUUUUUUUCUAGAAAUGCUAGAGAGCUUCCCAACUCUCUUUCUUUUUUCUUUUCAUUUUUGUCUUUUUUAAAAUAAAAAAAUUCCAUCCUGAAACGUUUUUUAUUGAAUUAUUUUUUAUGACUAAAUUCUAUGAGAUAAAGUUUUAAAAAGUUGCGGAAAGAUAAAAUUAAAAGAGAAAGGAUAAUAAUGUAAAACAUACAAAAAAUACGUGGUUAGUCUCAAAGUUUUUAGAAUUUUGAUUUUGAUCCAUAGAUUCAUUUUUUUAUUAGAUUUGACAUCUAAGAGAGAACAUUAUCGAAAAUGGCAAAUGAGAGAAAAAGUUGUCAAUUGACCAUAUUCUAACAACAAAAAAGCACAAUCUUGGUAUUAACGGUUUCAUUCAAUAGAAAGAUUUUCAUUGAAGUGUUUUUUCACCUUAAUUUAUCUUUUCAAAAAAAAUAGAUCAAGGUUGUGAGAUGAUUUUUUACCAUUUUGAUUUUAUGUUUUUAAAAGUGCUUUGCGUUGAUAGAUAGUUUAUUGAUAUUAUAAGGAUGUUUAUUAGGUGUUUUCAAAUGAAAAUAGGUUGGAAAAAUAAAUUAUUGAGUCGAAAAAACCCUAACUAGAUAUGAUUGGAAACUAAGCAAGUAGAUAAUGCGCAUUGUCUACUUUUAUUUUAUUUUUUUUAAAUGGGCCAGGCAUUGGGCCACAUAGACCCAACCACCUAGCCUUUGUAUAUUUGAUUAUACUUUUUUUUUCUAAUUAAAUUUUAUGAAAAUAAAUAAAUUCAAAAUAUCAUUUUCAAGAAUAAGAUUAUAGUUGUUUUUUAUAAAAUUAACAAGCACUUUUUUUUACAACCCUUUGUGACUUGUAUAUAUUUUUUUUCUUAAAUUUUGAUUUUGGGAUUUUUUGCGCAAUUGUUUUUUAUUAUCACAUGAUCGCAAAAAAAAACAUAGUCAAAAUGUUUUUGAUGUAUUAUUUUUAUAUUUUUGUAAUACAUUCGAGACCUAAUAAUGAAACCAUCGAUUAUUGUUUUAUUAGAUUUUUCUUUUACGACCCUAAUAAUUUUUUGCUUCAUAAAAUAACAUUUUAAUAAAUACUUUUCCAAAAAAGAAAUUGAAUUAAUAAAAUAAAUAGGUUUUAAUUAAAAGGAUGUUGUUUUUAUCAUUAUUUUGAAUCCCUUAUAGCCUAUUAGAUAUUUAUUUUAAUGGCCUUCGGAUUUUAUUAAAUGAAGUAUAUUGCUUAAAAAGCUAUGUUUUUUUGUUGAAAAAAAUAGAUUAGUAAAAAAAUGAAUUAUAUUAGAAAAAUAUUUAUUUCAAUAAAAUUUAAAUUAUUUUAUUUUUUUAUAAAAAAAUCAUUACAUAUAAUGACUUAAAAAAAAUAUAAAUUGUUUUAUAUGGCACGAGAUUUAAUAUAUUAAUCUGUAUUUAUUUCUCAGUUUUCCAAUUUAAUUUUUAAUAUUUAGUUAUAUAUAAAUUAUUUUUUAAAUUAAUUAAUUAAAUGCAUGUAUUAAAUUCUUACACGUAACAAAUUUUCUUUAAACUAAAAAAGCUCAAAUUAUAAAAUAAAUUUUGAGCCGAGGCGAGCAAAUUUGGCCGGUGAAUUACUAUAUAACAAUUUAACUUCAUACAAUGUCGUGCUUCAAAAAUUCCAGAUGUCAAGUCCAAGAACGUUCUGAUUAUUGUCUGAAAAAUCAAAAUCACUCCCUCUUCUUGCAACAACAUAUUGACCCCACCUUAAUAUUUUCUUUGGAGGGCAGCCAGGCUUUCUCAGUGUUCCAUUUAUCUUUUCUGUGAUGUAAAUUCUCCAUGCACCAUUUUUAUCAAAUUCCUACAAUACCCAUGUCGGUUUUGUAGCAUAAUGUUCCACAUCAAAUUCAUGGUUAAUAUAUUUUAGUUAUAGUUUUGUUUUGUAAACUAAUUUUUAUUUAAAAAGUAUUAAAUUAAUGUUUUUUAAUAUUUUUUAUAGUGUUAAAUCAAAAAUUAAAACAUCUGAAGAUGGGCAGAUCUGAUAUCUCUCAUUGGACAAAGAAACAGGUACACACAUAUCUAUGCAUUUAUAUAAUCUUCAAUCAGAGCAAACUAAAGAGUUCUUUAUUCGUUCAUUGAUUGAAUGGGAUGAAUGUAUCAUAUAUUCCUUGCUUAAUGUUCAAGAUUUGCAAUCUUAUUAAAUCACUUUUUUCUUAAUUAUCAGGUUGUGGAUUUCAAACCAAGCAUAAAUAUAGAUUUGGGUGGUUUAGCAUGAAGCUGAAAUUGGUUGGAGGUGACUCUGCAGGUGUUGUGACAUGACAGCUUAUUAUGGAAGUCUUUCUUCUACCGCCCCAUACGCUCAAAAUGCCUUAAAGAUUCAUGGCUGUGAAGCUUAAUCAAAGACUUCAUAAAUAUUUUAACUAUUUUUUUGUACUUAAUUCUAGCUUGACAGCAAGUACAGGAAAUUAUCAGGGACGGAGGCUAAAGUGGAUUCAUCUGUUUUUUUGCAGAUGUGUACAGAGAAUGGGGCAGGGCCAACAAGAGAUGAGCUGGACUUUGAGUUCUUGGGGAAUAGAACUGGAGAACCCUAUUUGAUUCAAACAAAUAUAUACAAGAAUGGUACUGGUAACCGUGAAAGGAGGCACAUGCUUUGGUUCGACCCUACCGAGGAGUUCCACACCUAUUCCAUUCUCUGGAACAAUCUACAGAUAGUGUAAGUCCUUCGAUUCUAUGCUACAGCUAGAUCAAGGCACCUGAUGAUUCAAGUUUUCAUGCUGCAAUCUUGCACAAAAGCAAAAGCAAAAAAGAAAAUGGCAAAAACAGUAGAUUAAAGGGCUGGUUGCGUCCCGGUGUGUUUGGUAACGUAGAUGUUUUUCCAUUGAAAAUGCAUAUUACAAUUAUGUUUUUAUAUUAACACAUUAAAAAACACUUAAAAACAUCAAUUUAAUAUCUCUGAGACGAAAAGCAAUAGCUACUGCAGGAAGAGAUAAACAUUGUGGGAACAGUCAAUAAAUAAGCCUCAGAGAUUUGCUUGCAACUUGGGUUCGAUGGACAGUGACACUGACUUGGAUUUUUCAUACGCUAAGCAGGUUUUUUGUUGAUAAAGUAGAGCAAUAAGGGUGCCCAAGAACAAUGGAGAACCAAAUAAUUUCUUCCCCAAUGAGAAGCCCAUGUACCUAUUUUCAAGUAUCUGGAACGCCGAUGAUUGGGCUACUAGAGGAGGGCUAGAGAAGACAGACUGGAAAAAGGCCCCAUUUGUGUCCUCUUACAAGGACUUCACUGUUGAAGCUUGUCAAUGGGAAGAUCCAUACCCUGCCUGUGUAUCAACAACGACUAAAUACUGGUGGGAUCAAUACGAUGCUUGGCAUCUCUCAGAUGAACAGAAAAUGGACUGUGCCUGGGUCCAAAGAAACCUUGUGAUCUAUGAUUAUUGCAAAGACACUGAAAGAUUCCCAGCGCUGCCAGUGGAGUGCAAAUUGAGCCCAUGGGAUUGAUGGGCAAGUGAUGAGUUAAUUGUUAUUCUUCAGCAUCAUAUAUUUUUUCUAUUUCCUUUUUGUCUUUUUCUUGGUUACCAUUUUGAGAUGGGUAUAAAUCACAAUGUAUUUUUCUGCCAGCUAUUCUAUUUCACUAUUGCACAUCUAUUUAAUUUAUUCAAUUAUUUAUAUUCAAUUCAAAUAUAAAUUCCUGUACUUUGUCCAUCCUGUAAAGUGUUUUUCUCUAUCUUCUUAAACUCCAAUAAAAAUAUAAUCAAUGAAAAACACUUCGUAGAAUAACAGUUUUAUUUUUAUUUUGGGUAGAAUAUAUUUUUUAAAAGUUAUAAGAUUUUAAAAAUAUUUUGUUAUAUAUGUUGAUUAUAUUAAAUUUCACCUAUAUAUAUUUUGUUUUGAAUUAUUUAUUUAGUUAUUAUUUUUUCAAUUUUGUCUCUUAAAAUUUGAUUUAACUUGAUUUUUAUAUUAUCUUGGGUUCUUAUUUUUUUUUAUUGUUAUUUGUUUUUCUUCUAUCCUUUUCUUAAUUGAAUUUUUUUUAUCUUGUUAUUGGUUUCUAUUCUUUUGAUAUUUACUCGUCUUUUAAUUUUUUUUUCUGUCAGAUUUGGUCCUUAUUUUUUUAUGACUAUUUUUUUAUUUUAGAUAAUUUAUGAAAUUAGAAUUUUUUUUAAUUUCAUCCUCCAAAUUUUUCAUCAAUUAAUUUUGAUCCCUAUUCUUUAAUAAACUUGAAAAAUAUUUAAAAAUAUUAAUAAGUUAUUUUCUAACUUAUUUUUCAUGGCAUAGCUAAAUACUAUAAAAUAUUUUCCAACUUAUUUUUCAUGGUAUUGUCAAAUAUAAAAAAAUAAUCUACUUUUUAAAAAUUUACUUUCCAUGAAAAAUAUUUUUUUUAAAAAAAAAACACUUUCCGAUAGAUAAAUUAGGCAAGUAGAAGGAUUUACAGUAUAUCGUUUUUUGGCAACCCACUAAUAGUUCUUGUAUCUUGAUUUUCUAUUUUUAUAUUUUAUUUUUAAAAAGUGUUCAAUAUUAUUUCAAUGUAAAGCCACUUAGACGAAAAGGGUACAAUGUAAGAAUAAAUAGCAUAAUAAAGUAGUUGACGUAAAAUAAAUAAAAAUAAUAUAUCCUUCUUUUAAUUAAAAAAAAAAAUCAUUCUCAUUUGUUAUUUUUAUUCUCACCUUCCACUAUGAAAAUAAAAUUAGAUUUAAUUUUUAUUUUCAUUUCGAUUUUGUUCUUUUAACCAAAUAGGCUCUAAGUUUUAUCAAUUUCUAAAAGAAACAUUCUUGGACUAACCGACUAUGAAUUUGGCUUAAUCAUCAAAACAUGAGGGCUACCUCAAUCGUUUGGUGGUGAGAUUUAUACAGUAUGCAGUCGUGCCUACACAAUUAUUCUUAAAAAUGAUGCAACUUACAAGUCCUUUUUCAAUUCUCUCAAAAGAGAAAAGGAAUACUAUAUUUUUUUUUAUAUAGUUGACGAUUAUAUUAUUUGAUGGCCUAUCAAAACAUACCUUCUAGAUUUUUUAAAUUGUUUUUUCCAAUUUUUUUCAAGUUAUUAUACUAUCUACAUUGGUCGGCGCUUCAUUUGACCAUUCGCUAAUGAUCAUCCGGUGGCUUCUCUCUAUAUAUAUACAUAUAAAAUUGGAAAAAAUAUUGCUUAAAUAUAUAAUUUAGGCCGCCUCUGUAAGCUUUAAACUUGUAGAUAUGGGGGGAUCAUGAGUUUGACUUUUAUGUUUUCCAAUCUCCGUUUCUUAAAAUCUUUUUAAUUCCAUUAUUGAUUUUUGAAAGACCCAGUUUUUUGUUUAACUAUAUAAAUACAAAACAACUCAAGUAAACCAUCUGAAGAAAUUCCCGUCAGUUUGGAAUUGUUCGAGUCGUAAAUAUAUAGUUAUCUUCCAUGAAAUUGAUGUGCUAGGAUUUUCCAAAAUGUUGGAGAGCAUACAUAGUCAAAUAGAAUUUUAUAUGGUUUCAAGGGUGAUUUAUUUGACGAGGACAUAAAUUAUUUAAUUUAAACAAAUAAUGACCAAGAACAGAAUAUGAAGAAUUAAUUAGCACUGGUCAUCGACACAUAUAUGUGAUCCUUUCACACCACAUAACCUUCAAUUUCAUGCUAUAAAUACUACCUCUCCUCCUCUUGUUUCAGCAUCACAAAAACAUCUUCCAAAUCAACAAAAUCUCUCCCCCCCUUCUCAGUCUUUUAGAAUCCCAAGUUAAAAUGGGUGUCAUCACUUUGGAAAACGAGUUUGCUGUUGCUGUCGCCCCGGCCAAGCUUUUCAAGGCAUACUGCCUUGAGACCGACACUCUUUUGCCUAAAAUUCUACCAGAGCACAUUAAGAGCUCUGAGAUAAUUGAAGGAAAUGGAGGGCCUGGAGCCAUCAGGAAGAUCACUUUUGCUGAAGGUUAGUAUAUUAUAUGUUGCAAUUACUUUUAAUUAUAUUAACUAUAUUGAAAUCAGCAUAACACUCGCUAUAUCUACCGCACAAAGAAGUAACAAAUUGAUUUUGCACUUGCAGGAAAAGAUCUCAGUUAUGCCAAGCAGAAGAUUGAGGCAAUUGACGAAGAGAACUUGACCUACAGCUUCAGCUUGAUUGAAGCCAAUGUUUGGAAGGAUGCAGUUGAAAAGGUGACUUAUGAGCACAAGUUCGUGGCAACUCCUGAGGGAGGUUCCAUUUGCAAGAGAACCAGCACAUAUUACAUCAAGGGUGAUGCUGAGAUCAACAAAGGCCAAAUCAAGGACGUGUAUGGCAAAAAGACCGCAGGCUUGUUGAAGGCUGUUGAAGCCUACUUCUUGGCAAAUCCAGAUGCCUAAAUAUGAAAAUUCCCAUGUGUGUGUGUGUGGCCUUUUUCUUGGUUGUCUUUGGCAGUGUGGUUAUUGCCUUUUCUUCUUCCUUUGGGUAAAUUUUCCAUCCUUGUUACUGGCAAAAAAAAAUUGAGAGUACAGAAGUAUAUCUUCUAUUACUUUAAUAGUAUUUGAUUAUGUGGUCAUUUGGUUAAUUGUAUUGAAGCAGUUCUUUUCAAUAGUUGAUGUUAUUGGUAUUGUUUUCAAAAUACAUAAUAAAAAUCACCAUGUCAUCAAGUGUUUACUUUGAAUCGAUGUAUCGAAGGUUUUCUUUAUACAUAAUCUGUUUUCUUAAAGAGCACUUGAAUUUAUGGACCUUUCCCUCCUUCCUCAUUUUUUUUUUCAAAUGAUAAUAUAUUGAAGAGCAAAAACAUUUGUCAUGCUGGUUAUGCACGCAUAAACUAUCCUUUUGGAAAGAUUUUAUGUUUGUAAAAUCCAACGAAUAGAAUGUAUGCACGUAAGAAAAUAAUUUAUAUGACCAGGGGGUGGUUAAAUGAUUUUCUUAUUCAAACUUCACUUUCUCUUUUAUUUUUUUUAUGUUAUUUUCACAUCAAUAAUAAUAAUAAUAAUAAUAAUAAUUAUUAUUAUUAUUAUUAUUAUUAUUCUUUUUUAAUAAAAAAAAUAAUAAUCUUAACACUUCCUCUCUAAGUUGGUGCAUAAAUAUCACAUAUGCCUAACUUGUUUAAAGUUGAGAAUAAUUAGCAGGCUUAAUCUAUUGGUUAGCCAACCCUUUUUAUAUAUAUAUAUAUGUAGGGCAAUAUACAAUAGUAAUGGUGGAGGUUACAACACAGGAGUAUAACUACAAUAUUUCCUAUACAGUAUGCCUACAAUAUUUCCUAUAUAGAUGCAUUAAUAUGCCCCCUCAAAUUGAGGGUGAAGGAUCAGCCCGAAACUUGAAAUGAAAAGUUGUAAAAAAAAUAGUAGGAAGUGGCUUAGUAAAGACAUCUGCAAGUUUAUCCUGAAAGGAAAUAAAAUGAAUCUAGAUCUCCUUCUUCACAACUCUAUCUCGGACAAAACAUGAGGGCUACCUCAAUCGUUUGCUGGUGAGAUUUCAAGUUAGAAUUUGGCUUCAUGAGUAACCGACUACAUCUGAUCCGAUCCAUUGACUUGGAUUACUGAGAUUUUGGAUGGUGAGAUAAUACACACACACACACACACUUCAGUUGAAUGUCUAAACUUAGAGUCACAAUAUUGUUAAGGUUAUUGAUAAGAAAAAUCCUAUUCAGGAAGUUUUUCAGAUAAAACUUCCUUAUGAUCUGCAGUCAAUCCUGCAUAAUAUGGUGCUAUAAUUCCUUAAGAAUAUCUGUUAUGAUUAUGUACAACUAUAAACUAAAUUAGCUCCACAUUUAUCUUCUUCUUUUACUCUUUUAUAAUGUACUCCUAUAUAUAAAUACAAACUAAUGUACAAUGUUUAAGUUGAUCAGAUAAGAAUCAUACAAAAACAUUCUUCUCCUAACUUGGCAUCAGAGUCAUUAUAGCUCACAGAUACCUUUUCUUUGAUUCUGCUUCCACAUAAUGUCUUCUUUAUUACCUUUACAUGAUAUCAACAACCCUCUCAAUCUUUCUCAUACCUCACCUCUAUCAUCCUUUAAACUUGAUGGAUCAAAUUAUCUAAUCUGCUAGUCCCAAUUUCUAUCAUUUCUAAACAGUAAUGAUCUUCUAGUGUUCGUUGAAGGUUUUGACCCUGUCACUGGGAAAACCAAUGCUGAUAAUUCACCCAAUCCCUCUUAUACAACAUGGUAUAAGAAAGAACAAGAUCUAUUGGGUAUUAUAUUAUCAUCUCUUAGUCUAAAUUUUGUUAGAAUAGUGUAUGGUUUAACCACAUCCAAACAAGUCUAGACUGCUCUUAAGACUAGAUUUUCUAAUCAGUCACAAUCUCAUAAUCUAUGUUUGGAUUUGUCUUUUAUGUUGUGAUCCGGUCUUAUGAUCAUUAUCACAAGUUUUAAAGGUUGAGUCAGGUUGGCUUCGGUCAUUUUUAUUUUUUUUAUUUUUAAUUUCAUCUAUCAUCAUUAGAUUCGUUGGUAAUUUGUAUUUUUUUUUUUUUUUUGCCUUUUCUUUCUAUAAAGUUAUUCUAAUAUCAUGUUCUAAGUUAUGGAUUUAGCAAGUUUACUGGGUUUGACUUGGUCUUUUUUUUCAUUGCUUUUUAAGUUUUUUUUAAUCUCGAGUCAAUGACCAGAAUCUUAAAUAUUUUUUUAAAAAUGUUUGCGUCAUCUUGAUGUUUUUUUCUACAAUGAAAAACAAAUAAAUAGACUCGUGGUAUAGCGCUGGACACCUAUCUAGUAAUAAUCUAAAAAUUAAUAAUAUGAUAAUCUAAAACUGAUAAUAUGAAAUGAAGUGUUAGUGAAAAUGAUACACUCAUAUGCGAAAACAUACAAAUACAUUUUGAUCUUAAAUAGACAAGAAAUUUAACCAUAGUCUUAUUAUUACAAUUUGAUCCUUUGGUUUUAAAAAUAUACAAGCACAUCAAUAUUUACUUAAAUUGAAAAUGGGACAUCACUAAUUCUAUUAUAAAAUAGGACAUUAAGAACAUAUUAUUAUAAUUCUUUUUAUUAUUUUCCAUAUAAAAUAAAUGAGAUCAUAAAUGGAUGGUAAAUUGUCAUUUUUAAAAUAUUAAUAUUUAAAAAAAAUAUUAUAAAAAAUGGAUGAAACAAUUAAUUGAGAAUUUUCAAAAACUUUAUAACACAACAAAAUUAUUAGGCAUUUAAUUGAUAUUCAGGAUAUAAUUUGAAAACUAAUUUAAGUUAAAUCUUUUAUUUAUUUAUUUAUUAUGCAAUCGUGCCUGCACAAUUAUUCUUAAAAAUGAUGCAACUUAUAAGUCCCUUUUCAAUUCCCUCAAAAGAGAAAAGGAAUACUAUAUAUGUUAUUAUUUGAUGGCCUAUUAAAACAUACCUUCAAAAUCAUCCAGCAGCCGUUCUUCAUAGCAGAGAUCUUCAUCUUUUUCCUCUGUUACUUCUCAUCUAUUAUAUCCACCAGCAGCCGUCCUUCUUAGCAGAGAUCUGCAUCUUCUUCCUCUGUUACCUCAUAUCUGCAAUAUCUGGAGGUCCUCUUCCUCCUUAAAACCAAACUGCAACCUCUUCUACCUUGCAACAUGGACAAUCAAGAACUUCAACAAUCUGUUGCUGCUGCAUCAGCACUACAGUCUUCUUUCUCGCCUGUGGCGCAACAGUUAUCUAUGGCGUAUCCACUACUGCUGCCAUCAUACCUAUUCCUAACACACACCAGGUAGUCUCUUUAAAACUCUCCAACACCAACUUUUUGUAUUGGAGGAUGCAGAUGAAACCGUUUCUUUUAGGCCAAAACGUGUAUUCCUUUGUUGAUGGCACAUCAUUAUAUCGUCCUUCACAUCUGGCAUCUGCUGCGACAUAUGCACUUUCUGUCAAAUUUGCAUAUUUGUCAUGGAAGUAGCAAGAUCACUUAAUCAUGAGUGCCCUCCUAUCUUCUCUCUCGGUGGAAGUUUUGCACUUAGUUGUGGAUUCUAACACCUCCCAUGACAUUUGGACAACGCUGGAAACAACUCCUGCCUCUCUUUCAAAUUCUCAAAUUAUGCAACUUCACAGCUCAUUCCAAGAUUUACAACAGGCUGAUGAUUCUGCCAGCAUUUACUUGUAGAAGGCAAAGACCUUGUUUGAUGAACUUGCUGCAGCUAGCAGACCAAUCUCCUUGGCCAAAUUCAACUUGUAUGUGUUUCGAAGGUUACGCAGUGAGUUUAAGGAUCUUGUCAUCAGCUUGUCCACUAAGGAUGUUACCAUCUCCUAUACUGAUCUUCAUAGCAAUCUUCUUACACAUGAGUUUCUUCACAAAGCCUCUCUCCAACCAUCUGUAACAUCUCCUCUGUUACCAACUCCAACGCAGCAGUCAGCUAUGUUCUUUGUGCAACAUCAAUCUGGCUUUAGUACUAGCAAACAAGGUUGGUUUUGUGGGGGCUGGAGACCUAACAAUCAACAAUGUGGCCAACAUGGAAACCAGUUCUCCUCUGGUUCUUCCCAACAUGGAAACCGGUUCUCCUCUGGUUCUUCCUCACGGAUAACAAGCAGCUUUAGGCAGCAAGGAAAUCGUUUUGGUGGUUAUAAUCGCAAUACUACCCAACAGUAUUCUCAAUUGGCUACUCAUCUUACGCAAGCAAAUGGUAAUCUCGCAUUUAAUAAUGUAUCUACCACUACUCCUAUUACUUGGUUUCCUGAUACAGGUGCAAAUCAUCAAGUCACGCCGGACCUUGUAAGUAUGACGAGUUCAGAACAUUACCUUGGAAAUGAUCAUCUGCAUAUUGGUGAUGGUAAGGGCCUUGUUAUUUCAAAUAUUUCCCACUCUAAAAUUCGUUCACCCAAAUGCACGUUUACUUUAUCUAAUAUUCUACAUGUUCCUGCCAUUAAAAAACCUCUGCUAUCUGUUCAAAAAUUUUAUCUUGAGAAUAACGUCUUUUUUGAAUUUCAUUCCUCUCUAUUUUAUGUUAAGGGGGAGUAGAGAUGGUCUAUAUGUUUUGUCUGAGUCGUCCGCAACGUUGUUGCCUCAAGUUUUCUCAUCUACUUGUCUCUCUACUUUCGCUGAUGCCUGGCAUCGUCGCCUUGGGCAUCCCAAUCCACGUAUUCUACAUUUUUUGGUGAAAAAAAAGUGUCAUGUACAUCAACUCAGUUUACUUUUAAUUGUUGUCGCACGUCAUUAAAUCCGCACGGCAUCGGCUGGCGAUUUUUCUUUAUGCGUUUUGCUUUGAUUGGUUCGUUGGAGUCGCCACCUAGUAAUUUAUUGAGGGCUACUAGGAAACCUGAUGUACUGGUCUUGUUAGAGAUUCACGGGAAAGGGACUGGUUGUGGUUAGGGAAGGUAUUAGCACCCCUAACGCACCCUACCUGAGGUAAGCUGCUUCGUGGACUUGAUGUGUUUUUAAAAAUAAAAUUUUAGCCCAAUUCUAAGGCUUUGAUAAAUCAGUUAUUAGUUCCCAAAAUAUAUGUAGAUACAUGUUCUACAUUUUCAUGGAAAAUACAACAUGAUUUUAUCUGUCCUUUAGAUAUUUGUGCAUAUAAAUUAAAAUAUUAAAUUCAUUUUUUUUUAUUCAAUAACAUACAUAAAAAACAAAUACACAAACACACACACAUCUCUUUUUCUAUUAUUAUUUUCUCUUUCUUUUCUUUUCUUUUUGUACAUCACAUUACAAAAUUAUAAAAAAUUUAAACACUAAACAAAAAUUACAUUACAUAAUUUAAAAAUUACAAAAUAGUCCCUAAACUCCAGAAAUUGCAGAGGGACACUUCUGGAACUGCCUGAACAGUUCUGGAACAAUGGCGGCGCGUGGCUUCACGCGCCGCCGCUGACAGUGCUGGAAAUGGGCGGAUCUGCCCUGCUUUCUCCUUUUCUCUUCUCUGCCGAUGGUGACCUGCAAAAUCAACCAAAAACGCAACACAGGCAGUUGAUUUUAGUUGUUUUUCUUUGUUGUUUUUUAGAUCUGCUCUCGGGUUCUUCUCCCGGAUCUGUCCCGUUCGGGUCUGCUGCUAUGGAUUUCAUCUCCUUCUCCUCUGCUUCGGGCGGCGCUGCUGGCUGAUGGUGGAUCUGUGGCUGGGCAUGGAGAUCGGAGGAGAAGCUGUCGUGGCCGGCUGUUGUGGGGAGGAGCUGCUGCUGUUGCUCGUGGGUCUCUCUUUGAUUUACAUCUGCUCCUUCUGCCGAUGGCAGGACUGGUGGAGGCGGAUCGCGGUGGACGCGGGCGGAUCCGCCGGUGCCUGAGGGCUUCGGUGUGGAGCAGAAGGGAGGCGUUUCCUUGUGGAGCUGGAUCCGUGGGCCACUGGCGGUGCGAUUCUGCCGGCGUUCAGCGAGCUGGCCGCUAGUUCAGGAGGAAAGAGCUGAGGGAGGCCGCGGCUGAGGAAGAGAAUGGGGGUUCUCUUGUGGGUCUUGCUGCUGUCGUCUGCUGGCUGCUGGAGCUGAGUCGGCCAAGAGAGGGAAAAAUGGUGGUUGGCCGAGAGAGCAAGAAGAAGAAGGAAGGUGCUGGGAGCAGGAAGGAAAAGGAGAGCUGCAGUGGCUUGGGAGGUGAAGAAGAUGGUGGAACCGGCUGAAAAGGAAAACCAAAAACGUGGGGGGCCGGCCAGACGGCGGCUUGGAGAAGAGAUAGAUUUAGGGUUUUGUUUUUGUGUUGUCUCUCCCCUCAAAUAUCAAAAUUUCCCCCCUUUUAUGUGUGUUGAAGGCUGCUAUAUAUAGGCAAAUUAAUGUUUGGGCCUCAAAAUUAGUCUUCAACUUUCUCUUUUUUUGUAAAUUCUGAUUUUUCUUAUUUUUUUGUAUUUUUUGAAAACGAGCAAUAUCAACGUCAACUUAAAUGAGAAAAAUCAAUGAUUUUAAAAAUAACACGUGAAAAGUCGAACGCGUUCCAAAAAACCUAUGAAAACUUAAAUUCUUUUUUUAGACGACGUUAAAAAUGCUAAAAACGAUGCACACAUAUUAAAAACAUAUUUUUUUGGAUUUUCGUUGUUUUUCGCUAUUUUUGAAUUUUCCGAAGAUUUUAUCAAAAAGGUAGGUCAAAAAUUGGGUAACAACAAUUGUGUUGAGUGCCCUCUGGGCAAGUCGUCUCGUCUGACUCUAAAAACUACGGGUCAUCAAACUCGAGCUCCUCUUAACUUGAUUUUUAGUGAUGAUUGGGGUUCAUCCCCUAUGUUGUCAUCUGAUGGUUUUUGCUAUUUUGUUAUUUUUUUGGAUGCCCAUACGAAGUUUAUAUGGUUUUAUCCUUUGGUUGCUAAGUCUGAUGUUUUUCAAAUUUUUCAUCAAUUUCAGGCGCUUGUGGAGCGCCAAUUCUCCUUAAAAUUUAACUUUGUUCAAAUCGAUUAGGGUGGUGAAUAUCGAAAACUAAAUACAUAUUUUAAAAUGAUUGGUAUUCAUCAUCGUGUGAUCUGCCCGCACACUCAUGAACAAAAUGGCAUGGUUUAACGUCGUCAUAAACAUAUUGUUGAAACUGAGCUUACUCUUCUUGGGUAGUGCCACGCUUCCCUUAAAUAUUGGAGUUAUGCUUUUGAAAGCUCUGUUCAUUUGAUUAAUCGCAUGCCAACUCCAGUUUUUAAUCAUAAGACACCUUUUGAAUGUCUUCUAAAAUCGAUUCCUGAUUAUGCGUUUCUUCGUACCUUUGUGUAAACCCCGGGGGAAAAAAAUAAAUAAAAGUGAAGAAAUUCAUGCAUAUGGUUAAAUAAAAACAGGAAUUCAGAAAUUUUUUAAUAUAAAUUUCCGAGUGAAAUAAUUCGAGACAUUAUAAUAAACCCGGUACUGUUGAGGGUUGGAUUUAAUUGAAGAGAAUAACACACUUAAAGGAAAAGGGGGCCUAAAUGCAAAUAAGGGAAAAUAUAGAGUAUAAGUACUCUCUCCUCACCAAAAAUUUAGAGGAACCAUAAGGAGAGAAAAUAAGGAGUUUUAUACCCAUUCUUGCGAAAUCAAGAGAGAAACACUAAAAUUUCAACAACCCAUCCAACAUUAAGGGUUUAUAGAUGGGAUAAACACUUGAGAGCAAGGGAUUACCAAGAAAUUGAACAAGAAGAAAAGAAAGGAGGGAGUUAAAAAUCUUCAACUGGUUGAAGAUCAAAAUCUUAAUUCGUACUGGGUAAAGUGUUCUAAACAUGAUCUUAAAAAUUCAUUUUAAAUUCGAUAAUGAAUUGAUGUCUUGAUAUUGAAUCAUAGGUUAGGGUUCUUAGACAUGAAUUGGGGAAAAAGUACUUAUUGUUAAGAUUAAGUUAAUUCAUGUGUGUGGUAUGUAGUUUAUGAAAGUAUUGUGUGAAGGGGAGGGGGAGACGAAUCUGGACAGACUUGUCUCCUGACUUUCAGUGAGAUUUCAGGUAGGAGGAUGAGGGAAUUAGGAUUGGAUUCCUUCAUAGAAAUUGUAGAUUUGAAUGAUAGCUAACCAAGGAAACUGGUCUUCCUCAAUUUAGAGAUGUAGAACUCCAGUUAUGGGUUAUCAACCGAGACUGAGUUGUGACUGAUUAUGUAGGGCAGUAGGACUGAUUAGUUGAUGAGCAGUUUUGACUAUCUUGGAGGAAGAACUGGGUUCUCCUUUCUUCAGAGAACUAGUAGUCUCGUGUCUUAACUUUCUAACGAGAUCAAUCUCACUUAAAAUGGAGUUUUAAAACUUUAGAUAUAGUUAAAAAUCUGAUGAGCGUUCAGACAGUAACAGUUCAAAUGUCUAGACAGUAACAGUUGGACAGUAACAGUUCAAAUGUCUGGACAGUAACAGUUCAAAUUUAAACAGUAACGGUUGGACAGUAACAAUUCAAUGUGUAGACAGUAACAGUUCAAAUGUCUAGACAAUAACAGUUCAAAGUUAGACAGUAACAGUUGGACAGUAACAGUUCAAUGUGUAGACAGUAACAGUUCAAAUGUCUAGACAGUAACAGUUCAAUGUGCAGACAGUAACAGUUCAAAUAUCUAGACAGUAAAAAAUUAUAGUUUGCAAUUCAAGCAUUUGUGCAGGAGGAUAAAUAGGCAAUACAAACAAAACAUGUGAAAGUAUGCCACAUUCACCGACGUCACUACCGACGGAUAAACUUCUAUCGGUAUCUUACAGAGAGUUGCAAAAUAUUUACUGUUUUUUACCACAUUCACCGACGUCACUACCGACGGAUAAACGUCCAUCAGUAUCUUACAGAGAGUGGCAAAAUAUUUACUGCAUUUGCCACAAUCACUAACGGACAUACCGACGUCAUCACCGAUGUACGUUGCAAAUUCCAAUGCGCGCAACUGUCAGAGUGCCAGGUCGGUCAGUCCGUUUACCGACGGACUCACCGACGGAUUUUGCAAUUCUAAUGUGCGCGUGCUCUAACACCUCGAUAUCAACAUAAUUGCCAAAGGAAAUUGAAAAUUCUGGAGGGAUUUCCACAAAUUUUGGUGAGAAAUUCAAAAUAUACCGACGGAAAUUACCGACUAAAUUUAAUGCCACCGCCAAAAAAAAUAUUAUUUUAAGUUCCGUCGGUAAAAUUGCAGUAUAAAACCGACCCCCCCUCUCAUUCAUCUUCUAUUCUCCUAUGCUUCCUCAACAGUUUUGUUAUUGUUUUGAUUGAUUUCAACAUAUUAAAAGGUAUGAUUCUCCUUUCUUUAUCUAUGUAUUUGUUUACUUUUUUAUUUUACUUAUGAUUAUUUUUGUUGUGUUUUUUGUUUUGUGUAUUGUUUGUAGAUAAAAUAUUUAAAUCAACACACUAUUAAGGUAAAUAUUUUUCAUUGCUAAAGUCUUUAGUUUUUUCUUUUUAUUUGUUUAAUUUAUUUUAUUGUUUGUAUUGCCAUAAUAAUUGGAAAUUUUUUUAAAUUUGAAUUUUUAUUGUUGAAUUUACCUUUAAAAUGUUAAUUUAAAUAUAGAAUUAAAUUUAAUUAUUUUAACUCAAUUUUAUUCUAUUAUUGCUUGUUAUGUUUUUUAUUAUUUCCAUUAAUUUUAAUUGUCAUUUAUGUAUUUAUAUAGAUGUUACUUGAAAAUAUAUAGAUGUUAAAUUUCUAUAAAUGUUAGGUUGUAUAUAAGAUUUUCCAAUGGAGUCAAUUGGUUUGUGGUUAUUGUAAAUAUUUGCAGGUUUGAAAACUGUGGGUAGUCUCUAGUAUAGAGGAGGUGCUGCCGAAUGUUUUUUAAAUAAUCAAAUUUAAUUAUGUAAUUAUUCAUAUAAAUUUGUGUAGAUGCAUAGAAUGAAAUCAACAGCACGUCAUCAGCAGACGGUUGUAACUAGUUCUUCUAGCAGCGAGGAUGACUUAUCCUUAGGUGCUGAUCACGAAGAGGCAUCUACGCCAACUUGUGAUGCUGCCUCUUCUAGCGCAGUUUCACAGCGCAGAGGCGGUGUGCCUUCACAGCAGGGUCAAUUCACCCGCAAGUACCAGGCACAAUGGAAGGAUGACCUUUCAAUGUCAGUUUGUUUAGGUUUUAGUUUCUUUUAUAUACUUAUAACAUAAUUUAUGAACAACUAAUUAAUAUUUUAUUAAUUUUAUUUAAUUUCAGGUUCACAAACAUUGAGGCUGCCUGGACAAUAACAUCGCGUUUAAAUCAUCGAUGGAGAUUCCAUUGUUUCAAUGGAGUCAGGUUUCCAAACUUCCUGAGUGGAGACCUAAUAUCGAUGCAUGGUUUCGACGAUUUCAGGUAAGUGUAACUUCUAAUUUCUAGCUUAUUUUUAAUAAAUUAUUUUUAUAAUUUUAUAUCUUGUACUAUUUUUAUUUUAAAUGAAUUAUUUAUACACAUCACACAUUUGAGUGGGAUAGAGCGAACAACAAUGUUGUGUGGAGGGAAUGGGAGAAUCACGCGGCAACUAGGUAACAUCGAAAAUAAUAUAAUUUUUUGUUUUAUAAUUUUAUGUUCUAAAUUCUAAUUUGUUACUAUGGAAGUAGGUUGCGUGAUUUUUGAUAUGACACAAAAAAAAAAGCAAAAAGAUAUGCGAGAGAUAACGGUCUAGAAGGCUGAAAUGAGGUGGUGGUUUGGUGGGAAUUCAAACCACCAUUCAUCUCGGGGGAUAUAUGGACGCAAUAUAUUGAGCACGUGACGUCUGAGCGGUUCGCACAACGCUCACAGUCCGGUGUCGCCAAUCAGAAUCGGCAAAUUCAUGGUUCGGUUACCACGCACACCAACGGCUCUUUUCUGUUCGGUGCACAUGCGAAGCGGAUGGUAAGAUUAAUUUAAAUGAAAUAUAUCGUUAAUUAAUUUGUUGUUGCUUAUAAAUAUAUUUAACUUGCAACCUUUUUUUUCCUUACAGACUUCGUCUCUUGGACGUGUGUCGAGCCCAAUGGAGCUGUUUAUAGAGACGCACGUGCGGAGUCAAGACCGUCAAAAAGGGGUGCAACAGUUCGUGGACAACCAUGCUCAAUACUUCGUGGUAUGUUCGUUCAAUAAUUUUAUUUCGUAAGUUAUUAUUUUCUUGAAUUAAAUAUGAUGAUUUUUUAAACAAUUUUCAGGAGACCUAUAAUAACCGGUUGAGGGAGAGAUAUGGGGACAAUCCUUCGACCCAUCUGGAUUUCGAUCCGGAUUUGUGGAUGGAGGUAGGAUCGUCUGGUGGACCCGAUAAAAAUCAGGUCUACAGGCUCUCCAACACUACGGCCGAAAACUUGCGGACAGCCUAUAGUGUCUCAACCGUUGGGAGCUCUACAUCAGUAUCGAGCACCUAGUCUGAGGAAUUCAUGGCCUUGAAAUAAUAAUAUGAACGACUCUCGAUGGAUUAUGAUCAGCUCCGUCAAAUGGUCAUCGACAUUAGAUCAAGGAUGGGUGAUGAUACAUGUGCAGCCCCUUUUUGGCCGUACAGUCCCGGGAACAACCAGCCUCCUCCUUCUCCUCCUCCUCCUCCAACUCUGCCGUUAUUCUAAUUUAAUUUUGUUUUUGAAACACAUUAAAUUUAUAAUGAAUAUUUGGAUGAAUAUUAUUUAAAAUUAUUUUUAUAUUUUUAAUGUUUAAUACAAUUUUAUUUGGUUAAUUAGUGUUUUUUUACUAUAAAUCAAUAUAAUAUUUGAAAAAAAAAUUAUUUAUUCUAAAUACUUUUUUAAAAAAAAAUUUAAAUAAAUGCCGACGGACUUGCAGAUGGAAUAUGUCAGUCGGUAUUAGACAAAGAGUUGAAAAAAAUUUACGACCCAUGCCACAAUCACCGACGGCCCAUCCGUUGGUGAUUUACCGUUGACAUUGCCGACAGCCUAUAUCCGUCGGUAUUUUACAGAGAGUUCUGAAAUAUUUACGGCCCAUGCCACCGUCACCAACGGACUGGCCGUCAGUGAUUUACCGUUGGAAAUACAGAUGGAAUACGUCUGUCAAUAAAGUUCUAGCGCGGGAAAUUUUUUAUGGAUGCGCUUUCCUCGUCUGUAAGACCGUCGGUGUUUGUUUUUUUUCUGACAAACAUACCGAUGGAAGUGGGAAUUACCGACGAUCAAUAUUCUAACAGACAUAUUCUGUCGAUGAGACCGUCGGCAAAAAUUUUACCGACGAAUUGUGUGUUUUACACUGACAUAAUUAUUCCAUCGGUAAAACUGUUUAAUGGUGGUGUAGUGUAAUUCAUUGAUUGCCUAGGACUUUAUGCCUAUAAAAAGGCUUGUAAUUAAGCAUUAUUAAGAAGUACAAAAGAGAGGGAGAGAAUAGCUAAGAGAGGCAAAUUUGGAAAAGGAGUUUGUGGUAGCCAUAACAGGUCAAAUGAUCGAACACAUGAAGCAAAUCGGUCGAUCGAUUACAUUAAUAGUGACAAUCCAAAAUCUAGGUUUGACAAAUCAAAAGUUAAAUGCUAUAAUUAUCAAAAAGUAUGUCAUUAUGCUAGGGAUUGUUGGAGUCCAACUAAAAAGUUUUAGAAGAAUGCAAAUCUAGUAAUAUAAGAGAAAAGGGAAGCCACCCUAUUACUAGUGCAUGAUGAGAGAAUGCAAGACAAAUAGAACAUAUGGUAUCCAAACAAUGAAGCUAAUGUGUGGAGACAAAGACAGGUUCAUGGAGCUUGAUGAAGCAAUUAGAGGUGAUGUCACCUUUGCGAAUCAUUCAAAGGUUGCCAUAAAAAAAAUAUACGAUUUUGAUUAAAUUGAAAUAUGUAAGUCAUCAAUUUAUUCAUGAUUUUUAUUAUAUACCAAUAGGAAAAAGCAACAUAUUGAGCUUAGGACAAUUGUUGGAGAAGGGGUAUGAGAUUAAGAUGAAAUAUCGUACUUUGACAUUACUACAAAAGGAGCUCUGAUUGCAAAGGUAGUUAUGAUAAAAAAAAAAAAAUUAUAAUGUUCUUGUUAAACAUAGAGACAAAUGUGUCUAAAUGCCUAAAUGCAUGUGUGAAGGAUGAGACUUGAAUUUAGCAUAUGAGACUUGGGCAUGUAAACUUUGAUAGUUUGAAGAUGAUGGCAUAAAAGGAGAUGUUGAAGGGUCUACCAUCCAUUAUACUCUAAAUUAGUUGUGUGAAGGAUGUUAAGUGGGCAAGCAAUUCCCUAAGAUUUUUCUGAAGAAGUCUACAUCAAGAGCAAGUCAACCCCAACAAGAAAUACAUAUUGAUGUUUGUGGUCCUAUCAAACCAUUUUUUUGGUAAAAAAUUGUAUUUUUUACUUUUUAUUAAUGAUUAUAGUAUGAAAAACUUGGGUAUACUUCUUAAAAGAAAAGUCUAAUUGUAAUUUUAAUGAGUUUUAUGAAGAUCAUGAUAUAAAGAGACUCCUAACGGUGCCUAUAUUCCCACAACAAAAUAACAUGGUGGAGAGAAAGAAUAGAAGCAUCCUCAACAUGAUAAGAAGCAUGCUCAAAACCAAGAAGAUGCCUAAAUAGUUUUGGGCCAAAGUUGUAGAUUGUGCUAUUUACUUGUCAAAUAGGUGUCUCAUUAAAGGCUUGAAUGACAUGACUACAUAAGAAGCAUGAAAAUGAUCAAGUAAGGACCAAACUAGAUGAUAAGAGCAAAAAAAUAAUCUUUGUGAGUUAUGAUCAAAUAGAUUACAAAAACCAAAGUUAAUAAUGCCAUGCUUAUGACCUUGGUCAUGAGUUGGGCGGGUUAUCCCAGUUAGAGCCAAGUCAAUUCAAAAUGUCACUAUUUCAAUAUUUGUUUCUAUAAAAAAAAUGUUAAGCCGACAUCUUUUAAGAAAAAACUUAAAAGUCAAACUGAGUUUUAACUAGGUCGAUCCAGUUGUGAGUGCACCUACUAGAUCAACCGGGUUACACCAGGUCAACUCCCACAUGGAUUACUUUAAAACUCGGUCCAUACUAAAGCUCGGUCAAUGGAACACUAUUAUCAUAACCUAAUUUUUAUCCCCUUUAAAAAAUAAUUUUCAUCAUAAUAUUUAGUAGAUAAAAUUCGAUAGAUUUUCAAGAAAAAGACAAUUGUUGAAAAUUAAUCACAAUACAAAACAAAAUCAUAAAAAUGAAAGAAAAAAAGAAAAAAAUAAUUAAAGAUAAAAUCAAACAAAUAAUGAAUUUUCAAAAAGCAUGGACUAGGUUAUAGCAAUUACAAAAGGUUAAGGAUAAUUUUGAGAAAUAAUAAUGGAUUUGAUUGAAAGAAAAUUGAAUAAAAAAGUUGAAAUUGAUCAAAUUUGCAUGAAUUGAAAGACUUAGGACCAAGAUGAAAGAUAUGGAAAAGUUUGAAGGUCUUUUUAAUUUAAACAGUGACUUAAUUGAAGAAAUUUUGAUAUUUAAUAUCAAUUUAACUAAAAAUAAAAGAAUUAAAGGAUCAAGAACUAAAAUGUUGAAGAUACCUUAAUAGUAGUUUGAAUGCCACAAUAACACUCCCAAGUUGUAAAAUCAGUUUUGGUUUUGAAAAAUAAAACAACAAAAAUCAAUCAUAAAACAUGAAAUAUCCUCAAAAUGAGCCAUUCUUGUUAUGAAAACCAUAAAAAAGAUGUGUUUUUAGUUGUGUUGUUUGUCUUUAACCAAGCUUGGUCAUUAAGAGUUAAUAAUGAACAUAUCUUAGUAUGUUUUUAUUGAUGCAAUAAUUAAUAAAUAAAGUGCAUUACAUUUCAUACUAAACCAAAUAAUUCUUUUGGAAGCAACUUAUGGUUUUUUCAUGGUGGAAGUUGACCUAUUCUAAGCAUGAAAUAUUGUUGUUAUUAUGCAUGAGAAAAUAUGGUACGGAAAGUUUCUCUUCGUUAUUGGAACAAGGUUGGAUAUAACAUAUUGUGUGUAAAGCUGCUUUUGAAUCCUAAAUAUGUCAAUUUUCUAGGUUUCCAACCCAUUGUUUUGGUUAGAAAGCAUGUGUCAUUUGGUUUGGAGACUAUGGCAACUUAUGGUUAUCAUAAUCUAGAUUUUUUUUUUAUUCUUUUGAUAUCAUGUUUAACUUUGGAGAUUUAUAGUUCACCUUUCUAGGGUUUUUUUAGUUAUAGUGCACGCUCUAUUUGCUUAAUUCAUUAGGAUUUAUGCUAAAUAUACUUGAUUAUAAUAAACAUGAGGAAUUAUGGACUAGAUGCAUGUUUUGGUUAUUUAAAUGAUGCAAGCUUGAAACAUUUUCUUACAGGGUUAGGUUUGUUUAUCUAGGGUUUGUUGAUUAGGAAAGAAUUAGCUUUACUAAGAUUGUGUGCUUUAUGGUAAUCUUAGAUUAAACUUUUUGUUUUAAAAGAAAAAAAUCAACAAAAUCGUCUAUUUUUAAGGAUUAAUGUAUGUCAAAUUUAUCGAAGAGUCUCUUAUUCAUAGGGACCAACAUUAUUUUCUAAAAUAAAUCAUGAGUAAGCUUAGAAAUAUAUCUAGGUAAUUAAUAGCAUGUAUAGAAUAAAUUUAUGAGAAAAAACAUAGUAAAGAUAACUUUUUUUUCAUUUGAAAGGAUGUUAUAAGGGUGAUAUUGAUCUUCUCUUAAAGCAUAACUAACUUUGUAACUGAAUCUUUGAAACCGGUAUUAAUUUUAAAAUUUUUAGUUUUCUUUAUUUAUAUCAUGUAUUUAUCGUGGUAUAGAUCCCAUGAAAACAUACAACAUUACUUUAUAUAACAUUCAUGCGCGUCCCAUCCUUCUAAAGCAUGCACUAUUCCAGCCACACGCCAUGCGCUCAUCACUCUUCUUGGCAGCCAAUUCUGUCAUCAAGUAUUUUGCAAUACAAAUUAAUUAUCUUUCCUAAAAUAAGAAAAUAAUGCAAAUAGUACCUUAAAUUUCAGCAAUAUUUGACUAAUUAAUUACCUCGCAAGAGUCUAUAUUUUCAAGAGAUGCAGGGGCUGCCAUUGCUGGUAUGCUAUGAUAGAAGCAAUCCUUGCGCAAUUUCUUUGGGGGAAAUUGCGAGAAGGGAAUAAAUAAUGUUCCUUCUGCUGCUUUCUUUUGGUCCUCUUCUUUCAAUCCAUCACCAACUAACCACGUCUACACAACAAAGUUUAUUAUGAUAUUAGAAAUGUCAAUAUAUAUAUAUAUAUAUAUAUAUAUAUAUAUAUAUAUAUAUAUAUAUAUGCAUGCUACUUAAAUAAUUUAAGUUGUAAUUUAUUUUAUUUUUGACAAAAAAAAAAAUUAAUUUCUAAUUCCUUGGUAGCUAAAGAAAGCAUAUAUGUAGGUAUAGCGUACCUUUAUUGAAUAACUCUUUGAAAGAAUCAGAUUGUUCUGAUCAGAUGUGAUGCCGAAGGAUUUUUUAAGCUUCUGGUAAUCAUCCUCACAUGGAACAACUACCUAAAAAAUUAGUGAAAAUGAUCGUAAUAAUUAGGAAUUAGAAAUUAAAACAUGACCAUAAAUUAAAUUUGCCUAUACAAUCAAUUUAAAUAAAUUACUGUCAAAUUGAAGAAAGUUACAACAUGUGCCUAUUUGCCUAGUAGACAACAACAAUACCUAAAUGCCUAAAUGCAUAGAUGAAGGAUGAGACUUGGCUUUGUCAUAGAGACUUGGGCAUAUAAACUUUAAUAGCUUGAAGAUGAUGACAUAAAAAGAGAUAUUGAAGGGUUUACCAUCCAUUAUACAUCUAAAUUAGUUGUGUGAAUGAUGUUUAGUGGGUAAACAAUUUCACAAGAUUUUUCUGAAGGAUUAUACAUCAAGAGCAAGUUAACCCCUACAAAAAAUACAUGUCGAUAUUUGUGUUCCUAUCAAACCAUGUUCUUUCGGUAAAAAUCUGUAUUUUCUACUUUUUAUUGAUGAUUAUAAUAGAAAAACUUGAGUAUAUUUCUUAAAAGAAAAGUCUAAUGUGUUUAGUUUUUUUAAGAAGUUUAAGGCCUUUAUUGGAAAAAAAAAAAAAAGUGAUUAUUCUAUAAAACCACUUAGGACGGAUAGAGGAGUGAAUUUUGUUCUAAUGAUUUUAAUGAAUUUUGUGAAGAUCAUAGCAUAAAAAGACUCCUAACGAUGUUUAGAUCCCCACAACAAGAUGACGUGGUGGAGAAAAAGAAUAGAAGCAUCUUCAACAUGGCAAGAAACAUGCUUAAAAUCAAGAAUAUGCCUAAAUAGUUUUGGGUCAAAGCUGUAGAUUAUUCUAUUUACUUGUCAAAUUGAUGUCCCACUAAAAGCUUGAAUGACACGACUCCAUAAAAAGCAUGAAGAUAAACAAGUAAGGACCAAACUAGAUGACAAGAGCAAAAGGAUUAUAUUUAUGAGCUAUGAUCAAAUACAUUACAAAAAGCAAAGUUAAUAAAUUUAGUCAUGCUUAUGACCUUGGUCAUGAGUUGGGCGGGAUAACCCAAUUAGACCCAAGUCAAUUCAAAUUGUCAUUGUUUCAAUAUUUGUUUCUACAAAAAAAAAAAACAUGUUAAACCGACAUCUUUUAAGAAAAAACUUAAAAGUCAAGCUAAGUUUUAACUAGGUCGAUCCAGUUAUGAGUGCACCUACUAGAUCAACCGAGUUACACCAAGUCAACUCCCACAUGAUUUACUAUGAAACUCGGUCCGUGCCAUUUAAUAGAACACUAUUAUGAUAACCUAAUUUUUAUCCCCUUAAAAAAAUAAUUUUCAUCAUAAUAUUUAGUAGAUAAAAUUCAAUAGAUUUUCAAGAAAAAGAAAAUUGUUGAAAACUACUUAUAAUACAAAAAAACAAAUCAUAAAAAAUGAAAGAAAAAAAAAAGAAAAAUACAAUUAGAGAUAAAAUCAAACAAAUAAUGAAUUUUCAGAAAACAAGGACUGGGCUAGAGCAAUUACAAAAGGUCAAAGAUAAUUUUGAGAAAUAAUGAUGGAUUUGAAUGAAAGAAAAUUGAAGAAAAAUGUUAAAAUUGACCGAGUUUGCAUAAAUUAAAAGACUAAGGACCAAGAUAAAAGAUAUGGAAAAGUUUGAAAGUCUUAUUAAUUCAAACAAUGGCUUAAUUGAAGAAAUUUUGAUAUUUAAUGUUAAUUUAACCAAAAAUAAAAGAAUUAAAAGAUGAAGAACCAAAAUAUUCAGGAUGCUUUAAUAGUAGUUUGAAUGCUACAACAACACUCCCAGAUGGUAAAAUCAAUUUUGGUUUUGAAAAAAAAAACAGCAAAAAUCAAUCAUGAAAUAUCCUUAGCCAUUCUUGUUAUGAAAACCAUAAAAAAGAUGUGUUUUAAGUUUUGUUGUUUGUCUUUAACCAAGCUUGGUCAUUACGAGUUAAUAAUGAAGAUAUUUUCAUGUUUUUAUUGAUGCAAGAAUUAAUAAAUAAAGUGCAUUACAUUUCAUACUAAACUAAAUAAUUCUUUUGGAAGCAACUUAUGAUUUUUAAAUGGUGGAAGUUAACCCAUUCUAAGCAUAAAAUAAUAUUGUUGUUUUUAUCCAUGAGAAAAUAUAGUAGGGAAAGUUUCUUUUAUUUAUUGGAAUAAGGUUGGAUAUAAAAUAUUAUAUGUAAGGCUGCUUUUUAAUCCUAAAAAUAUCAAUUUUCUAGGUUUCCAACCCGUUGUUUUGGUUAGAAAGCAUAUGUCAUUUGAUUUGGAGAAUAUGACAAUUUAUGGUUAUCAUAAUCUAAGUUUUUUUUUUAUUCUUUUGAUACUAUGUUUAACUUGGAAUUAUAUAUUUUGGAGAUUUAUAGUUCAUCUCCCUAGGGUUUUUUUUAUGGUGCAUGCUCUCUUUGCUUAAUAUCCUUGAUUAUAAUAAACAUGAAGAAUUAUGGACUAUAUACAUGUUUUGGUUAUUCAAAUGAUGCAUGAAUGAAUAAUAAGAAGCUUGAAACCUUUUCUUAUAAGGUUAGGUUUGUUUAUCUAGGGUUUGUUGAUUAGGAAAGAAUUAACUUGACUAAGAUUGUAUGCCUUAUGUUAAUCUUAGAUUAAAUUUUUUGUUUUAAAAGAAAAAAAAUCAACAAAAUUGUUUAUUUUAAGGAUUAAUGUAUGUCAAAUUUAUCGACGAGUCUCCUAUUCAUAGGGACCAAUAUUAUUUUUAAAAAUAAAUCAUGAAUAAGCUUAGAAAUAUAUCUAGGUAAUUAAUAGCAUGUAUAGAAUAAAUUUAUGAGAAAACACAUAGUAAAGAUAACUUUUUUUUCAUUUGAAAGGAUAUGGUAAGGGUGACAUUGAUCUUCUCUUUAAGCAUAACUAACUUAGUAGCUGAAUCUUUGAGACCGGUAUCAAUUUUAGAAUUUUUAGUUUUAUUUAAUUAUGUCAUGUAUUCAUCGUGGUGUGAUAACUAUGUUAACAUACGAAACUAGGUUGGGUUUAAAAACAUUGUAAAAUAAAUCUCAUGAAAACAUAUAACAUUAUUUUAUAUAACAUUUAUGAUGGAAUCAGAUACCAGAGCAGGCAUAAAAGAAAGUAAAAAUAACCAUCAUAAUAUUCCAUUACUAAUUAUUUGUCCAUUGCAUAGAGAAAUAACAUAAUAUUAAUGGGUAGAGAUAACAUAUAUAGUAGUGGAUAACAUAUAUAUAUAUAUAUAUGUAGUUUGCAAUAUCAUGGAGGUGAUAUGCAACAUCUAAACCGUUUCAGGCAUGUAUAAUUAAUUAAGGCAAGGCUACCAACAUAAGAUAGCUAAAUAUCCAUUAGAAUUUUAAUGGAGUCUUGAUGACCAGAGGUUUGAACCCAUGUUGGAUACUUGCUUGCCAAACUUUGUCAAUGUCAGCCAUGGUAGAACCGCAUUCAUGCUCGUCCCAUCCUUCCAAGGCAUGCACUAUUCCAGCCACACGCCAUGCGCUCAUCACUCUUCUUGGCAGCCAAUUCUG